RNAcentral lists this long non-coding RNA (95525 nucleotides) under Gossypium raimondii (Peruvian cotton). RNAcentral's name for it is "long non-coding RNA (GRAI_LNC006067)". The stretch from base 4731 to 4875 matches the Rfam family "MIR7502 microRNA precursor family". The record is from RNAcentral. Lineage: Eukaryota; Viridiplantae; Streptophyta; Magnoliopsida; Malvales; Malvaceae.
UUGUUUUUUAUAAGUUUUUGAGGUCCAGUGAUGGCUAAUUCUGCUCGUCUUCUCGUUUUACCUUUCUUCAUUGCACUGUCACUUUCAUGCAUGAAUGUAGCUCAAGGGGCGGGGACGGCUCGCCGUCUCUUGCAGGCAACAACGACGACCCCACCAAUAUUUCCAAAUUUGCCUCCCUUUCGUGGCUUCCAGUUUCCUCCUUACAGCGGACCUUUCCCGGAAUAUAGGUUGCCGCCAUUUCCAGGUAUUUCAAACGUCCCUCCUUCAGCACCUGGCUUUCCUGGCUCUUCAGCACCUGGCUUUCCUGGCUCUUCAGCAUCUGGCUUUCCUGGUUCCUUCCCUUCGUUCCCUGCUCCACCAACAUUGCCCAACACUACCCCUUGAAUCCACUGAAUUAAAACUAUCACCAUGAACGAUUACGCGUUCAUUUUCUAAAUAAUUAGUGCUAAAUAAAGGUUAAUGUUUGUAGGAUUUAAUCUUCUUUUUUUUUUGGGGGGGUGGAAACUUUGGCACACUUGGUUUGCUUUUGGAUCAAAUAAUCAGAGCAUAGAUUGUAGUAUUGAUUAAUGUUGUUGUUGGAUGCAUUAAAUGUGGGCUUGUUUGUAAUCUCCCUCUCUCUUGCAUUGUAGUUCUGUGUUCAUAUAAGGGAAUGAGAAUCUAUAUCUAUCCUAUUAUGUUUAAUCUUAUUAUAGUACUGUUUUAUGUUUGCUAUUUGCAUAUUUUGUUUCUAUUAAUUUAAUUGGAUAGUCGGAUGAAGCAAUUAAUUAUGAUAUUGUUAUAAACGGUUUGCAUUUUAUGGAUAGAUUCUAAUCAUAUUUAUAAAAAGAAUUACAUUUAAUACAUUAACAUAAACUGAUUGCUGGUCGUACAAUAAACCCAAUAUGGGAAACUCUAUAAAAAAGGAAAAUGCAGCAAACAAGUGUGGUGGAAAAAUUGAAAAAAAGAAAAGAAAAGCGGAGCACAAUAUAUGCCCAAUAUGCAAAAAGCGAAGAGGCACGGUAGAGCAAAGGUGCACAGUCCAAACACUUUGGUGGAAGUGGAAAACUUCAAGGGGUAGUUCUAGCAGGUGGUGGGGAGAAGGAUGGAAUGGUAGUUGGCAAAGUGGGGAUUGAAGGCAAGCUGGGCAAGGGUGGCAGGGUAGGAAUGGUAGGCAGUGGAGGAAGAGCGACGGGGUUGGGUAUAGAUGGUUGCGGCAGGGUGGGCAUCGUUGGCUGUGGGAGAUUUGGAAUCGAUGGCAACGGUGGCAAUGUUGGCAGCUGAAGAAGAUGACGCGCAGCUAGGCCAACGUUGACGCUUGAAAACGAUAAAGCCAUGAACAAUGCUAAAACAAAGCAAUUGAAAGAGGCCAUAUUCGAGAGGUUUGAAACUGAAAAAAGGAGUUGUCUUGAUAAUAUAUAUAGUUUGAGUGAGUGAGGAAGGCGACAGAGAGGCCCUGGUGUUUGGGGCUUAAAUAGGCCUUGGAACACUGGGAAUUGGGCACUCUGGUUGGAGAUAGGAAAAAGAGAGGUUAGCUCAUCUUCUCAUCUGCAUUGGACUGAAAAUUGGUGAACUACUGGUGCAUGUGGUUGGCACAGAAGCUACCUGAAUGAAGCACUGAAGUCAGCCACUUGACCAAAUCAUGGAGGUUACCAAUAAAGUCGGGUUAUCUAACAUCAGCUCAGCUCAUUGGUUCUUCUAACUUAUGUUUAUGAUUGGUACCGUAGAGAAUCAUUUAAUUAUAAUAUACAUACUAUUGAAGUUUCUACGUAUCACCGAAUGAUUAAACAGCUUUUCACCUGAAUCCUAAAGUGUAUCAAAAAACAUUGGGUUCUUCCUUUCAAGAAAAAUAAAAUAAAAUCGGACAGCAAUAUUUUAAUGAACGAAAAACUGGAAAAUAGGGAAAAAAAACAUUUCAUUAAUUUCCAAUAUUAUUCUAAUUAAUUUAUUAUUGUUAACUACUAAAAUAAAAUAACAAAAAAUAUUAUUUUUAUUAACGCUUAAUAAAAUAUUUGGUACCUGAACUUGACAUUUUUUUUUUCUAAUUUGGUAUUUAAACUUGACAUUUUUUUUUCUUACAUUGGUACUUGAUCUUUUUUUGGGUUCAAUUUGGUACUUAAACUUGACUCUUUUUCCUAAUUUGGUACCCAAUUUUUGUUUGUUCGAUUUGGUACUUGAACUUGUCAAACGUUUUACAAAUUACUCCAAUAUGCUAACAAUAUUGUUAUUUUUUUAUGAGGUAGCAAAUAUAAUCAACGUAUAAUCGAUAUGUGACAAAUGAUAUAAUAUAUAUAUUCAAUUACUUUUAGUUUUAUUUAUUUAAUUAUUUAUUUAUUAAUUGAAAAUAAUGAAUUUCUUCUAAUUUAAGUUUUUAAAACUCUUUUUUUCUUAUUUAAUAGUAAUUUAUUAAUCAUAGCUCAAUACCUAUUUUUGUAACAUGAAUUUCCUCUGAUGAUACUGACAAUACUUUUGUAGCAUAACAAAAGAAAAACAUCGUUGGUGUUUUGCGUAAUUUGUAUAACAUUUAAUAAAUUUAGGUACCAAAUUAAACCUAAAAACAAGCUUAGCUACCAAAUUAGGAAAAAAAUGUCAAGUUCAAGUAUCAAUUUGGACCCAAAAAAAUUUAGAUACCAAAUUAAAAAAAAAGUGUUAGGUUCAAAAUUCAAAUAUCAAAUUGAAAAAAAAAAGUACCAAAUUAAAAAAAAAAGGAAGAAGCUAUUCAGAUACUAAAUGUUAUAUUAAGUUUUUAUUUAUUAAUUAUUAUCUUCAAAAUUUUCAAAAAUAAAAUUGAAUGGAAAAUUUUAGUGGUAAAGCUUAAUUAACAUAAUGAAAAAAAAGUGAAUUAAAUAUUAAUUUAUUUUUUGCACAUUUGAAAUUUAACCCCUAGGAAAUUAGUUUCUCUAUAUUUUAUAUUUAAAAAUGAAAAUUUAAUUGUUGACAGAAUUAAAAUUCUUCUAUUAAAUUUAGGUUUAUUGUAACCAUUUUUUUGUUAUAUGAUUACGAAAUAUUUCUUUCAUUUAAAAAUGUCACACUAACAAAUUUAACAAAUCUGAAUUUAAAAAUCUGAAAAAUAGAAAAACUAAAUUCCUAAAAAUAAAAUGUAAAAUUUAAUUCUAAAUAUACGAAAAGUAGGAGAACUUGAAAAAUAUUUUAAACUAUUUUUAUUGAAUAAGCAUAUUUUAAACCAGGUUAACACCAUAUCUUAAGGGUAAGGUCUCAUCCACCAUUGGUGAAAAACACUCAGUACUACUGAGUUAGUAAUUAUAAUAAAGUUUUAGAUUCGAACUCAAUCUAAUUCGAUUUAUGAAUAAAUUUACUCGCUAUCUUUCUAAGUUAGAUAUAAUAUACAUAGAUUUUAAAUUAUUAUUUUUUCAUUGGCUUUCCAAAUCCCCCUUUAAUCCUGUUUUGAGAUCUGGUUCAGCUUUGGAAGAUGAAGAUAUAGCUACUCAUUUGUCUCCAUUAUCUUGUCUAUCUUUAGUUUUUUUUUUUUAUUCUUUUUCUCUCAGCAGCUAAACUUGUUUAUCACUGCUUUUAGUAAUGGUUAAUCACAGUUUCUAAUUUCUCAUUUUUACAAAAAGUUAGUGAGAAGAAUGAAUAUCAAAAGGGAUUAACAGAAGUACCAAUAAAAGUGGAAUAAAACAUAAAUAAAUAAUCCCAUAAUAAGCAACAACAAUGAAUAAACUAAAAGUACAACUCCCAAUUUUACAGACAAACAUAUAAUGGUAGAUGAAAAGUAAAAAAAAAGAAAAGAAAAAUCAGACUUAAUCUAUAACAUCAAACACAAACAGCUAAUAAGUGGGUAUAAAUGAUAGGACCAUAAAACAUAAAAUCCAAUCCGUAGGCAUCCAGAGUUAAGGCAGAAGAUUCAUGGAGUAGACGGUGCAGGUGGCGGGGAGAGGAAUGGGAUAGAAGGGAUCGUACUUGGGAUUGUGGGAAAGCUUGGUAAUGGUGGCAAAGUGGCCCUUGGUACAUUCGGCAAAGUGGGCAUGUUAGGCAUGGCGGGGAGUGGAGGCAUCGCGCCUGGCCUCGGCAAAGAUGGUUGAGUCGUUGGCAAUGUUGGUAUCGUUGGCAUUGGCAGAUUUGGGAUCGCUGGCAAUGGAGGUAACUGAGGCAGUUGCAGAAGAUGACGGGCUCCAAACCCAACAUCAAAGCUUGCAAAUGACAAAGCCAGGACAAAGGUCAAGAACAUGUAAUUGAAAGAAGCCAUUUUUUGUGUAUGUGAGAGGAUUCACUGAAGAGAUUUGUGAUGGUUGGAGUGAAGAAAAGAAGGCCUGGUGGGGGGGAUUAUAUAAGUUUAAUGCAGGAGGGUUGGGAUGUCUGGUUGGUAAGAUUUGGUUCAGGUUGUGAUUUAUGGUUGGGAAAAUGUGGAAAACUUAAUUAUUUUGCAUGUCUUUGUUAGAUUAACUCCAAAUCCAUCUUCUUCUGAGAAUUGUCAAAUUUAGUUGCAAUGAGUCACCAAAGUGUAAUAUAUUAUUAUAUCAAUUAUGGACGGAGUCAAAUUGUUCUUUGAUUUGUUUAAUAAGAAACUAGUUUUGGAUCCCUUCUGGGUUUAAACAAAGGCUAAUUUCUCUGUUGUUUGCCUCGUAGAUUAUGUUCUAGCUUGAUUUUUUGGAUCGAUAUUUAUAAAAAAUAUUAUUGGUAAAAGUAUCAUAGAUGGCUUUGUAUUAGGAGUUUGAUUGCAUUUUAUCCCAUUUAUUAAAAAAAUAAACAAAUUAGUCCUUAUACGUUAAAUUAAAGAGUAAACUAGUCCUCUCGGUUAGAAUUUUCAUCUAUUUAUACAAUUAAAAGCUAACGUGGUUGACGGAAUAACCAGAUAGUUAUACUUGGCUUGCCACAAGUACCUCAUGUCGACGUACAAGAACUAGUUAUUAACAGUAAAAAUGAAUGAAGUUUUUAACAGAAUGACCAUUUUGUUUUUUAAUCUAAUAUAAAUGGAUUAAUUUGCUCAUUUUUUUGUAAUCCAACUCUUAAUGUAAGGGCCUCCAUACUACUUUUACCAAAUAUUAUUGCAUUUUAUUUUAAAUAACUAUUUUCAUUUUGGUAUAUCCAUAACUAUCCUAAUCCAUUUUAAGUUUUGAGUUUGAUCUUGUUUAGGGUAUGUGGUAUUUAUGUAAAAUCCUCCCAAAAAUGAUGAGUCCAAAAUUCGAACUGAAUCCAAAUGUCUAGGAAAAAUAUCACUGCCACUUUUUCGAACUAUUUAUCGAUAAAUAAUUAUUUGUAUCUAAUCUUGUGCAUAAACUUAUAUAAUGAUAGUAUGCCAUACAUUAUACCUAGUUAAAACGUUUUAAAAAUAUAUAAAUAAUUAAAAUUUUUAAUUACUAACUUUAAAGUUUAAAUCCUUGACUCAGUUGGCGCUACGAGUUAAUUAGGCACCAAUUCAAUUGGAAAAGAAUUAAAAUAUUUGUAUAUGUACAAAAUAAGUUGUAUUAUUACGAGGAUAUACUUUUAUUUUUGGUAAAUUACACCCAAUGUCACUAAAAUGCUAGUAAGUUUAUAUUUUGGUUACUCAACUUCAAAAAAUUACAAAAAUGGUCAUUGAACUAUUUAAAAAUUUUCAUUUAAGUCAUUGGGUUAUUAAAAUUGUUGCUAUAUGGCCUUAUCUAUUUGCACUACCUGCAACAAUCAAAAGCUUUCCUUCUCCUUAUCUUCUACAAUUCAAUUCUUUUUCGUUGAGACAAUUUUGAACAUUAGGAAUCUGUUCAUCAAAUUCUAAACACUUUCUUCUCUGAUCUCUAACACUGAUCGUCAAAUUGACUAGGAUAUAAGGUAUGUUAUUCUACUCGUCAAUGGGUACUGAUCCACCAUACCAGUUGUUGAAUUGUCACUUAGAGUUCACUAGUUAAACUCGUUAUAAAAAAAAUUAACAUCCCAGUAACUUAAAUAAAAACUUUUGAAUAGUAAAAUGACUUAAAUGAAAACAUUCAAAUAGUUUACUGACCAUUUUGCAACUUUUUGAAUUUGAGUGACCAAAACGUAAACUUAUUAAUAGUUUAAUGACCUAGGGUGUAGUUUACCCUUUAUUUUUUUAUUAUUUUUUAAUACAAAUAAUAACAAAUUCUAAUAUGGUGAAAUUUGAACUCAUGAACCAAUUUUUAUAAAACCGCAAUUUUUACCACUUCAACCAAAAUUUUAUUUCAAUUAUUUUUAUAAAUUUUAAUAUUUUUCACUCAAAUUGAUUGUAUAUAGACAUAGUCGUGUGGUGGUGUGAGUGUGGUCGUGUGGGCCACACGGGCGUAUGGGUUUUGGGCCAAGCCAUGUAGGCCACACGGGUGAGGCCAAUCUGGGCGUGUGGGCCCACACAGGCAUGUGGGCCUAUAAUUCUGAAAUUUUUCCUAGAGUCGCACGAGUCAUUCUGAUCGACUGUGGGCCAACCGUAGGGUCGGUAAAGGCUAGUCAAACCCUAGAUUAUGUGAUAUGAUAUCCUGAUAGUUUGCUCUGAGUAGGACACUGUUAUGCAUGUCUAAUUAUUCUGCUAUAUAUAUGAUAUCUGUAUGCGAGCAUGUUAAGCAUGAUAUUUCUGAAUUCGUAAUCUGUAAUUAUGUUUGGGGUGUGAAUUGUAUAUGUGGAGGAAGUAUUCUGUAUGGCGACCUUCGCCUAUAUUCUGGCAACUUGGCUGCAUAUUAUCUGAUAUGUGUCAUACCGACACAACAUGGUGUGUAGGAAUUGGUGGGUGUUUUUUUAACCCCACAUGAUGUGAUGGGAUGGUCGGAGUUGGUGUGUAGAAGAUGGGGGUAGAAUUUUGUAUAUCUGUUCUGCAUAUCUGAUUCUGUUAUUUGUAUCUGUAAAAGACAUAGAUCCGAAUCUGAAUCUGACCGUAUAUGUGAUUUCUGUAUGAAUAGCAUGUCUAUUUCUGUUGGGUGCACUCUGAAUUUACGAAAAACUCACAUUUGUUUGUCUGUUUUGUUCAAGUAAUCCACGGACUUAAGCGGAUCGGUGUGACAGAGCCUCUCGGUGACCACGAGUUCGUAAACGGUUUAAGAUUAAGGUUAAUUUUAAUUUAAGGUUUAUUUUGGAAGUUUUGUAAUAAUUGGACUCUCCGGACUAUUUAUUUUAAUUUUGGGAUUUGAAUUUUUGUUUUAACACUGUAUUUGCGACGGUUAUCUAAACGUGGUUUACUAAAACAAGGUUUUCUGAAAAUACGAACGGGAUUUUUAAAAUUUAAACGGUUUCUAAAACUUCCACUAUAAAGAAUACUUUGGCAAAUGGAUUAAUUAGAUAAGCAUCAGGCAAUAGUUGUAAAAUUUGGACGAUUUGCCGAACAACUUUACAAAGUUUUGUCGAAAUAUCACUGUUUUCAAAACCCUUCUUUGUGACAUCUUCGGAUUCGAUCAUAAUGUUUAGGCCGGGUCUGGGGUGUUACACUCACUUCGUUUUUAGCUACAAUAGGAGCAGUUCAAUACGAAACAAUGUCAUUUAUCCAUUUUAAUACUAAAACUAAUAAAAACAAGCUUAAAUAUGCAUGGUUAAUCAAGUUAGCAACUUAAGUUUUCUAGUCCGAAAUUCGCAUAUCUUUCGACUCGAUUAUACGUUUCCAAUUCCGUCUUCACUAGAGUACUCACUGCUUCACAAGCUAUCAUUUAGCACCAAUAUUACACAAAGUGGCCAAUGUUCUCUACUUCCUCUUUAACAUGGUCAAAUAUACCAAGUAAACUUUCCAUCCAUUUUUAUUUCUUUUUCACACUUCUAACAAGCUAGAAUUCAUCUUCUAAUCAUUUCCUAUCCAAAAAUAUACCUAUUUCACUUAAUUUUUCUAAGCUUCCAUCAAUGUUCUUUAAUGGCAACUUUCAAAAUACUUGAUAAAAUAAAAAAACUAUUGGUAUAUAUAUGUAAAACAAACUUCAAAGAUUCAAAAUCUAGAAAAAAAUUGAAGAAAAAUCAUACCUUAUACUUGAAAUUGAAGGAAAAUAAUGGAAGCAAUUUUUUUCUUUCCCCCAUUUUUUUGGAGUGAAAAAGAAAGAAAGAUGAGAAAGAUGAACAUAUUUCUCUCUUUUUCACUUAUUAUAAUAUUAAUUAAUAAAAUAUUAUUACUUAAUAAAAAAUCAUUUAAAAGUGAUCAUGAAACCAUUGAUUUUUUGAAGUAAUGGUAAAAUUGUCAUUAAGUCUUUUCCAUCAAAAUAAAAAUAAGAUAAUUACACUUUAGUCUCUAAAAUUUUCUAACUUAUUCAAUUUAAUCCCUGAACUCGAUACUGGAUUCUUGACUUAACUACAUGCUCCUACUAAUAAUCCUCUGUGUUUUCAUGCCUGACUGUUUCCUCUAAAAACGAUCACAAUUUCUUAUACUACUAUUUAUUUAUAAAUCACUUACUCAAAAACUUCUACCAUAAAUAUUCUUCUUCUCUCGUUUUGUUUUUUUAAAGUGGGACUUUUAAUUAGAUCAAAAUGAGUUAGAAACCACUUUAAAACAAAAGCUUAGCUAAGUAAUAUGAGAUCUACCAUUUUCAAGCCAAGAAUCAACUUAAAAUCAAGUGAUCUAUUGGAAUCUUGAUUAAAUCAUUUAAAUCUCAAAUUGAAAUAAAGUUUAAUCAUAAAAAGUUAGAAGCUCACCUCGAUUUUGUAAAAUCAACGAGCUAUUGACCUAAUUCGAGCUAAAACAUAUGAAGAUCUUUUGAGGAUUUAAGGAUGAAAAUGUGAUUAAUCUUUGAAAUUGAAUGAGGAUUUUGUGUUUGGAAAGCUUGAAAAUAAAAAAGAAUGAACUAAUUUCGGGAGAAAAGCAUUAAUUUGGUGUUUGGCAAAAUUGUUUAAAGAGAUGUAGAAGGGAGGGAAGGAGAUGGUAGGUCAUUUAUAUAACCAACCAAAUUUUAAAAAUUGGGCUUUUUCCCAUUUGACCACCUACAGUUUCCUCCCUUUUUCCAAAUUGGUCAUUGUUUUUCAAUUAUAACCAAUUUCAAAUCUAUUUUCAAAUCAAAUCUCGUUUUUAAAAUCUAUUUUAACCAAAUUAAUUCCCGAGCUCUUAAUUUUAACCUCUUAACCUAAAAUCUUUAAUUUUAAUUAUUUUAAUAUUUUAUAUAAUUAUGCCUAAUUAUUUAAUUAUCUAACUUAAUUACUGUUUCCAGUUCACUAACCCAAUUCUAUUAAUCUAAUUUUUAGGAUGUGACAACUAAACAUUUUCACAUGAUCAUCAUUUCAAAUACCAAUAUGACAUCAAGCAAAGUUCACCAAAUGACCAAAACAUAAUUGCCAAUUCAUAUCAAAACAUGACACAACCUUGAAGCUUAAAAUUACAUACCAUUUUAACAUUUAUGUGACCAUUUCAAAUCACAAACUUAUAAAUACACAUUUAUAACCAAAACGCCUAUUUACAUGCCACUAUUAACCUAUCCCAAAAUGAUAAAAAAAAAAUCUACCGAGUCAAUGAACAGAUAAUGUGAACUCCAACUUGAUUCCAGGCGACUACAUAAUUUUUUAUGAUCUACAAGAAAACAAACAAAAUGGACAUAAGCAUACAUAAUGCUUUGUAAGUUCGUGCAGAAUUUAACAUGACUUACCCAAAUUUAACAUAACUUAAUUAUUGAACAUACAAUUAUAUAAUUAAGAACCAUGAUAUUCUUUGAUGGCUUAUGUAAACCACAUACCCAAUAAGGUUAGUUUCCUCACAAUUGAGACAUAAAACAUUUUCAUUCUUAUGCAUCACACACAAGUAAGCAUACUUAAUACACAUUUCACCAUUCACAAACAACAAAAUCAUACUAUCAUUUCCAUUCCGUAUGUCUCGUUUUUACCCGAUAAACUAUAUAGCGAAAUUAUGUUGAAUACUCGGGAUAGAAAUGCUUACACGAAUUAUGGGUCGAGAUGGUAACAUUACACACAGUUGCUCAUACGAGCUGUGAAGAUUCUGCAGCAAAUGCAAGACCUUAGCCAUCAAUAAAACAUUCAAGACCAGCACUCAAAACUGUAAUAACCUUAAUGAUAUGUUAUUCGUACCCUAGUUGUUCAUUAAGUUCAUAAGGAUCUCAAUUUAUAUCCAUAUCAAUCAGACCUUUGAACAUCAUCAUAUGCACAUGAAUGCAACUAUAUACAUUCCCUUUUUCAAUUUCAAACAUCAAUUAUACCAACUUUUACAAUUUAGUCCUUCCAAUAAUCAAAACUAUUUUUUCAAAGAUAUUCAAUUACAAGUUAUAUAUAAGUAAGCAUAUCAAACCAAAAAAGUAAUUAUAAAUCAGUUUAAUUAUUAUAUGAACUUACCUAAUAAAAAACAACAACAAACAUGACACUAAGGGAAAGUUAGCAAUUUUUUCUUUUCCACGUUUAUCUAUCGAUUGAUCCGUUUCUUGAUUUAUAUAAUGAUUUAAAUCAAUAAACAAUUCCCAAUGCCUUAUAAUGUCUAAAUAUAUGCAUAUGACCCUUUAAUAACAUUUAAAAAUAUUUCAUUAAACUUUUACCUUUAAUUCAAUUUAGUCCCUAAAAUCAAAAGUUACAUAUUUUUCACAAUUAACCCCAAGACCUUAGAGCCAACUUUAAUAUCAUCCCAUAACAGUUCCCAAUCAACUAAAUUUAUAGGAAAUUCAUGUCAAAUUUCAACAUAUUAACAUUUUAGUCCUUAUACUCAAAACUAUCCAAAUUCACUUUACAAAUUAGUUUUAUUUCAACACCAAGCUUCAAGCUUAACCAUUAACAUCCAAAAGGAUUUAAGAAAAACAAUGGUAACUUUUCAAAUUUAUAGUAUUUUUACAAAAUAGUCCAUGAGUUAGUUAGAUUAAGCUACAACGAUCUCAAAAACAUAAAAUUUACUAAAAACGAUCUUAGAUUUAACUUACAUGCAAUGACCAAAACUUUAAGGUGGCUUGAAAGUUUUUCUUCUUCCUUAAAUUAUGGUUUUUUUUCGGAGGAAAAGAAAAUGAAAAAGAUGACAUGUUUUGUUUUGUUUUAUUAUAUUAUAUUUUAACUUUACUUUUGACUAAUAAAAAUCUAAGCCCUAACCGUACGUGCCAUUAAAUUAUGGUAUAUUUACCACAUAAACCCUUAUACAUUUACUAUUCAAACCUUUUAACUAAUAAAAAUCAAUAUCGAUUAACUUAUACGACUUUUACGAUUUAAUCCUUUUUCCUUAAUUGACCAACCAAACAUCAAAAUCAUUGGAUCAAACUUUAAUAUGGCACUCUAUUAGACUCGUAAAUAUUAAUUAGUAACAUCUAAGGACCCACUCAUCAGAAUUGUGGUCCUGAAACUACUACUUUCGACACCACUGAAAAACUGGUUGUUACAAGCAUAGUUAAUGCCUCCAGUUAGUAGCUAAAUCAUAUCUUUUGAGAGCAAAACUUUUUAUAUAUAAAGAUAUGAUAUUUUAUAUGAAUCAACACUUGUACGCAUCAUGUCAAUAAGUUGUGAUAAGUACUCCCAUUACAAUUGGCAUUUGGUUAGUAGCCAAAUACAACCCAUUUUAGAAUUUUUGAAUGUACAAUAUAUGUUUAAGUUGCUCCAUCAUAAUGAUGCGAUCCCGGUCGCAUCAUGUUACGACACAACUCGAUGCUACCGAGAUUGGUCCAAACUCGAGGGGCCCAAGUGCAAAAUGAAGCUUUUAAUUUUAGUUUGGUAAUUUGGCUGCGGGAAAAUACGGACUUUGAUUCAUUAAUUUUUAGUUAUUUUAGUUUGUGUUUUUAAUUAUGUCAUAGUUUACACAUCAUUAAUAUGUGUUCUGCAUUUAAUAAAGUCAUGCAUUAUGUAACUUUCAUGUUAGUUAAUUUUUGCAUCAUUAAAUUAAGUCAAAUUAGUUUAAUUAUGUAACUUUCAUGUUAGUUAAAUUUGCAUUUCAAAAUCAUGCAUUUAAGCAUCUUAGUUUAAUAAAUGAGUUGCUGAACAUUUAUUCAACUCAUCUUAGUUUUAAUUAAUAAGUGUUUUUGUUUAACUUUAUUUAAUAAGUGUUGUUCUUAAUUAAUCUAGUUCCUAGGAUUAUUUAUUGAUGCAUGAGUUAAGUUCAUUUAAUUAUGCUUCUUUAAUUAAACUAGUUGCUGGAAUAAUUAUUGCAUAUAUGUUUUAGUUUAUUUAUUUAAGUAAGUUUAGUGUGAGUUAUGAUUAAUAAGUGUUUUCAUGUGUUUAAUAAACUCAUUUUAAUGUGUUUAUUGCAGGUGACUUUUUAGCUUAUAGUGGUUACAAUUCAAGGCUGUUACACAUUUAAUUAAGUGGCUGUUCAAGUUCUUUUGAGUUACAAUUAAAGGGGUUGUUAUAAAGGGAGCUUAAAAAUCAUUAAAGGAGUUUUUAAAGAGCAUUUUAUGCCCUUUAAAAUUCAGCAGCAACUCUUCCACUUCCAGCCGUUUUUGGAGCUUUCAAGAGAAAUUAAUCAAGCCUUUGAAUGUCAUUAAGGAGCAGGUUAAGAGAUGGUGACUAUUCAACUAGCCAAGGACAACUCAAGAGUCAUUUUCUAAGCCAUUAAAGACAUUCAAAUCAGCUGAAUUAAAGUGAUUUUAUGGAAGGAGUUAUUUGGUUCAAAGAAUAAGAAAAGACAUCAGUUUUUUUAUGGCACAUUAAGUGGAUGUUUUUGACCAUUCAGUUACCUUGUUCUAGCAUUAUAAAUAGAUGUAAUCAGCCAUAGAGGGAAGAACUUUUUGCUGAAUAUAGAUGAAAUAUUUGAAUUGUGAGCUAUCCAAUUCUCUUUGUUCUUUCGGAAUUGAUUUGACUUAUCAAGCAUAGCUUGUGGCGUCCAUCUAUUCUUUGUUGCUGAACUUAUCACCUUUGGUGUGGCGUUCAAUAUACCUUUGGUUCCCAUCAUAGUUGAUAGUGGGUCAAGGUUCCUUGCUGUUUCCUUUAACCGAAAAACAACUGAAGACCAUUUUGAGAUUCGGGUCAACAAUUCGUUAUUGUUGGUUCAUUUUUUUUGGUCUUAGCCAUUUAAUUUGUUAUUGUUUCCUAUCUAUUUUAUUCAUUACCUUUGUUUGAAGUCAUUAACUCUAUUUUGUUACUUUUAAACCGAAACAAUUCUAUUCUACUCAAUUCACGAUCGAGCAUCACUAACGACUCGAAUCAAUCACGAAAUGAGUUCGUAUCACAUAAUGUUGGGAAUAUAUAUAUUAAUUAUGAAUGUUAUUAAAUGUUUUAAAUGAAUUGGAGAUUCAAUUAUGACGUGAUUUGUGAUUACUAUUUAAUUUGAUAGUUUUUCCAACAUUAGGGGGAGAUAAAUAAUAGAUGGAUAAAUAAAUCACUUUAUUGCAAAUUAAUUGCCAGAUGCAAUUACUAACCUGAUGAGAAUAAGCAAGUGUUAUAAAUCGGCUAACGUCUUUAUUUGAAUUGAAGUCCCAGUAGGACAAUGUGUUCAAAUGAAAGUAAUGUGUGCCUGAAGCAUGGUAGAUUAAUUGGUUCCAAAGGUGAAAAUUCCCGUAGAAAAAAAUAAUAAAUCAAGAUGGUUUUAUAUUGGAGGUGAUGAUCCAAAAGAGUCCUAAGAUAUAACUAAUUAUUAAAACUCCGGAAGAGAUUUAGAUGCCUAAAAUUGAAGAUGGAAAUAGUGAAAAUAAAAAGAUAUCGAUAAGUAAUGUCAAUACGAAAAAAUAUAGAAUCGUGAAAAAUAGAAAGUUGUCGGCAACAAUUUUGUAUGCAAUAGUAUUGUUGAAAUUAUGAAAGAAAAUGAGGAUCUUGAAUAAAACUGUUAAAAAUUAUAGACAUGGAAUUGAUUAGCCCAAAUAAAAUGACGCAAUUUAAGUAGAAUUAAAUUUGGGAAGCUUUUGGACCAGUCGUCCAAAUAACUAAAGGUAUAAAGCGAGUGAGGGUACAAAUGAAGUAGUUUUGCGAAAACAAAGAAGAAUUACAAAGUUUUUUAGUAAGUCUUAGCAUUGAUUAUGAAAAAAUAUUCUUUUGUGGUGGAUGCAAUAACAUUGAGGUAUCUUAUUAGUAUGGCAAUUUAUGAAAAACUUGACAUGCGUCUAAUAAUUGUUGUUACAAUAUUUUAUAUGAAUCAUUAUAUAGUAAAGUUUAUAUUAAAAUCCUUGAAGGAUUUAGAAAGCUAAAAGCAUAUAAAAAAUUCAUGAGAAAUUGUUUAAUAUGUUUGCAUAAAUAUUUAUAUAAAUUGAAAUGAUUUGAACACGUGGUAAAUUCAACUCGGUGAAUAAUAGCUGAAGGAAGAUUAUAAAAUGAUCCAAAAUCCACGUAUAUAUUUUUAUAAAAGGGCCAUGAUUAAAGUUUGUUGAUUAUUGUUGGAACUCCUAAUGAUAUCAAAAUAUUUUUCCCCAAAAUUAUUCCUCACGCAUAACCUUCAGAAGAAUGAUGAUAUAAAUAUUUAAUAAAUUAGUUCAAGCUAUUAUUUGAAAAUCUAGUAUUCAAGAUUGAAAUACGUAGAAUUUAAGAUAUCAUGUGAUGUUGUCAUGAGGGGGACUAAAUAUGAGCUACUCUUUUUCUCUUAACCAAAGUUUUGUCCCAUUGGACUUUCUUGGUAAGGGUUUUUAAUGGAACGACAUAUUAUGCGUAUUAUAGAUAUCUGUACUUUUUUUUCCUUCACUAGAAAUUUUUUUCACAUAGUUUUUAUCUUAGUAUGGUUUUAACCAGAUACAUUAUCUACCAAAAGACACCCAAGGAGGAGUGUUAUGGAUAUUUUAUUAUUAAGUGGAUGUUCAUCAAGGUCAAGAUAAAUUUGAUGUACUUUAGGACUUCAAUAGUCAUUAGAAGUAAAAUUUUAUUUCAUUUAUACUUCUUAUUUUUAUAAAUAUAGACUUUGGAGACACAUUCUCGUUGAUGAAUAAAAGAACAUUCUCUUUUGCUAUUUAUAUUUCUAUUUAAUAAAAAAUAAGUUUAUUUCAUGUUCAUUUGCAUUUUUUAUGCUUUUAAAUAUAUAUUUUUCUAUUUUUCAAUGCUAGUUUCAAAUCUGAUAUUUUUUUAAUUAUUAUUAGUUUAUAUUUUAAAAUUUUUCUAGGUGUUUCUUAAUUCAUGCUUAUGUAAUGAUUAUAUUUUAUUUUAAUAUAUAUUAAAGAUUGAUUUCCACAUCACUCAUGAGAUAAUUUAAAGAAUAAUUUACAAGUUCACUCAAAUGAUAUUUUAAUACCUUUACUAAAAAAAAUUUAAAAAUUACAUUAUUAAUUAUUUUAUUUUAUUUUUCAAAAAUUAUAUUUAAAGACGAUGGUCGACAUCUUGAGAAUAUCAAGAGGCCAUCUUAUUUGAUGCGGAUAAAGGUGUUUAUAGAUCAGGCUAGGUCAAGUUUGAGUCGAAUUUAAGUAUGAUAUUAAUAUAUUUUAUACUUACUCAAGUUUAACUUAACUAGAAAUACGGGCCUAAAAUUCUUCCCAAGCCCGUCUAUGCUUAUAAAUGGUUAAUCUAAAUUAAUUUUAUGACUGCUCAUAUUAUUUUUAAAAAGAAUUAAAAAAAUAUAUUUAUAUUAUUCUUAAUUUAAUAUUUAAUAAAUUUAAAUAUUUUUAUUUAUUAAAAUUUUAGAUAUACUCAUCUUAACAUUUUUUAGUAUUUACAUUAUAACAAUAUUAUACAUUUAAUUUUUAUGUGUUAUAAAUUACAUGAUAUAUAAAAAUAAUAUAAUAAAAAAAUUAUAAAUUCUUAGAAAAAGGUCCAGCUUGGUCGGGAUCGAGCUGGACCCAUAUUUUAAACGAAAUGAAUUUUUUGCCCAACUCCAAAUUUUAUAGGUCUAAUAUUUUUGCACAAACCCUCUCAAGUCCAAGUAUUUAAAUCCUUUUAAAUUUAUAAAAGAUAUUACGUUUUUAUUUAUAAGUAGUUUAAAAUUAAUAUAAAAUAAUAAUAAACAAAAAAGUUUAAUGCUUUUAAUUUACUUAAAUAAAGAAGUUUUGUUCUAUUACAUCUCUUUUUAAUUUGUCAUAUUGGUACCUCUAAACUAUUUAGCUAAGAAAAUAUAAAUUCAAAAAUUAGAAAUUUGAAGAGUUGGAAAGAAAUUCAGUUUUAAAGAGAGAUGUUUUUGGGUCUUGUUUAAAAGAAAAUUGCUUUAGAUUUUGCUCGAUUUGAUGAUUCUUGGAAAUUCAAAAUCAAGUUUUAAAUGCUAUUGGAUUGUUGCACACCGGAGAUAAAAUUGAACUCUGGGCAGCUCUUGAAGCCACCUUUGGAUCAAUCAACUCUCUAAACUAUUGUAAAGUGUUUUUCUCAAAAUUUUCAGAUCUUAUUUUCGAGUUUGAAAUUUAUGGAUACACGAACUUUUUUCAGAGAGCUUUUGAUAGGUAAUAAUUUAUGAUUAUAAUUACAGUUAAUCAUAAUAUCCCCAAUUAUCGAUAAAAGAAAUUCUAGCUUAAUGUUUUCUUGGAUUUACUGGAUUUGUAUAUGUAUUAAUAUCCAAUUAUCAGUGUUUUUCCCUAAAUAUUUAUAUGGUUUUAUUACGUUGGGUUGAUUGUGUUGUUGCCGUGAACAGGCAUGAGGGAGGUGAUAGCUGAUUUGGAGUACUUUUAUUUGGACUACUUAGUUGCAGGUUUCUGUUGGUACCUUCUCCAGGCUAUGGACAUCGUUGCUGAGGAACUAAUGUUCUUCUUCCAGCCGCUGCUGCCCCUCUUUCACGGCUUUGCUCGUUCCUUGUUUUGCCUCGUCUUUAUUUGCUUUGAUUCUUGAUUUGUUUCACUAUAUAGUUUGAUGAUUAAACCCAGAUUAUUUUAUAAUAAUCCCGAUACGAAUGUAAUCUUUCAAAUAUAAAUUUAAUUUUUGGAUUUUUUUUUAAAGCCAAAGAGAACUUCAGUUGAGCCAAUUAGGUCUUAUUUAUGGAACAACUACAUAAACAAAACUAGUAACAGUAAUAUAAACUCUUUCAGACUGAAAUCCCUACGCCACUUAAUACAGUACUCAAUCUUCGAGCGACGGUCGGUGUUGAGUCAGCCCAGAAUGAAGAAGGCUUCAUAUUACCAUAAUUGACGGUCAGAAAGAGCUUUCAAGCUGGUGAAAGAUGUAAUCAAGAAUUGUUCUGGAUCCAUGAAUUACAGACGUAAACUGGCAUCUUUAACAUAUGUAUCCCGCACAUAUUCAGGCAUAGAUAUGGAACUAUAUGAAAAUUUUGGAAAAGUAAUUGAACAUACUAUAUUCAACAUCAAAGCAGCAAUAAAGAGGCAGAAAGGGAAGAGGAGAAGCAAUACAUUAUUAUCACACUUAACGAUUAUUCUGACUCGAAAGAGAAAGAGAAUCAAUGAGAAAGAUUAUCACCUAUAUUCCUUUUGACUGCCAAGUAUGAAGAUGGAGGCAAUCUUCAAACCAAAAAUGCCUCAUGGUUUUAUGUGUUCAACUUUCUACCCUAUCCUCUCAAACAGCCUGUUCAAAACAAUGACAAAACAUGAUGCUACGAUAUAUACUGUCGAAUUCAACUUGGAAACAACUAUGAAACGAGAUCCCAAGUAGCUCCACAAGCAUACAAUUACAUUAACUACAAUAGUCGCUGAAAAAAGACAACAUAAAACAAGGAUCUUACUUCACUAUGCAGCCCUGAUUUUAUCGUCCCCCACCAACUGCGAGCAUAUGUAAGCUACUCAAAAACUCUUCAAGACCCUCAACAUAUCCACUAUUUGUCACCCCUCUUUUGCUCGGCUCGGCUUCCGGCACCAUCGAUACACCUCUGCCAUUGCCGUUCACUCUCUCACUCCUUUGCGUCUUAGCGUUUCUCACCACAGAUCCUUCCCCUUUGGCUUUCUUCUUCCUCCUCUCCUUCUGCCACUUAUCAUCAUCAUCAUCAUUAUUAGUAUCCUCAGCAGAAGAAAUUUCUAUAUAUAUAUCAUCUUCAUCGUAAAACACUCUUGGGGCAGAUUUCUGGGCACUAGUUUGUUUACCUGCAUUCUUGUUGUUAGGGCAAGCAAACAUGGUUGAAACAGGUGACCAACGGGGGAAAUUACCGCCCAUGUUCUCACCAUUCCCCGAAAAUCCUAAUGGGAAAAACCCCAUAGUACACAAAUACGUUUCCUUUCCGUCCACAGGCGGCGGCGACGGAAUCACAACCGCAUGGAAGGCUCUCCUGCAGUUCUCAGCCUGACACCUCAGUGUGCAAUCCUCGUAAACCUUUGGAUACUCGUAGAGAACGUAACAGUACGGACAAGCCGUCCAGAAAGUCAAUGACUCUGAGUCGGGGGGUUUACUAGGCCGAGUCGAAUCGGUCUUCCAGGUCACAUCGGUUGUGUCUGUCUCACUAUGCUCCGUAGAAGGAGGAGUUGCCUGAUUAAUUUGACCCAUCCGAGUCGACUCGGUCUGAUCAAACUGACUGGAGGUAGCGUUUCCUGACUGAUCCAUUUGGCUCAUCGGAAUAGGCCCAAGACGAUUAAUCCAUGGGAGGAUUAGUGUGUUUGAAACUAAUUGAUCCUGUCUGUCCCAGCGAAACCGAUUUGAUUAAAUCUCCCUCCACCAAGGCGACACAGAGGGUGGGGCGAGUUGACUCGGGCAGAUUGGUAUUUAAACUGAAUUGCCCUCCUUGUAAUGUGGCAUAUCCAUCUCCGCUACUGCUUCUUACCACGGAUAGUGGUUGCGCAACUUGCGGUUGAGUUCCUUUGGGCAGAGGUGGCAGCAUCUGCGUUUGCAGUGCUUAAACUGGGGUUGUUGUUGUUGAUUGAGUUGACUCAGGUGUCCAAACUGAAAGAAUCUCAUCUCCUUCUUCGAAGGACAGGACAACACAUUCCAAGCUUCGGAAAGGAAAGAGAGCCGCAGGAUUCAAAGGGGGGGCGAGUUUCCUGUACUGAGUUGUUACGACUUCCAUGGAUUGAGUUAACGGAACCGAACCAAUCAACAAAACGAUUGAGUUAAAGGAACCGAACCAAUCAACAAAAAAGGAAAGAAACGUGGCUUUUUAUAUAAAUAAUAAUAAAAUUAAUUAAUUAUGAAAAAUAUUUACGAAAAAAGAAUGUUUGCUACCAUACCCGCGGGUGCCGCCUGACAUGUCGGCAACAUCACUUCCCUUUUUUCAGUCAAUCAUCUUUUAAUCAUCAUCGUUUAAAAAAAAUUUUGUGUCGCCAUCAUGUCAAGCGACACCUAUAUAUAUAUUUAAACAUAUCCAUGAAAAUAUGAGUAUUCACAAUGAAAAAAAUAUUUUUUUAAUGGUGUCAUCACGCUGUCAAGGUGAUGCGGUCGCGGCUAACCAUCCCUAAAGUUUGUUGUACAACGCACCUCAAUCUCCAUGCAACUGCUUAUUGGUCAUCUUCUUAAUCCACCAUGCUUUCCAAUAUGACAUUCAGUACUGGAAUUGUGCUUGCAUGUCGACAAUCAAGACCGAUACAAUAAUUGUGGGCAUGUUAUUCACCAAUGUCAUGAUGCAAUUACAAAUAGUUUUUGUAUUAAGUUUGCGAUGGCCUUGCGUCAUACGUGCAAAAGUGCAUGUAUGACACCCAACAAAUUUUCGGAUCUCCCACAAUUGCAACAUCUGGAUAAAUGCAUCUAGUAACCACCAGUUGCACCUUUCUACCGACCUCCAACACUCCCCAACAUAUAAUGUCGAUUUAGAUACAACGAUUUUUUAGUCGACCGACACCUUCAUGCUAUAUUGUUUGAUGGAAAAUAUGCAGUCUUCAUUGGUUGUGAAUUAUUGGCCUACAAACAACUCUUCUAAGUCCAAAACUGCUAGCAACCAAUGAAAAGAUAUUAUAUCUGGGUACUCAAGAAACUCGGAUGUAUGUGCCACAUCAAGAUCUACGCUCAACAUGUGGGCCCAAGGUCAUUGCAUAUUACAAUGCUACAGGUCUGGUUCUUGACCGAAGGGGCGUAUACAUUUUCAUCAUUGUCUGUGCCUUUAUCGUCGAUAUCAUCCGAGACCUUAUCCAGAUCGGGGUCACCAAAAUCUUCACCCUCAUUAUCAAAACGACCAUCAUUACCGAGUCAUUCUCUAUCAUUUGCAUCUGUCUCAAUUACCGUCGGAUGCAUCUGUAAAUGGGGACCCGAAUUAGCGUUGUUAUACGCAGUCGGAGCAUGGUGUGGAUUUUCGACUAGUGUCGAUGUUGCUUCAUAACCGCACUAUUCUGCCCUUCUAAUAUUCUAAUUGAAGUCAAACCCAUGUACAAAUGAUCGCCUAUCGAUAGACACUCUCGGAGCCUCCAUACACGGGUCUUGAACUCCAUGUUAUUAACUUAGUGGAGUGACAUUUUGAACGGGCUCUACAUCUUCUAACUCAACCAAUAGCUCAACUAGUUCAACGUUCACGUUCCCAGUCAAGCAAUAAAGUGUGAUAAUUGUCUCCAUGUCUUCAUCAUCUACAAGUUUCAUCUUAGUAUAUUUGCAUAGAUUUGACAAAUUUGGAAAUUUGUAAAAUAGUCUUGACAUCCACCUCCCACAACGUUGAGUAAUUUUUGCAAUAAUCUUUUCUUUCAUAUCUUUGAAUUUUACAUUCUUAUUAAGCAUCAUCAUUAUUUGCUAGUAAGAUUCAAAUAUAUAACCAACAAUUUCUUGUAAAAUUACCCCCUCAAACUAAACAUAUAUGAAAAAUUGGUUAUUCAGCUUCGAUACUAAAUUUAUAAAAUAAUUUAAAAAUAAAAAAAUAGCUUUUAUUUAAAAAAUAUUAGACCCUACUGAAAAAAAUAUAAUUACAUAUAAAUAAUUAUAAACUAACCUUAUAAACUCGAACUUGAUUUUUGAAGUUUAAAACACAAAUAUUCUUUUCUUUUUCUGGUUUCUCCUAUUCUACUGAACACAAAUCUUUCCUCUCUUUUUUCUUCCAUUCAAUAGAAACCAAAAAGUUCAACAAAAACCCAAAACUUCAACAGAAAUAGAUUUUUGGUUGGGGGUCGGGUAUAUAUACUAGGUGGUGCUGCCUGACAGCGUCGUAGGACCACCAGUGUCUCUUGACAUGUUGGCGGCACCACUAAUAAAUUAAUUUUUUCGGUUUCCCUUUUUUUCCUGACAACAUUUAUUAAAAAAUUGUAUCGAUGUCGCCUGACACAUCGACGACACCCAUUAAUUUUUUUAAAAAAAAUAUUAGUGGUGUUACCUGACCCACUGACGACACCCAUUAAAAAAAAUUUGCUAGUCUUAGCUUUUUUUUUUACACCAAUUUUUUUUAAAUUAUCAACACCUGACUCACCGUGAUCGUAUCACCCUAUCAGACCAAUGACACUUAGUAUGUUUUUGCAUGUGCAUUGGGGUGAGAUAUGAUUAUGUGAUGGAGAAAGUUUGUUCUGGCAGUUUAUCUGCGCUUUAUGAUUUUGGUAGAAUUUUCGCAAUAUGCUUCUGGCAGCAUUGCUGUAUAUUAUCUGAUCGGCAUACGACCACAUUAUGGUGUGAUAGAUGGAUGAGUUCUUUAAGCCUUAUUUGGUGUGAUUGGUUGGAUGGAGUUCGUGUGUAGUGGAUGAAGAUAAGAAUUUCUGUAUGACAUCUCUAUGCUAAGCAUGUUAUAAUUUAUGAUCCGUCUAUUUUGAUAUAUGCAUCUAUGCAUGAUUUCACUAUUUGCUUGUGGGCCAAGACACACACUAAGCUUUAUAAGUCAUCUUGUUUACUUAAUCUUUUCAGGUAACACCUAGACUUAGGAUUUGGUGGCACUCGACAGCUCGGUUCAGUUAUUACGUAUAAAACUUAUCUAGUAAUUCUUAUUUUAAAAUUCAUGGACUUUUUGAUCAUUGGACGGUUUUGCGGAUUUUAAUGGUGGUUUUCAGGAUUUGCUAAAUAUUUUAAUUAGUUAUAUUAAGAUUUGGCAAGUUUUCUUAAAAAGCUAAAACUUAGCAUUCGAUUUUCAUGCCUAAACAAGUCUAAGAAAAUUUCCUUUGCAAAAUUUUAACCAGGAAUAUGCAUUUUUACAAAAACAAGUAAAUAAAGUUGAUAGCAGUGUUGAUUUAUUAAUAUAACUUUCAAGAUUCGGCUAUAACGUGUAGACCGGAUUUAGGGUGUCUUACUAAAUUUUUUUUCUAAAAUUACAAUAAAAAUAAAUCUUACUUUUAAUGAAAUAUAAUUAUUUAAUUCAUGUACAAGAUAUAAAAUUAUUCACAAUUAUACAAUAUAUAAAAUAAAAUUAUAAAAUUUAUCCCGCAAUGUAGUGGAAGCAUUCCUCAAAUAAUAAUAAUAAUAAUGCAAGUACGACCUUUGUUUCUUCGAAGUAAAAACUAAUAACCCUCGAAUUAAGAGUCGAUUCCAUGAGGAAGCUACUCAUAAAAUAGAUGUUUUGAAGAUAUGAUUUUUAUAUAAAAUUACGAGAAUAAAAAGAAAAAUAAUAAAAUUAAGCUUUGUUCUUAUCAAUUUGACUGGUUAUUUUUACAGUUUUUAUCAUACCAUUACAAUAAAGUAAAUGCAAGAUGAGGGCGUUAGAGACAAGACUCAGUACGAGGGUACAACAGAGUCUCAAAUUUUCUGACAAAUGUUCCAUCUCUCUCCAGCAUCGUCAAUCAAUCUGUACGAAAAACCAAAACUCCACCACACACACAUAUUUUAUAUAUAAAGGAUAAAAAUCUAAUCCCAGUUUUCUUUUUGGGAUAAAAAAAUCUAACCCAGUUGCAAAAAACAAACCACUUGAUAUUUACAAUUUAUCCAUAGAGACCAAUAUGGCAAAAUAUUUGCAAAGCCAGUCCUUGUUUGGACACAAAAGGAAUCUUUCUAUAUUUUCCUUCUUCCAUUUCUUUCAAUAAUUUAGUAGCUUUUUAUUUUUAUCUCUUUCUGUCAAGUGUCACCACCACCAUUCUCAUCACUCAACCCCCACCCCCCUCCAAAAAAAAAGAAAAUUAAUAUGAGAAAAACCCAUAAAUUCUGACCAAUCAAAAUCCCCCACCUUCUUCCAUUUUUCAUCCUACAAUGAGGUUGGGUAGGGUUGGGAGGCUUUUUUCUCUCUUUGGCAACUAGGGUUUUGCUUCAAUGUUUUCUUCCUGAUGUCAUUUUAUUUUCUUUAGUAUCGGUUUUUUUUUAGAUAAGAGUAUUUGAUUCUACUGGCUUACUUUGGAAAGCCAAAAAAGCAAAAGAAGAAAAAAAAAACCCAGUUGCACAGCUAAUCUCUUGAUCCUACUACUGUUUCUUAUCUGUUUGCUGCUUCACAACAGAGAUUCUCUUCUACACAAUUUUCUUGGUACUUAAAACUUUCUUUUCUCCUGUAUUUUGCUUGAUUUAAGGUGAGAAACUGAGAUCUAUCAAUUUACAUACAUAUGUAUAUUGGGUUUGAUUUCUUGUGACUAAACCCCAUUUUGUUAAUGUGCUUGUUAGUAGCAAUUAGCAUAGGGUUCAAAUUUUGAUUCCUUUGAACACAUGUGUUUCUUUAACAAACCGAUUGCUGUUGUUUGCUUGUUUUUUGUGGAGUGGAAAGAGAAUGACGAGACAAAGGAUAGAGAUCAAGAAGAUCGCCAACACAGCGGCACGACAGGUGACAUUCUCAAAGAGGAGAAGAGGACUUUUCAAGAAAGCUCACGAGCUUUCCACUCUUUGCGAUGCCGAGAUAGCUCUUAUAGUCUUCUCAGCCACCGGCAAGCUCUUCAAAUAUUCCAGCACCAGGUUACUUAUCGGUAGCUCUUCCCUUUCAUCUCCCAUACAUACCUUAUCUCUGCUGCUUCUCCAUUUGGUUGUUUGGUAACUGUGAGAUUAAUUUGAUUUGAAACAAGAUCUGCCAAAUCAAGAGAACUGUACAAGAAUCUAAAUUCAUAAUGACCAAUGUACUUGAAUCUUAUAUUUUUCUUUUCAAAAAUUAAAAAAAGAAAAAAAACUUCUUUUAAUAAUCCAUGUCAGAAGCUGGGUGGGGGACUUAGGGUUGGGUGAUAGUUUCAUCAAAUUCUUUGUCUAAUCAAUCUUUGUAAAUUUCUAGUUGGUACUUGACUGAUGCUUUCCAUGAACGAAACCUUAGGUUUUCAUAAAAUAUUAGGGCUCCUAAUCACCAAUCCUAUACAUGAAUAUCUACAACAAUAUUACAAUGAUUUAUGUUCCAUAUGUUGUAAUAAGCGUAUGCAUUUCUACUAUUUUAGGUAAAUCGACAUGAAUCCUGUCUUGUUUUGGUGUGUUGGCUUAUCUAUGAAUAAAUGUUGUUUAUUAUCUCUUUUUUAGUAAAAUUUUAUUUUGAUUAACCAAAUUAUCCAUAUAUAUAUAUAUAUAUAUACAUAAAUUUUAUGUUUAUUUAACAAUAAGAAUUUGUUGAACUUCAAGCUCUGACCUAUUAAUAUAGAGUUCACCUUUCCUAGGAAUAUCAUGAAUAGCAUGGUUCAAUUCAUCAUUGUGUAAAAAAAACAAGAAUUCAUCUAUUAAUAUAAUAUCAAUUUAUGAAUCCUAAAAUACAUAAUUAAGUUUAAAAGCAGACAUAUAUUAAGAAAAUGUGACAACAAAUAAGAUAUGAUCAAAUCUUUCAAUAACAAUAUUUUUUUUUGGGAAAAGAUCCGCUUAUAAUGAUGUAAAACUAGUUUUAUACUCUUUCAUAAUUUCUUUUAUUGUUGAUAUUUUAACAGUCCGACUAUCAUAUUUCAUGCAUGUCAAGUUUGUAGUAAAUAAAAUUGUUUUAACUAUUUGUUUUGUUUUAAAAAAAUUCAAUCGUUAACUAUUUAUUAAUUCAUAGACAAUAUUUUUUAUCGAUAUGAUAGAUAUACCGGAUCGAUUCAAAAUUUUACAUGCAUGAAAAAUUCAAUUAUAUUGAUAAAUUCAUCGAUUGGAUGGUUAAAAUAUUAAGAGUUAAUAAAGUAAUGAAAUUGUUCCAACUUAUUGAUUUUCAUUAACUAACCCUAGAUCCUUGCCCCUAAAAAAUGGAUGUUUCUCUUCUAGCUCCAUCCUGUACUAUUUACAUUACAACACAACAAAAAGACGAAUGAUAAUAUAACAAAGGAUGUUAAGCAAAAAGCACCUUCAUUUCUACAUAACGGAAAGUGGUGGGUUAAAAGAAUGUAAAAUCAUGUUAUUUUUACAUCGUUGUAAGUGGACUCCAUCCCAUUCCAUCCUUUAUAAAUUCAUUUCUUUAGUUUGUUGUAGAUCUAAAUAUUUUUACCCUUUAUAACACAUUUCAACCUAUAAGAGCAACAUGCAUAAAUUAUGAAGUAUACCCAUUACUAAACUAGUUCUUUGUAAGAGCCUCUUCUCCCAAAAUUAAUUUUAAUCCUAAGUGGAAUAAAAAUGAUAAAUUUUAUUAAAGAUAUGAUUUAAAUCUCCCUAAUUAAUAUUAUUAAUAUAUAUUGUAGUCUUUACUCAAAAUUUAAAAAAGUCAAAUAUGAUUUAAAUCUAAGUCCUAAGCUUUAAGCCCUAAACCCUAAACUCUAAACCCUUCCCCCUCAUACUAAGACUAUAGAAUGUUCUUGUGAAUUAUGGCCAAUACCAGGUAUAUAAGCAGUGAUUUCAAACCCACAGGUUAAUCGUACUCUGGCAACUUUACGUAAGGCAGAGUUUGGUUUAUUGGGGGUGAUAGUGAAAAAGUUGACAGAUAAGUCACCUUUACUGCCACUCUAUAGAACCGUACAUGAGGUUUUCACCUCAUAUAGCUCCUCGCUCAAUUCUUUCGAAGUCAUUGGGUCCUUUUCCUCGUUCGAGAAUCUCCUCCCUUCUUCCACUCUGUCCCGAAGAGUAACUAGGACAAAUUCAGUCACGUUUUCAUGUUCCAAUUGAACACUUUCCAUUUUUGAUUAUUCUCAAAAGAGAAGAUUUUUUUUACCAAACAUCUGCGGAUCCAAUCACACGAUCUUAUAAUAAGAACAAGAGAUCUUUCUCGAUCAAUCCCUUUCCCCUCAUUCUUCGAGAAUCAGAAAGAUCCUUUUCAAGUUUGAAUUUGUUCAUUUGGAAUCUGGGUUCUUCUACUUCAUUUUUAUUUGCUUAUUUAUUAUUUUUAUUAUUUUUCCCCCUCUUUUUUUAAUUUCUUUUUUUUAUUUUAUUCCCUUCCAUCAUUCCCUAAGUCCCAUAGGUUUGAUCCUAUAGAAUUUGACCCAUUUUCUCAUUGAGCGAGGGGUACGAACUAAAUCAAAUUGAUUUUUCGAUCAAAAAUAUGAUUAUGGGUAUAUAACAACUACCUCAUUAUAAUAGUAAAAAUCUUUAUAGAUAAAUAAAGCUUUUUAUAGAAAAGAUCAGUUCUACGUAAACCCUCAAUUUUAAAUGUAAAUAUAUAUAAUCCAACAUCUUUAUUAUUAUUGGUAUCCCCCAAAAUCUAUAAGCUUUUACAUUAUGAAAUGGAAAGGAAACAAUAAUCUAACAAACUCAAAAGGAGAGAAGGAGCAAAAGGAGAAUGAAAGAUUUUUUUGAAGUGGGUUGAGAGUGAAAAUGAACCAUGGUAUGUAUAAAAGUUGUAUUGGCUAAAAAUAACACAGAUAAGUGGAUUGAAUUAGUUAAAAAUAGUUUGAAAAUGAUUCAAUGAAUUUAGACUUGACUAAAUAUAAAUGCUACUAGUUAAGAAGUUUACUUGUCUCUCAAAAAUUCAUUAAAAAAGAAAUUCAAAAACAAAAUGACUCAAAUGUAAAUUACACUAACUUUUGGGGCCUAAUGCGCAAAUUCACCUUUAUCAAUUUGGUUAUUACUAGCCCAAUGAAAUAUAAGGACUUAUAAACAAUGGUCUCAAAUUUUUUUUUUUUUAGAAAUGUGAGAUUCAUUCUUUUGAAAUAUCUCAAAUUUUCAACACCAGUUAACUGAUAUUUAUAUAGUAAUUAAAGGAUUUUCUUUUAUAAAUUAUAAGGAAAAAAUUUUUAUUUUUGCAUUUAAUGCAAUUUUUUUACUAAAUUCAAGAAAAAAAAGUUGAUUAACAAUAAUUUUCUUCCCAUAAAUAUCAUCUUGAGAAAAAGAGAUGCUAACAAAAUGAUAUUAAAGGAAGAUAAUGUGCAAUCAAUGAUUUUUUUUUGUGUGUUAAGUAAAAACAAUGCAUUCAAUGCAUAUAACCUUUCUAAAUUAGUCCUAUGUUCAAGAUUUGAUAUUUCUCUGUUAAUUCUCUCCUUUUUUUUUUUUAUGAAUUUAGCUUUUAUUUGUUUGAAUUCAAUUUAAUGUUGGGGUUGAUGUUGGUAGUUUCCCAUUGCUUAUGGUCUUUUCAUUAGUUUACAAAGACUAGAAAUUUAGUUGCUAUUGAAAAAUUGGUGGCUCCCAUGUGAAGAUUACAAAUAUUAAUGGUUGAAUACUUUAUGGUAGUUUCUAUAUGAAAAAUCCAAGUUAAUAGCUUAGAACCCAAAGUCAAAAUAAACAUGAAUUCCAUAGUUUUAACUAAAUCUAUUCUUAAUCUUUAAAAAUAUGCAUUCAAAAAUGGAAAGAAAAAAAAAAAAAACUCUUAGAUCGAUUUGAGGGAACAGGAGUGUUAAGGGUGAUCAUCCAAGUCCAAUAGUGGUGUAUAAAUUGGAUUAUAUUAUAUAGGAUUUUCUUAACUUGUGUUUAAGGUCAUUUUAUUAUUAAUUUGAUUCUAUAUAUUUUUUAGGUUUAAUACAUUACUUGAUUGAACUUUGAUAAAACCUAAUUGUUGAAUUACAAUUUACAUUAUGGCCCAGUAUGAGGCAGGUGAUUGAAAGGCGCCGUUUGCAGUCAGAAAGGAUUGAUGGAUUGGAGGGCGCUCCAUCUGUUGAGCUGCAGGUUACAACUUCUGUUUUUUCUCUUAUUGUUUGUAUUGCACGUACAGAUUUAUGGGAAAUUAUCUGUUUUUAUUUAUAAUAAUUACAAGGUAAAUGCAUUCCGAUGAUCAUGAGAUGGAUUAAGCACAACUAAGAACCCCUUUUAAGAUCUUGAACUUCUUGUGUAACUAGUGCUGCCUGUAUGAAACAUUAGAUCCUUGAAAAGGCCACAUUUUUUAUCCUAUCUGCCUGGAAACCGAACCGCAUUUUAAUGAAGUUGUGAACUGGUUUGUUUUAGCUGGAGAGUGCUACUCAUUCCGUGUUGAGUAAGGAAAUUGCAGAAAAGACCCAAGAACUGAGGUAAAUCCGAGUAUUUAUUACUGUGAUAUAUGAGGUUGUCAAUGCCAUAAUGAUAUUUUGGCAUGGUUUCGUUGAUAGACAGCUAAGGGGAGAAGACCUCCACGGACUAAACCUAGACCAGCUGAAACAACUAGAGAAAUUAGUCCAAGGUGGCUUGAGCCAAAUUUCAGAAACAAAGGUGUUUUCUUCAAGCCCCAUACUCAUCUUUGCUUUUUCAAGUUUUAUUAUUUUCCUUAGUUGAGUCAGUGGAAAAGCAUUCAUGUUUCAGGAUGAGCGAUUUUUGAAAGAGAUCAGCACCCUGGAGAAGAAGGUGAUUGAUAUAUAAAUGGCUAACUUAUAAGAAAUGGUCAAAAGCCAUGCAUGCAUUCAAAGAUUUUAAUGGCAAAAACAUCCUUUUUUACUUAACUGUUUGUUUAUACCUUGAAGGGAGCAGAACUGAAGGAAGAAAACCUGAUAUUGAAACAGCAAGUGAGUGUGUUACACCAUAUCUUGUUUCUUGGUUUCAAUACAUUUUCAUUUGACAGCCAAGUUAAUUUUGGGUAGGUGGAGAAAUUACCGCUUGUGGUCAAAGGCCAACCAUCAGAGCCAUUUCCCCAUCUUCACAAAUCUGGAGACCCCCCUCCUCCUCCUCAAGGGUAUAACACCUCUGAUAUUUCACUCACCUUGGGGUAAGCUCUCAUAUAUACUUUGUAAACUCUUUUAUCUUUUCCUACACAUUAAAACAUGGAUAUAAAAUAUGAUUUUCGAUAACAACUUUUAAGAAAAAAAAAUGCAAGUACGUGUGGUAUAUUGCUAAUAUCUGCUAUAGCCCGGCCUGAGUGCAUCAACCAAUGCCCUUUUGCAGGUUACCUUUCCCUAGCUGAUAGAAAGGUUAGCGGGGAUGUUGUGAAGAAAUGCUCCUCAUCUUUGCAUAAAAUCGUAUCUUUAAAGCUCAUCUAUACGAGUAAAUUUACAACCUGGCUCCUCUAUGUUAAAUGUAUCUAUAUAUCUAUAGGCUGAAGAUAACCAUUUAAUUAUCAAGUUCAUUGAUGUUUACGAAAACAAAAGAAAAAGGUAUUGCAAUAAAACUGACUUUUAUAUGCAAGAAAAAAUCGGCUAUCUGAUACUAUCCACUGCCAUCCCUGCAAGUAGAGAAAGGGUAUAAAUAGAUGCUAAGUGUAUGAUCAAAGUAGGGAUCGACGAGUUGGAAAGAGCUGUGGAGGCUAACUCCAGCAUUGCAGGAGCUCGAUGCAAUUAUCACAUUUCUUAAAAUUCUUUAUUUAUAAAGACAUGUCCGUAAGUGGAGAAAUUUCAGAGAUUUAUUUCCAUCACACUUGUUCGUAUACAACGUAGUGAAUACUACAAUAGUAAUAGAUAAAUGAAGAGAGCACAUUUCAAUUGGUGUUAGGAAUUUCUCUGGGUUUUAUCAGUAUUGGGUCAAGUCUUGGUUUGAGGCUAUAAUGAGCAUGAGUGAAAUAUAGUAAAUUACCUUUUGAGUAAAGUUUUGCAUCUUUAUAAAAAAAGAUACCAGCAACUCAACACUAAUAUUAUCAAGUCUGCUUUCUGCCUUGGAAGUUUCUGCUUUGUAGGGCAAAGAUGAAGCAUUCAAAGGAUGAUCUCUGUUAAUAAUCAUCUCUCAUUAUAUAAAAUUAUUAAUUAAUUUAAUUUUUUUAUUUUAAAUGCAUAUUUUUAGUAUUAAUGUUUUCUACAUCAAUUUUAUUUUAUUCAUUACAUUGAUAAUAUUUAAUUUAAUGUAGGGAAAACACAGAGAAAACGAUGAUGCCUAAAUUCUAAAACCCAAUAUUAUAAUUAAAUUUAACUAUUUUAGUUGAUAAUGUUAAUACAUAUCUCGUGCAUAAUCCACCGAAAGAGCUACUAACGGAAAUGGAGGAGGAUAGGAAAUAUUUUGAAAGUUAAAAACAGUUAUUUUAACAUUGUCAUUAUAUUGGAAAUAUUUUUAAUUAAUAUGUUUAAAAUUUUAAAUUUAAAUUGUUUUUAAAUAUGUUUUGUACAUUAAAAUUUUUAAAUAUUAUUUAUAUAAACAUUUUAAUUAUUUUAAAAAAAACUAAUAUCUAUUUAAAACAUCAUUAUAAAAAUUAAAAAAUUGUUUUGAUUGAUACAUCUAAUCAGCUCAUGCAUCGCAUUGGAUAUUCAAACUAGUUUUCUCAAUAUAGAAAUAUUAUCCAAACUAAAAACUUAAUAUUGCAUAAAUAAUUAUUUUAAGAUCUUUAAAAUAAUAUAAUUUUUAAAAAUAUAAAGAAUUAUUUGAUGCAAAUUAGAAUCGCAAUAAAUUGAUUCCUCCUCCACAUUUUCCCUUUGUUAUACAAACUUUAAGUUGUGGAGGUUAUAAAUUUUUGUGUGUAACUUUAAUAGGGAACGGGAGGCUAACCUUAAUAGAUAGAGGAAUAAUUAAUUUGUUGAAAAAAUUGUUUAUGAAAACGGUUUUAUGGUGUAGCAAAACUUUAAAACAUUUUCCUAAAAUUGGAUUUCCACUAAAUUUAGAACUUGUAUUUUUGAGCUAGCGAGUCUUGUCAAAUUCUGAAUCUAACGACUAAACCCUUCUAGCUUUUGACUAAAUGAUUUUCUUCGUUAUUCUCGAACUUUUAAAUGAUAAGAGAGCGAGUUCUUAUUAAGAACCGAAAACAAAAUGAAAAGUUUCAACCUUUUAACGGGGAAAGAUAACUUUCUUUAUGGGGAAACUAAAAUUGAAAAUAUAAUGUUGAUGAUCUAGUCAUGUUGUCCAUAUAUAAUGUGCAAGGUGCAUGUAAUAAUUUUAUAUAUUGAGGCUCUUGUUCAUAUAUGUGGCAUUCACUUGUGUCACGGGGUUAGAACUUUAGUCUUGUAAUCUAUGCGACUUUAGGCAAUUUCUUUGUUUCAAACGCGCCUAAGUCAGCCUAAGUCAAAUUCUCUAAGGCACUAGAAAUAUAGCGGAAGCAUAAUGAAACAAAAAGAGCAACACGAGAACUAAAAAGUCAUAGGAAAACAAUGCACACCAAAUGUUUGAAUAAAUGCUCUCAAUAUAUUAUUAACCCAAGAAUAACUAAAUACAAUGAGAUGAAUACAAAUGAAAGGGGAGACCUCUAUUUAUAGUUGAGCUCUCCCAAAAUCAACUGUACAAAUUAAUGGGCUUCUUCAUGGGUUCCACGAAUCAAGCCAGUUUAAGCAGGUCAAAUAUGUCCCAUUUAAUAAGUUGGUCUGUGUGCAAUGGUAACGGGUUUUGAUCCGUGGCCCAUGACACUUGCACUUAUUUGGCCGAAAGUGUCACAAGGGGUACAUUGGUCACUUGGGGAUGAGAGGUUGACUAGUUUUUGUUGGAUACAUGGAUGGUUGGUUUUGGGUCAUUAAACACUAGUAUAGUGGAGCAAGGCCUUUGGAGGAUAUUGCGGUUGUUAGAGGCAUGGCUACAAGAUCUGGUGAGUGGGACUGGGAGAAGCUCUUCGGUUUAAUACCACAGUUCUUGCUGAAUAAAAUUGCAGGUAUAAUGUCGCCCUUGGACGGUACAAGUAUUGACAGGUUGGCAUGGAAUUAGAGCGAUGCUGGUGGAUUCUCAGUGGCUCGAACGUAUGAGGGGAUCGUUGGCACUAACUGGGGAUAUUCUAACCUAGUUUGGCAACUCAUUUGGAGAUGCCAAACACCUCAACGUGUUCAUAGUUUCUUAUGGCUGGAUUAUCGAGAUGGCCUUUUGACAAAUGGUGAAUGCUGGACGAGGGAUCACGGACGAUGCAUGUUGCAAUUGUUGUGGAGAGUUGCUGGAGGCAAUCCUUCAUGUUCUCCAUGAUUGUGUCUACGCUAAAAAUGUGUGGAAUUCAUUGCUAACGAGUAAUGUUCGAUGCUGGUUUUUUCAACUACCAUUAAAUGAGAGGAUUGUCAAGAAUAUUCAAGAAGCCUUCCAUCUCAGUUUUGUUGGUAUAAAGUGGAGUAUGUACUAUUCGAUCAUUAUUUAACUACCAUGGAAACAACAAAAUAAUUUUAAUUUUCAAGGCUCUCGUAGUAGCACAGAGGAGCUGAUUCGUACCAAUCUCUUAUGGGUGAGAAGUAUAUAUAAUGCUCAGCGGCGGGGGGUGCAAUUCAUAUGGGGAUGUCUGCUAAUGCAAAUUGGGAAGCACCUGAGGAGGGUUGGAUGAAACUCAAUACUGAUGUUGCUGUAGACAGAAGUAAAUGGCAUGCAGGUAUUGCUGGUUUAUUCUAAAACGCAAGAGGAGAAUGGGCGUUGGGAUAUGCUCGACACUUGGGGGAUGUAUCAGUCUUUCAGGCAGAGGCUAGAGGAAUUCUUACAGCUAGCAUGGAACCAGGGGUACAGGAAAAUUGUUGUUGAGAAUGACAAUGCCUUACACAUUGAGACAAUUGUAGUGGUGUGACAAGUAACAAUGAUUUUGCAAAGCUAAGACAGAUAUAGAAAGCUUGUGACUAGGAUUGGCAGCUAAGUUUUCGGCACGUCGAACGAGAGGCAAAUACUUUGUGCGGACAAGUUGGCUAAUUUGGGGAAGUUACUAAUUAUGGACCUUGUUAUCUAAUUUGGGGAAGUUACUAAUUUUAGGAAGAGACUAUAAAGUGAUUUUCUCAUUUAGCAAGGGGCCAAGGCUCCUACCCCUUUGGCUACAUCCCUAGUUCUUCUUGAACCAAGUGUGAUUUUUUUUUUAGUAUCAUGUCUAAUUUACGGUCAGAAUUUGAAGUUCGUGGCUAUCCCUUUUAACAAUGAUGUUUUUAAAAUUUGAAUUUAUAUUAUUUUUUUAGGAGUACGUUUUGGUGAUAUCAUUAGCGUCGAAACCAUUUUUUUGAAAACAAAAAAUUUAGGGUUGUCGACUUCAAAAAAAAUUAAAAUUGGGAGUCGCCACCAAUCUUUUAUUGAGGUGUGAUUGGAUCACCUAAAAAACGGCUUUGGUCUACGAGUUUUAAAAAAAAACGGGUCCGGGAGUCAGUUACGUACAAGGAAGGAUUAGCACCCUUGUAACGCCCAAAAUUGGUACCUAAUUAAUUAAUUAGUGUCUUAAGGUCGAAAAAAAUAUAAUCUUUAAAACACUUAAAACGUUACGUAUUAAGACCCUUCUCAAUUCAGAGAAGCAAAAAUGUCACACCCAAUGCGUUAGGCCACAACAUUCUAAUUUCCUCCAAAAUGAAUUAGGUCAGAAUACUCGUAUAAUGAAAAAAAUUAAAAGAAUAUCCAUUUAUCCAAGAUUUAAGAAAUCGCGACCCAAUACGUUAGGGCACAAUUCCUUUAGAAUCCCAAACUCGAAUAUUCCUUUAUUAUUUUUAGANNNNNNNNNNNNNNNNNNNNNNNNNNNNNNNNNNNNNNNNNNNNNNNNNNNNNNNNNNNNNNNNNNNNNNNNNNNNNNNNNNNNNNNNNNNNNNNNNNNNNNNNNNNNNNNNNNNNNNNNNNNNNNNNNNNNNNNNNNNNNNNNNNNNNNNNNNNNNNNNNNNNNNNNNNNNNNNNNNNNNNNNNNNNNNNNNNNNNNNNNNNNNNNNNNNNNNGUAAAGAAUGAUGUGAUGCUAUAUUAAAUAUACAAUGCAAUAAUAAAUAUUACAAUGGCAUAGAAAUAAUAUAAAUAAAUGAAUAAAUAAAAUCAAUAUACAUAAUAAAAAUAAUCACAUACAAAAUAUCAAAUAAAUCAUAAAAAACAAUUCUUUUUAACAUAUAAACGAAAACAUGAAUUAAUAAUCGAAUGAAGAAAAUAAACAAAAUAUAAAGAAUAAAAGGCACAUAAUAUAUGCAUUGAAAUUAAAAGCCUUACACAUAAUUUACAUAUAUAACUUUGGAUUAAAAUUUAUAAAAGCAGAAUAUAUAAUGCAUUUGUGAAAAUAAAAUAUAAAUUAUAAAGUGUUAAAAAAUACAUAUAUUUGAGCAUUUAAAAAAAUAUAUAUAUUCAUAUAUAUAAAAAACUGGUUAAAAAUAUUAAUAUGUAUACAUACAUAUAUAUACAAAGAUAAAUAUAACAUAUAUAGAUUAUACAAAAAUAAUUAUAUACAAAUAAAAUAAAAUAAAAAUAAUUACCUCAUAUUAAAAAAUAAAUAUGCGAAAAUAUUAAUUUUUUAAAAAAAUAUAAAUACGCACAUAGAAACAAGUAUACAUAUAUAUAUAUAGCUAAAAUAAUAAUAAUUACAUAUGAAAAUAAUAAUAAUAAUUACAUUAACAAAAUUAAUUAAUUUUAAGAAAAAUAUAAAAAGGAUUAAAUUGAACUACAAGUAAACAAAUCUGUGGUAAAUAUGCAAAUAAAUAAAAUCUGGAGGACUAAAUUGAACGAGCGAAUUACAUAGAGGGGCUGGAAGGGAAAUUUUCCCUUCUCUGAAACGGUGUCGUUCAAAAGGAUUAAAUUGGAAUUUAAAAUAAAUAAAAGGGUAAAUUAAAAAAAUAAAGAAAACUUAAUUACAAAAACAUUAAAAGACGGUGGGGCUAAAUAAUAAAAUAAAAUAAAAUUCGCAGUGGUAUCACCUUCUCCCUUUUUUAAAGUCGUAAAUAAGUAAAAAAUAAUCGAAAGAAAAAAAUAGUAAGCCACCUUUAAAAAGCUGCCAAUCGUUCUUUUUUUAUUCCUCCUCCUCUUUUCUCUUUUUUUUUUCACAAUGAAGGGAGAGGCCUCUAUUUAUAGUUGAGCCUCCCCAAAUCCAACGAUACAGAUCAAUUACAUCAACGGCUGAGAUUAAAGGGAAUCUACAAAUUAAAUCUCUAAGAUUACAAAAUCAUAUAUUCUAAGAUUACAUAUCAUAUCUAAGAUUACAUAUCAUAUCUAGGAUUGCAUAUCAUAUCUAAUAUUGCAUAUCCUCAAAAUUAUGUUUUCAUAUGUGAGCCCGGGCUAAAAUUGGGUAUUACAAUUAGUAAUUGACAAAUACCGUAUAGAAAUAAAAGUAAAUAUAAAAAAGGUACACUGGAAUAUCAAAUACUUACCCCCAAGAAAAUCUUUUGUUUAAAAUUACGAAGUUAAACUGUAAAAAAUCAAAGUCAAAGAAGAUAAUGUGUUGCUUAAUGAACUUACAAAAGUGCAGUAUUUAUAAUUGUAUAAGGUAAAAUCUCUUAUCAACUAAUUGAUAAUCCCAUUCAAAUUUUAAAACAUUUUGGGUAUUCUUAACACUGCAAUCAAAUAAUUCCAAGAGAGCUGGAAAUCGGAAUGAAAGUUGGGAUUUGUGAAUUUCGAAACAUCAUUGUUUUGACUUCAGCAUUUUACCCAUGGCCGAAAAGGUCGAAUAAAAAGACCCUGUCGUUAGCGAAUCGGUAAUAAGAUAAAAUACAAGUACAAGAAAGAUUGGUCCAUAUUGAAUCCACCGCCUCUCGACUCUCCAAAUCCAAAGGCGACUCCUCCUCCAAGGAUGGGAGAAGAGAGGGUGAAAGAAGAGGCCUUGCAGCUUAUUGGGAUGUUCCAACUUCUUCCUCGUUUGGUGGUUUUCGAUCUUGAUUACACCCUCUGGCCUUUCUACUGGUUUCUUUCUUUCUUCUUCUUCUAUAUAAUUUCUGUUUUCAAAUGAGAAUACCCACAAAUUUUUGUCUUAAUUCUAUUCAUUUUAGUGCUUUGAUCUUAGUUUUAGUAUAUAUUAUAGCAACCCUUUAAUCAGAGCUUACUGUUUAUCUAUUUUUUAAUGGAACAGAGUCAAUUUUCAAAAUUCUGCUUUUUUUUUAUUAUUUUAUCACCAUUUACUAAUACUUAAAACCAACCAAAAUACUUGGGUUUUCAUGUUAGUUGUAGAAACAAUAUGACUGCCUAUUGUAAGUGUCCUUAGUUUAUGUGCCUUGCUCUUUAUUUUACAACCCAGACAAGGCAUGAAAAGAAAUGACAUUUUAUGUUGUUUUUGUUGUUGUGGAUGUUUGGAUUGGCAUGUUUUCCUGCUGAUGCUUAAAAUUUUCAGUCUGCGCCGCUCCAAACGUGAAACCCCAUCUUUGUACCCCCAUGCUAAAGGCAUAUUAUAUGCACUCAAGGACAAGAGGAUUAAUUUAGCUAUUGCUUCAAGAUCUCCGACUGCAGAUACAGCAAACACGUUUCUUGACAAAUUGAGCAUCAAAUCUAUGUUUGUUACAAAGGUGAGACUGUUAGAACUCCCCUUCUACUUGUUUAUUAGCAAGGUUGUGUUUUGAGCUGCAGUGUUUACAGGCUAAUGUAGAGUGAUGUAGCUAAAAGAUUAUCCUUGUCAAUUCAUUCAUGGGUAACCUUAUUUAUAACAAGCUGACCCAUAUGCAAAGUUGCUCUUUUGCUGCUUAUUGAUAACUGUUUGUUUCACGUUUCAAUUAUUCUGGUUUGGAUCAUUCAGGAAAUUUUUUUCAGCUGCAAGAACAAGACAGAUCAUUUCAGGAGAAUUCAGUCAAGGACUGGGAUUCCCUUCAACUCAAUGCUCUUUUUUGAUGAUGAGGAUUGGAACAUAGAAGCUGUAAGAAUGGUUUCUCCUAUAUUCUCUGCUUGCCUCUUCUUUUUUAUAUUUGGUCACUUGCUGUUAUUCUAUGGUAUUGGGUAUUUGGACCUUCUCUACCCUUUCUCUGUCAUGGUCUAUUUUGCUUGAACUCUUCUUCUUUUUUCUCUCUCUGAAACACUACAUAUUCAAAUGAGUAUGAGUAACAUAGAUAUGGCUAUUGGGGAAAUGAGGUUUGAAUUAAUGAUAAUGGCAGGCUUCCAAGAUGGGAGUGACGAGCAUAUAUGUUGAUAAUGGGGUUAAUCUGAGAGCGUUGAGACGAGGGCUAACUCAAUUCACUGAAAACCAAAAUGCAUCAGACAAGAACCAGCGGAAAUAGGAUCAUAAUGUACUCCAAAAACCCAAAUUCAUAGGGGAGAAUGGGUUAAAAAUUCAAGAUUAUUUGAAACCAGUCAUUUAUACUUAGAAAGAUUGUUCUUAUUUGCUGCAUACAAAUUACUUUAGCACUUGUGUUAGCGUUGAUAAUGGUUCCGCUCGAAAUGAUUUUGGAACAAAAUUGCAUUACCAUUUAUUAUUUUAGUUUUAAAAAAUCAAAUGGUAAAAAUAAUUGAACCGAAUUGUAUUGCUCAAAAAAAUAAAAAUAAAAUCGGUGUAGUUAAUCGAUUUUUAAAUUUUGCAUUAAAACAAAUUUUUAUACUCGUUAUUCUCAUUAAUUUAUUAUAAAAUGUUCCAUUUUAUUUCAUAAAAAUUAAAAAUAUUUAUAUAUUUUAUAUAAAAUAAAAAUUAAGAGUGUCCUAUAAGUGGGUCUCGCUCAAUAACCGACACUUCUAAUGCCAACUAUUAUGUCCUAUCUAAAGUGAUUAAUAUUGUGUUCAAUCGUCGCCUUACCUAGGGGUGUUCAAUUGGUUAACCGACCGGUUAAUCAACCCGAACUAACAUUAAUCGAAUUAACCAACCCUUUUAAACUCUUAACUGUUAACCGAACCGAAAUUUUUUCAAAAAAAAUUUAACCGAACCAAACUUUUUCGGUUAAUUCGGUUGGUUAACUGAAUUAACCAAAAUUUAUAUUUUUUUUUAUUUUUGGUUAAAACAAGUAUAAAACAUAUAAAAAAUUAACCGACUUAACCGACCGAUUAAUUUAUAUUUCCAAAAAAUUAACCGAACCGACCGAAUACUUAUAUAUUAUAAUAUUAUUUAUUAAAUUCGAUUAAUUCGGUUAGCCGACCGAUUUGGAACCGAAUUAACCGUUAACCAAACUUCCAAAAAAUUAUUAACCGGUCCCUGACCGAAUUAAUUCGAUUAACUGACCGAUUAAUCGAAUUCAAUCGGUUAACCGAAUUAAUUCAGUUUUACCCAAAAUUUGCACACCCCUAGCCUUACCUAAAACUAUGAUGGCUAACCAAUUGAUCAACUUGUCUUUGGCCGAUCUAGGGGAAGAUGACACAUGGCACCUUAAGAUCAUAGAGAAGGGUAUAUAAACCCUUAGUUCUUGCCUAGAAAAUGAUCCAUUUUCCUCUCUUCUCUCUUUUCUCUUUUCUUCCUUUCUCCCUCCUCCUUCCCCUCGACUCUAUCAAUUACCAUAGCCAGGCUACCGCACACAACAGCUCUCCGCCUUACUUUAAGCAAUAUCCUCACAGGUAAAACUCAAGACAAAACCAAUAUCAUAUCCACCUUACUUGAUUCUUAUAUCAACAAUUAGUACAGUAAGUGUGGGCCACUUUCAUUGCAAUAUUUUCCUGAUGCAACAUUCCUACUGGUCAAACUCAAGUCUAACCCAAAAUACUAAUCAAACUUAGCCAAAUCAAAACUUUGGAAGUUAUUAUUACUAUGGCACCCGACACUUUACUCGGCCGGUGGGUCUAAAAGCAAGAUGUCACCCUCUGUUGCUGGAGCAACUCAGACUAUCCUCACUUGCUUCAUUGAAGCUAAACACACAAGUGUUGAAAAAAAUCAUAAUUAUCCAUAUUGUCCAAGUGAAAUACACGUGAAAGAGGUCAAAUGGGCCCACAAGUAAUGACCUGGGGAUAUAUGUGGUCAAUUACGAAGUCAAGAUGCAAGUCUUAACUCAAAGUGUCAAAAUGGAGGGCUUUAUCUUAAUACCUUAAGGAUAGGUCUCAAUACUUGCCUCCUUUUUUUUAGAACCUCAGUUUCGAUGUUUUCAGGUCUCGAUACUUUAGUCUCAAGUCUCAAUACCUGAGAUACAACAUUUUUAAUUUAGUUUCGAUGUUUUGAGGUCUCGAGACAUGGGGUUUAUGUUUUGGUCAUAAGUGCAAAGCCCAAAGCCAAAAUAUCAUAGGGUAAACUUUAUGUUUUGGCCAUUAAACUAUUCAAAAGUUUUCAUUUAAGUUAUUAAGCUGUUAAUUGUUGAUGUAUGGCCUUCUUUUUUCGCACCACUUGCACUAAUCGAAAGCUCUCUUUCCACUUCUCUUCUACAGUUCAGUCAUUUUCUUUAAAUAACUUUGAAUGUCAUAAAUCUAUGAACCAAAAUACAAACAACUUGAAUAUACGGUAUGUUCUUUUACUUGUUAAUGUAUUUUAAUUCACCAUGCCAAUUAUAAAAUCGUGCUUAGAGUUCGCUAGCCCGACUUAGAAAAAACUUAAUAGCUGAAUGACUUAAAUAAAAAAAAUUGAAUACUUUAAUUACUUACAUGAAAAUUUUCGAAUAAUCUAAUAAUUUUAUAACAUUUUAGAAUUAAAUAGUCAAAAUGUAAAUUUAUUAAUAAAUUAAUCGCAUCAGUGUAGGUUACCGGAUAUUAUAGUUCCGGUUGCGGAUUUUAGCGGUUGGUUGGCGAGGGCGGGAUAAUUUCACCUUUGGGCCGGCGGUUAAAUUUCACUGGCACUUGUCGGUUGUCGAAUGGAACUACAGAUUCGUGACGGUUAUGCUUGCGUAUCCAUCUUGUUUUCUGAUAACUGUGUAUCCAUUUUUUAUUUCGUCGAGAUGCGGUCCGCAGACUAAAAACAGUUCUGACCGUUAGAUUUCAUCUUAUCGAACGAUCAGUAAUUGACUGUUCAUAUUUAAUUAAAAAGAUUAUCAGUGAGUGAGUCAGAGUGAUACGUUAGCUACUAUCAUUAAAAGAAAAGAAUGUUUUGAUUUCGGAGCAAUAAUUGAGGGAAUCAGAAAAUGGAGAAAACUGAUGGAAUUGGGAAAGAACAUGGAAGCACAGAAGAAAAUCAAAGUUUCAAAGAUGGAUCAAUUUGUGGGUAUAAUUCGCUUCACCACCUCUUGAGCGCAAAUCUCAAGCCUCAACUCUACCAGGUCUUUUCUUUUUCUUUUUUCCCGCUUUCCGAGUUGUAAUUUAUCUGCCUUCACUUUGUUGAUUUAAUUGGGUAUUUUUGUUUUUCUUAAUCUGGCCAUGCACUGGGCAAAAAAUUCCAAUCUUUCCUGUUAUUUUUCUUGCUUAUAUAUAUAUAUAUAUAUUGUAAAAGCAAAUUUAAUCAUGAAAAAGGAAACCCCAGUUCAAAUUGUCUAUUAUGAAUCGAUUGGUUAUUGUUAUUUUGGUCAGUUUUUGCCACUGAAAUGAUCAUUGCAGUCGAUCCUAGAAUUUGUAAACAGUUUAUCUCAUUAACAAGUAACAUGUUUUGCCUAUUAAAAGUCAAAAUCUACUGAUCUUAUUGCUGAUGAAAGUAACAAUCUUUUGGAAUUUUGUUAUGGUUUAUUAACAGGAAGUCAGCCGGUUGCUUCUGGGGCUGAAUUGCGGAAAAGCACUUGAAACUAUUGUUCCACCUGAAUCAGCUAAAGCCCUCUCUUCAAAACAUGAUUUUGAUCUUCAGGUGCCUAUUUAUUUAUCCAACAUUACUGCAUUAUAACGAUUCGUUGAUAUAGAGAUCCAUCAUCUUAGCUCAUCAAUAUUGGAAAACAAUAACCACAAGGUUGGCCUGGCUGAAAUCGUAAUACUCUUAUAAAACAAUCAAAGUGAAGGAACAAUAUAUGUUUUGGACACGUUAGAUAUACAAGGCACUACCAUGCAUUUUGACUGCAACUGAAGAUUAUGUUAAUCUUUAGGCAGGGUUAGUUAAUCUAUGUCAUAUGUUCUGAUAUUUGUAUGGAAUAUUUUUCUUCCUCCAUUUUCCGCCUUUUCCAGUUUCUAGUUCAUACAUUUGAACAUUUGGUUAUAACACUUCUAAUGUAUAAUUUUAGUACUACCAGGAUCUCCUUGAAAUAUGUUGAUUUUCAUUCAAUCCACUCUUAUCUAAGUGGUUGAAAAACAUCCCUUUUCUCAUUACAAAAUUAUUCUCUUACCGACCUGACCUGAGCAUACUUGUAGCUAUUAUCUCCGUAGAUUUUUGUUAUUAAUACAAGUAUAUUGUAGAAGGCAGUUAUAUGUGCUUUUCCAUUUCAAAUCAUUCCAGGCUUUCAAAUUUUCUGCUGACAAAGAGUUGUUAAGAGAACCCCGGGUAGUAAGGGUCGGUCUUAUUCAGAACUCCAUUGCUCUCCCAACCACUGCUCCCUUUUCAGACCAGAAAAAAGCUAUCUUUGAGAAAUUGGGACCAAUAAUUGAUGCUGCUGGUGCUUCAGGAGUCAACAUACUAUGCUUGCAGGUAUGGUCAAUUUUAUUGAUCGUUGCAUAAUAUUCUGAAAAGCAAAUUAAUGAGUCUAUGAUGCAAGUUCAGGAAGCAUGGAUGAUGCCAUUUGCCUUCUGUACACGAGAAAAGAGGUGGUGUGAAUUUGCAGAACCUGUUAACGGGGAAUCUACACAAUUUCUUCAGGAAUUUGCACUCAAGUAUAACAUGGUCAUUAUAAGCUCAAUUCUUGAGAGGGAUAUAAAUCAUGGAGAGACUCUCUGGAAUACUGCUGUUAUAAUUGGAAAUCAUGGCAACAUAAUAGGCAAGCACCGUAAGGUAAAUGCAGUAGUUUAUCUGGGUUUGGGCUUAUGUUUCUUGGAAUUUUUAUUGAUUUUGCUUAAUUGACUGGCUUCUGGCAGAACCAUAUUCCUAGAGUUGGGGACUUCAAUGAGAGCACGUAUUAUAUGGAAGGAAAUACCGGGCAUCCUGUAUUUGAGACUGCUUAUGGGAAGAUUGCUGUUAAUAUAUGUUACGGAAGGCACCAUCCUUUGAAUUGGCUAGCUUUUGGUUUGAAUGGUGCUGAGAUCGUUUUCAACCCAUCAGCCACGGUUGGUGAACUUAGUGAACCGAUGUGGCCCAUUGAGGUUAUUCUUUACCCUCAUUUCAUAUAAUACUUAACUAUCUAAAGAUUGGAUGUGAUACUGAUUUAGUAGAGAGUCAUUUAUGUAAUAUUACAAGUGCAAAUGACAUUUUGAUACAGAUGUUAGCAUUAUAUCAGUUAAUGCCUGCCUACCACUGAACUGUCUUCUACAAGUCGUUUGACAUAUUAUUCCUUUAUAUUACAGGCACGUAACGCUGCAAUAGCAAACAGUUACUUUGUUGGGUCAAUCAAUCGUGUAGGGACUGAGAUUUUCCCCAACCCAUUCACCUCAGGGGAUGGAAAGCCACCACAUCCAGAUUUUGGCCAUUUCUAUGGAUCUAGUCAUUUUUCAGCACCUGAUGCUUCCUGCACACCAUCACUCUCCCGUUAUAAGGAUGGACUGAUGAUCUCAGAUAUGGAUCUUAACCUCUGUAGGCAACUGAAAGACAAAUGGGGGUUCCGAAUGACUGCAAGAUAUGAGUUAUAUGCAGAUACGCUUGCCAGUUAUCUGAAACCAGACUUUGAACCCCAAGUCAUCUCUGAUCCCUUGUUACAUAAGAAGUCUUUUUAAGUACCUGUCUUCUUAAGUUCCAGGUACUAAUUGCAGCUUAAUGUAUGAAGUUAAUAAAUGGAGAUGAAAAUAGAAACUGUAUUGAUUUAUCAUAUUGAAUCAUCCACAAGAACAAGUUCGUUGUGUUUGUAAGUAUUUGUGCCCUUUUCUGUUUUCAAUGAGUCAGCAAUUUCUGAUCACUCCACCAGCUUCCAUUUUUAUUAAGAUGAAGAAAAAGGAAUCUUGGUGUCUGCGUUUGGUGAAAAAAUAUAAAAUGAAGUGGAAUGAAUGUCGACAAGCUCACCGACUCUCUUUUUCCCUCUUUUUUCUGUUUCUAUAAAAUCUUCCAAGUCUCAUCAUCUAAGCUUAUCCACAAUUAAAAGUAUAUACAUACAUAUAUAUAUCUACUACUUAAACAGACUUUUCAAAGCCUUUUUAGAAGCAGAGAGAUAAAGUGAGAAAGAGAGAUAAUUGUGCUUAUUAACAACAAAUACACGGCAUUAUAAUUUUGAAGGCCCACUGUGUAAGAGUAAAUGUUCAACUUAACAGUUCAUACAUACUUGAUCUCUAUCCAAAAGAAACUCGAGCUUCUAAAUUCAAGAUACGCUAUUUCAGGCUUCCUACUAGCUUAUGAACUUAUUUUAAAGCACCAAAUAAGACUUCAUUUGCAAUCUUGGCUCCCCUUUCUUUUGCCAUGUAUAGCCCUAUAUGGUGCAUCAAUUCCUGCAACAUUAAAAGCAGCAGCAUUCAAGUUAUUCUUGAUGCAUAUGGUGUGGGGAUCUCUUGUUUCCAUGUAACAAUUUGGGACAUUUUAAGAAACGAAAUACCUGAGGGUGAGGCAGAGCUCCUUUUGUGUUUGUGGCGAUGUGAAGAGGAACGUCAAAGGUUGCACAGGCACGCGAAUACACGAUAACAUCCUUGAGCGGAGCCAGAAAUCCUCGAUUCCUCACUGAUAAUGUCGAACACACGAAAUCCAGCACACAUAUAUCUGUGCACACCCCUACUACCAAUAUCUGCAACCAUCAUAAUCAUGGUUUAUAUAAACUCAUCAUAUCCAACAAUUGAUUAAACAAGCUCCACACUAGGGUUCUGAUUUGUUUUGCCACUGAAAACAAGUUCGAGGCUGCAAUGUAAAACCAUUCUUGACACUAGUAUACGCUACUAAAAUCUUCAAACGAGUUCUUACAGCUUCAAUGUGAUUGUUCUUCACCCAAUCCGCAAAAACAUUUGAACCAUCAGCUUCCAUGGAACCCAGAUACCCAUCAUAGCAAUCUUUCCGCCUGAUUGUCACGUUUGUUUCGUUUUGUAUCCAUUGCAAAGCUGCAUUUUAUUUAUUUGUUUUGCAGAAUCUUGAUUUAGAAAUUCGUUAUAUAAAGCUAAAAAGGGAGAAGUAAAUAUAUAUAUAUAUAUAUGUAGGUACCUGGAACCAAAUUAGAUUCAUCGGUGCCUUGAAUGCAGUGAGGAGGAUAAGGAUCCUCGGGCUUGUCAGGAUGAUGAGAAUCAAGAAACGCCAUAACAGGCAAUUUCUUGUCGCAGAAAAGUCUUGCCAGCCUCACUGAUUCGCUGAUCAUUCCUGAUAUUUGUCUGUUGGGUUCUCUUGGGGCCUAAAACCCAUAAUAUUAGUGCUAUAAACUUUUCCUGAUUCAAUGCACAAAGCAGAUCCUGCAUACAUCCUCUUCGACAUAUACAUGCGUGUGUAGUUUAAGGAAUCGUUUAUUACAUCACAACUUAAUCGAGUUGAUUCAACUAUUGUUUUUUUAAAGUUAGCAUCUAACAUAUGUAAAUUCGAAUACUUGUAACAAAAUAUAUAUCAAUAGUUCAAGGGUCAGGCACUUUACCAGGUUUCCAGCACCGACAGUGCAGAAGCCAUUGAUGAUAUCGACAAGAACAAGGCCAGUGACAACAUCUUCAGGCAAAACCACAAGCUCCUGCUCUAGAGGCAGCUCGUUCUUCAACACAUCAAUGGUUUGGGACACCAUUUUUCGAAAUUUAGUAACAGGUGACCUCGAAAUUACAAAACCAAAGUGAAGGAGUUUCAGUAGAGCAACUUCAGUUAUAUUGAAUUUUGAAAACGGUAGCCAUGCUAAGCUCCAAAAAGAGCCUGAAAAGUAUCUCAAUUAUUGCUGUAUUUCAAAAGAGGUUGUAUCAAAGGAUAAGACGUGGGGAUCUAUCCAAAAUAAUUUUCGAGCUUCAGUUUCAACUUUUAUCGAUUAUACUAGUUUCAGCCGUCAUGCUUGGCUACAUUUGAUUAUUAGAAGGAUACAUACGGCAUAAAUAAUUAAAUAUAGUAGGAAUAGCUUCAACUUUUUGUGCUGCUUUGGAUGAAAAGUCUUAUUUCAACAGAAAAUAUAUAUUAUGGCACAAUUUUAAAUUAAGAUUUUUUUAAGCUCAGCUGAUUCAUUCCAAUUUGAUAAAAAAAAUUUAUUUAUAGAUUCCUACAUUCAAGUUUAAGCUUCAACUUGAAUUAAAUGUCUUUUGCAUAUAAAAUUUAUAUAUUAAUUAAAGUUAAUAUAUUACUUAUACUAUUAAUAAAAUCUAUGAUUGAGUUGGUGUUACGGAUUAACUGAGUACCAACUUAGUUAUUGCGUGAUGGAUGUGAAGAAGUGAACCAUUAUCUCGGCGGUAAUGAGCCAAGCUAGUAUUUGCAGUGAACCCACCUCUUAAGUAGUCAUGCAUUAUGAAAGGAACUCUUAAUUCUCUAACACACACAGCGCUUUUGAUCAUUUCUUCAUAUGUACCUGCAGUAGGAAAUGAUUAAUAUAUCCUUUUAUUAAAGGGUUACUAUUAUUAUUUUGAUGAUUUUUUUUUAUUUUUUUCAUACUUCUGCAUAUUUUUUAAAUAAAAUAACUAAAAUUAAGAUAUUUAAUAGUUGAACACAUGUUUAAUAAAUUUAUAAACAAAUAUUUUACUACUACUACAAUAAUAAUUCAUGAUUAAAUUUUUAAAAGAUUACUUUUAACAUAAAAUGUUUUUUCUUACCAGAUUUAUGUAUCUAUACUAUUUAUAAAACCCCUGACUAAGUUGGUAUCAUGGAUUAACCGGGUACUAAUAUCAGUGAGUACUGAGCUUUCACCAAAAUUAAAACAUUGUGAUUAUUGAGUUAGUUUUCUCUUUAUAAAAAUGUUAAAAUUUAUAUAAUGAAAUUGUUAAUGUAUUUAAAUUUAUAUAAAAAUAAAAUAUGAUUAUUAUAUAAGAUGAAUGUAAGACAUUGACACCAUAUUUGGUUCGUGUGAAUAUGACCUUAUUUAGCUCGAGUUCACAAUACCAUUACUUGCUUGACUAGAUUAAUUAAAUGGCAGGAUAGGUAUCUUAUAAUAGCCAUUCAACAUUAUUACCAAAGAAUAGUUGUAGUUGGACAAAACACGUUAGCAAAUAAAAUAAAUAUAUAUAAAUAUAUAAAAAAUAAAAUAUAAAUAGAAUGAUUUAUAUUUAAUUUAUCAAAUACGAAAAACAAUCAAAACCGUAACAAAAGUUAAAAUAAAAAAGAAGAAUAGAGUUUUUACUAAACGUUGAGGCCUGUUGAAAAACAGUUUUCUUAAGACAAAUUUGGCCACUCCUACAGUACUUGGAGAAAUGUAGACAAAAUCUGCAUUAAAGGAGCAAUUGAAUCAAUUUGAUUAAAAUCAAAUCAAAUUGAUUAAAAUUAUCUCCUACUCGUAUCGAAUAGAACAUGUUGAGACAAACCUUCUUCAUGUAAAACAUGUUUGAUUUAGAUCGAGAGAAUCGUACGGUUUUAUGAAAUCAUGUGUAUAUGGAUCAAAUCCGUAGUCAAUCCUAUUUCCGAUAGGAGCAGUUGACAAUUGAAUCUAACUUUUUCCAUUAUUUUCGUAUCUGUAAUAGUGCGAAAGGAAAGUCUGGCUCCAAGUUGUUCAAGAAUAGUGGCGUUGUUAAGUUUCUCAAUCCUUUGACUUAGGAUUAGUCAGUUCUAUAUCUUGACGGGGGCAGGGAAGGGAUAUAACUUAGCGUUAGAGUGUCACCUUGAUGUGGUGGAAGUCAUCAGUUCAAGUCUGAUUAUCCAUAAACCUAAUGUGAGUUUUUCUAUUUUGCCUUGCCCCUCGCCGUGAUCGAAUAAGAAUGGAUAAGAGGCUCAUGGGAUUGAUGUGAGGGGGUAAGGAUGACUAUAUUUCUGGGAGAGAACUCCAGGUGAAUAUGAAGCGCAUAGAUACAAGUUAUGCCUUGGAGUGAAAGACAAUUCUGAACCGGCUUUGUCUACGAACAAGAAAGCUAUAAGUAAUGCAACUAUCCUUUUAUAUCAAUAUAUUUUGUAGGCAAACUUAAAUUUCGUGUUGGACUAAAAUAUUUGUAGGCUAAUUACGGGCCCGACCGAUCAAAAUAUUUUUGCAUCACCUACAUCGGUGCUCCCAACCCCAUCAAGUUUAAACCUACAUCCCCUUUGUGCACAAGACAAAGUUCCAAGCUUAAUCAUUCAAUCAUCUUUUAAGAGGGUUCCCAUAUAUAAACACAUCUCAUACUUGAUAUUUAACCAAUGUGGGAUCUAAGCUUUUCUUUUCCUCAACAAAUAUUCCUAAGUAGCUUACUUUGAGCAUCAAUUUCUCAUUCAUCAUUCAACCAUUUUGAGCAUAUGAUAUAUCAUUGUAAAGGUCACAUGGAGUAGAAUAAGAAACUAUAAUUUUAUGAUUCAACUCUCCACCUUUAUCUAUUGAGAAUAUGCCUCAAAGUUCCCAAAAAAAAUGUAAUUUUUUCAACAGUUAUUUUGGCCUUUCAGAAUAGCCACCAAUUUUUUUUAAAAUGCUUCAAACUAAAAACAUUAUUCUAACCAUAAUUUCAACAAUAGGAUACUGCUAUAGUAACAAAAUUAUUUUUUUCUAGAAACAUAAACAUCAUAAAAGAAGAAACUUAGGCUGAUGUUGAGUUUGAUUGAUUUGAAAGGAUUUAGGGUUCAAUUUUUGUGGAGGGAAAGGAUGAGGAAGAAUAUAUAUAGCAAUCAAGUGGUGGCCAACUGUGGAAUGAGGAUUGUCUGUUGUUUUACAUUCAAAUUGCAUGUGCAGGGAAAAACUAAUUAGAAAAUUGGAAAGAGAGAUAGAGGAGAUUACUCCUAAAGUUCAAGAAUCCAAGUUGUUUCUAGACUCGAAGAAGUUUGAUCGAAUUUUCCUUGAAAAUCAACUUGAAAGAAAUUGCUUGGAAUUGCUUUCUUGAUCUGAAAAAAAACUGAAGAUUGAAUGUAAAUAAGUCAAGAAAAACAAACCAAGUAAUAAAAUAACCAAAAACUGAAAUAAGUGAUGAGUUAUGGCAGUGGUUGAUCCUGAGACUAAGUUUUGGGGGUUUAAUAAAAUUUUCAAAAAUUUUAGAAGUUCAAUCAGUUUUUUUUAAAAAAAAUGGGGGGUCUAAUUGAAAUUUUUAAAUUUUUUGUGAGAUUAAUAAGAAUUUUUAAAAAUUUGAGACCUAAUUAAAAUUUCCAAAACUUUAAGAGAAAAAAAUUAAAAUUUCCAAAAAUUUUGGGGCCUAAUUAAAAUUUUAAAAAAAUUCAAGGGAAAAAUCAAAAUUUCCCAAAAUUUUGGAGGGACUAAGGUCCCUUAGGCCACCAUAAGGAUCUGCCUCUAAGUUAGGGAAAGAUGAAACUGAUUGAGAUGGAUAAAUGGAUAAGAUGUCCAAUGGGGCCAUUCGAGAUAAAAUUAUCCUAACAAACUCAAUUAUUGGCUCUAAUUAUUGACAAAUUGAAGUUUUAAGAACUUUCUCCAAAAUCUUGAAUAAAAUUAAGUAAAAUUUUUUUUUGAAAAUAAACAAGAAUUGAAUAUUUCAAAAGAAUAACUCCAUCGAGUACUUGUCUUAAUUUCAAAGAAAGAUUUAAUUUAUAAUGAAUGAAUGCCUUUAUAUAGACUACAUAAAUUGGCAAAACAAGACGUAGUUUUAGUUGAACUAAAAUUUCUUGUCAAGUAGAAAACAUAAAAACUUCUAAACAACUUAAAAGACUUAAAAAUCUCUUAAAAUUCGAAAUAAAUAAAUACUUAAAACAUAAAACUUAAUAAAUACAAUAUUGAUAUUAUAUAUAAUCAAAAUUAAACAUUAAAAGUAAGCCCAAUAUGGAUUAAACACGAAUCUAAAGUCCAAUAAUUGAGUUUUUAAAAUAGUCAAUUUAAAGCAUUUGAUUAUUUUAGAAGAAAACUUUGUUAAUUACCAAUUUAUUUAUUACUCAAAAUUUUAAUUAUAAUUAGCAGCGGAAAAGUGAUAUUUACUAUGUUUUUAAUAAAAAUCGGAGUUCAUGCCUAACUAAUUAAUAUUCAUAAGUUGAUAUCCUAAAUCAAAUUAAAUGUAGUGCAAGCUAUAUAAAAAAAAAUCCCAAAUCCUAUGUCCCAUGCCACAGUUCAAAACAAAAUUAUAUAGUCUCUAAAUAAUAAAAAUAUCAAUUAAUGGAUCUAAAACAUUUUAAUAAAUAAAACCGAGCCAAGACCCUCUGGAUGCCUUGUUCAUGUCCUAAUCUGGUGGGUUAUCUGUAGAGAUGGAAAUAAAAAGGGGUGAGCUAUGAAGCUCAGUACGAGUCCUAUCACAAGUGAACUAGUGCAGAACAAUAACUAAGCAUACAAUUUAACAGUUAUCAUCACAUUAACAUUCAUAUAGGAUAAUAGUAUUUAAACAAUUCACUCAGCAUGCUUUAAGAAUGUCAAUACAAAUGCGAUUUCAAUUUAACGGGAAUAAUCCUACCCAUACUCCACUACACUCCUCAGUAAGAGUUCCCUAGAACUCUUCCAGCCGUAACACUCCAGUUUGUGGCUGAGCCACCAAGGUUGCAGGUUAAUAUACUGCUAGUAGUUGUGAUUACACAACGAGUUUGCAGAUAAAAGAUGCUAGAUGAAUUAUGGAUACCACCAGUGUUUGCAAGUUAAUACGCUGCCAGUACUUGUGAAUACACAACUUAGUUGCAGAUUAAAGCUACUGGUAUAAAUUGUGGAUAAACCACCAGUGUUUGCAAAUUAUUAAACUGUCAGUACUUCCACCAUACAAUCGUCCCACCCCAUGCAAUACAGUAUGUCAUGCUUGCAAUAGUAUAAUGUAAAACAAUAAACAUGCUCAUCAUGUUUCUAGUUCAUAAGCAUGCUCAUCAUGUUUCUAGUUCAUCAGUAGCAUUAGUCAUGUUUAUCAUGUAUUCAGUUUAGCAAUAGCAAUAAGCGUGUUGAUCAUGUAAUCGGUGUAUAGUAGUACAAGUAACAAUAACAAUUCAUCAGUUAUUUAGUCACAGUAGGCAUGUAAUAGUCCUAAAUCAUGCAUAUACAAUAGUAAUUUAGCCAAUUAAAUCAUAGAUUCCAACAUUAUUCAUAAUACCAGGGACUCAAUUAAAUGAAAUAAAUCACUAAAACAAAUUGGGGAUCAUGCAAAGUCUAAAUUGAACAGUUUACGAAAAUUCUGGGCAAAAUUUUAAAACAGGGGCAUACGCCCGUGUGGUUAGGCCGUGUGCAAUACCUUAAGUCGUGUGGAGGGGUUACACGGUCGUGUAGCUAGGCUAUGGCCGUGUGGGACAUGCAAAAUUAGGCUUUAAGGGAGACACGACCGUGUGGGAGGUUGUCUGGAGGGUCAUAGGCCAUGUAAUAAUCGAAUAUCCUAGGGUUUCAAGAGAAACAUGGUCGUGUAAGGGAGUCAUGUGGUCCAUACUGUGGCCCUAUUUUGAGGCACGAUUUGUCCCAAUUAGCUCUAAAAAGAACACUUAAAAGGAAAAAAAAAACUUAAAACGAAAAAAUAUGAAGACCAAUUAACUAAAAUUUUUGUUUGAAAUGAUGAUUUAACGUGCCAUGUCAGCUUAACAUUACACCGUUAACAAUAAUUAACGGCUCAGUGACUAAAAUGUAAUUUAAAAAAAUAAAAGUGACUGUUUUGAUAGUUUACCCUUAUUUAAAUGAUAUUGGGAUAUUUUUAGAAAAAAAAUGGAAUAGUACCUUAAAAAAGAAAACAGCUACAGAACCGAGCCUUCAUAACAGACAUUUUUCCGUAUCACUACACUGUUUCCUAAUCACGUUCUCACACUGCUACGCUAUAUCCACCCAAAACCAAGCCAAAUCCCACCUUAAAUUCCUUUGAAACGUUCAAUCCUCAAUCUUCAGGUUCUGAUAUGAUCCCAUGAUUCCAUUUCCCAUUACCAGUUCUUUUCACCUCUUUACUCUUCCAACACAUUAAAGCAACCUCUUAUACUAAUAUGCGACAAUUAUUGUCUCCCACCAUCUCCUACCCAUCUCCACUUCUCCAUCUAACUUCCCAUCCUUUCCCUCCAAAACCCCACUUCUGUCCUACCCACAGGUUGAGCUUUUACCCCCCACCAAAAAUGGCUUCUUUUUCUGGGUUUUUGGCUAAGUCUCAGAUGGGCAUGACUGCUGCUGCUGCUGCUGGUGAUGGUGCAAAUGGGUUCUCUUCACUGAUGGACUAUGUUGGGAAAGGAGGACUAGAUGUAGGAGAUGAUUUACUUGUUUUGCUUUAUCAUAUACAGUUUGCUUGCAAGAGAAUUGCUGCUCUUGUGGCUUCUCCCUUCAAUUCUGCUCUCGGGAAACAUUCAGCUCUCACUGGUGCCACAUCCGGGGCCGCUGCUUCUGAUAGGGAUAAGCCAAAGCCGCUUGAUAUUGUGGCAGUAUGUUUAACUAUGCUAAUUUCGUCAUUGAAUUUCAUGAAAAUAUUGCUCUUUUUUCCCUUUAAGUAGUAUUUUCAUGGUGCACUGGUAUAUUGUUGGGCAUAUAACUCUUAAAUAGUUUGGCUGCGAUUAUAAUUGACAUGAAUUCUUAAUAGUAUGAAUGAUUGCAUCAUUGCAAAUUAUUAGAGCAAGAAAAGAGGUUGAGUUGAUACAGAAACAGAUUGAUUUUAAAGAUGCAAAUCAGUCGAACUUUAGGUUUUCAAUGCCCCUUUCAAUUUUUUUUUAAACUAGAGUAAAAGGAAUUGAGUAGGGAAAAAAGAAUUAAAGUUUUCUGAUAUGCUAAAAUUUUGGUUUUUUUUCCUGCAGAAUGAAAUCAUAUUGUCAUCUCUUAGAAAUUCAGGAAAAGUUUCAGUGAUGGCUUCAGAAGAAGAUGAUGCUCCAAUUUGGAUCAAUGAUGAUGGUCCCUUUGUGGUUGUAUUGGAUCCCCUUGAUGGUUCUCGAAAUAUAGAUGCUUCUAUUCCCACUGGAACAAUCUUUGGGGUAUAUAACCGGCUCACAGAGCUAGAUAAUCAACCGACGGAAGAGAAGGCAUUGCUGAAUUCGCUACAGAGCGGAAGAAAGCUUGUAGCUGCUGGCUAUGUCCUCUAUUCAUCUGCCACAAUCCUAUGUGCUAGCUUUGGCUCAGGAACACAUGCAUUUACCUUAGAUCAUUCAACGGGAGACUUUAUUCUCACACAUCCAAGCAUUAGAAUUCCGCCUCGAGGUAAACGUACUGGAAUUUUGAGGGUUAAAAUGUUAUGCUCAUGGAAUUCAUUGAGAUAUCUGAUAUUUGCUUCACAAAUUCAAUGGUAUCCUAUUUGGAUUUUCUUACUGAUGGUCUUCAUUAACAGUUUGAUUAAAUGGGAACUCUUAAUCAUAUGAAAGUAUGAAAUUAAUAUUGUUUUUUUUAUCCCAUUAAUAAUUCAAGCUCGGCCUACUUGAUGAUUCCAGGUCAAAUAUAUUCUGUCAAUGAUGCAAGGUAUUUCGAUUGGCCUGAAGGUCUAAGGCAAUACAUUGAUACAGUAAGACAAGGCAAAGGCAAAUUCCCUAAGAAAUAUUCGGCUCGGUAUAUAUGUUCGUUGGUUGCUGAUUUCCAUAGGACCGUGUUGUACGGUGGAAUAGCAAUGAAUCCAAGGGACCAUCUGCGGCUGGUUUACGAGGCAAACCCUCUAAGUUAUCUUGCAGAGCAAGCUGGAGGCAAAGGUUCGGAUGGUAAAAGUAGGAUACUUUCGAUCCAACCGGUGAAACUGCAUCAAAGAUUGCCUCUGUUUUUGGGUAGUUUGGAAGAUAUAGAUGAGUUGGAAAGUUAUGGAGAUGUUCAACAGAAAGUAAACCCUGGGUAUGAAGUUUAAUCACUUUCGUUGUUUUAAACAGAUUCAUUGCUCUGUUUCUCUAAAGUUCACUCUUGUUUCACGUUGUUAAUACUUUUAGCCUGAAGAUCACAUCACAAAAUAAAAUCUUCAAAUGAUGUAAGUUCUCUAAAACUAUCUCCAAAGGCUGCUUAAUCUCCAGCCUUUUCACUCAUCUUGUCUCCUAUAGGAAUCAUGGUUCAGUGACAGCAAAAUGUGCUGUUAUUACAAUGUCAACAGUCAUGGUUAAUUGUGAAAGGCAAUAGGCUCUAUGAUUUGAGACAAAUUUGACAAGCUUUUAACCCACAACGUCCACAACCUGAUGUCCUGCACUAUCGCACGUAAACCGAAUCUCGAUAACAUAAAUGCCAAAGGUUGCAUGUCCUCAUCUAGAUACGGAUCGGGUUUGUUGUUUUGAUGCGUAUUACCAUGAAUUGCCAUUCUAUGACCUACUCCUCAAUUAAUGUCGAAUAUAGGGUAUUGAAUGUUGCCAGAAAUCAAUGGAGGGGCAAAUUGAUACAGAUUAUCCGAAGGUAAAUUAAACUGAAGAUCGUCCCUCUAGAGAUGCUGAUGAUAUAUCCGUGUAAAGCUUGCAAAAUCUCGACACUAGUGGGAAAAUAUUCACAGGCAGUUUGGGUGAACUUGGAACUUUAGCUACCACAUUUCCCUGCUCAGCAUGAUCCAACUCCACGUACAACUCUGCUGCCAUAUUUUUAGAUUUGCAAUUAACUGGUAAUUUGUCUGGACAUCUUUCAUCAUCAAUAAGCUUAAGCCGGUUAUACAUGACGGAUUUGAUGAUACUGAAAAUCUAUAAAAGAUUGUGGAUAAUAUCUUUCCGUACUGAGCUGCGAUUUUAGUGCUAAUUUUUAAUUUCAACUCAUCAAGUUUGAAAUAUUUUUCAAACUUCAUACUAAUUUGACGUCAGAUUCGAACACAAUGACAUUUUCAGUGUAACAAAUUUAUUAGUUCGGUAAUUAUAAAAAAUGAAAUCAAUAUUAAAUUUAACUGAACUUAAAUAGUAGAAGUUUAGACAGAGGAAAAGUGGAAAACUGACCGCAAGACCUAGGGAAUGGGGCGGCAGCAAUUGCUAUUGCUAGGGCCACCAAGAAAGUCAGGUUUCGAGAUGAAGAGAGCUCUUCUAUCGCCGAUGGGCUAGCGUCGACAGCGGGGGACUAAUGCUCCGUUGGGGAGUAGUGGAUGAAUGAGACUACCAAAUGAGAGGGUAAUUGAAGAUGAAGAUAUCGCACUCAAGGAUAGGGAUGUGGUUACUGAGACUAUGAAUGGGUGUCGUCGAUCAAAUUCUCGUCGCGGGUUCAUCAGUUAAUAGAGGAGAGUAUGAGUAGGUCGAUUAUUAUUAAACUACUAGGUCGACGAAUUGGUUAUAGUGCAUUUCACAAUAAAUUUUAUGCCCUAUGGAAGCCAUCUCGACACUUUAGGUUGAUGGAUUUCGAUAAUGAAUACUUCUUGGUGCGAUUUCAAGCGAAUGAGGAUUAGCUGGCUAGAGGGCCGUGGGUUAUCUUUAGGAAAUAUUUAAUGGUGCAACCAUGGCGGAUGGGGUUUGAUCCGUAGCUCUUUUGACAGAGGUGAUGGCUUGGAUUCUGUUUUCAGGGCUAUUAGGUAAUUUAUAUAAGGGGAGCCUAUUAAAAGUGAUUGGCGAACUAGUUGGGUGAAUUAUAAAGAUUGAUGAUAACACAAAGAUUGAAAGCAGAGAACAGUUUGCCUGGAUGGCGAUAUGUAUUGAUCUAAAAUUCAUAUUGAGGAUCAAUUGCAUUGAGUUGAGUACGAGUCAUUGUUGAAUAUAUGUUAUUGUUGCAAAUGCUAUGGCCACAUGAAGGAGGUAUGUCCUAAGAACAAAGACUGGGUGGUUCUAGAUGAGGUGGUGGAGAUAGCGAAGGAGAAACCGAUUAAUGUUGCUAAGAAAAUUGAGGAUGAGGACUUCGAGUCGACCACAAUAGACAAGUAAGCAACGUGGUACGUCAGGCAUUAAAGAUUGGGGUGGUGUGAGGAUCGGAUUAAAGUCCAGUGUUCUUUUGGAUAUGGAGGUGGAUGAUGAAUGUGCGCAUCUGGCGCAAUUUGUGCAGGGAUUGGGAGAUGAUAGACCGGUGGGGAUAUCACCGUAAAGCAUGGGCAGCAAAGGUGUAACUGAAUGCUGAUUUUUAGCUAAGGAAAAAGGUAAGCGAGCAGUGGCUUCUGAGCCUAGACAUAAUAGUGAGGGGAGUAAUGCCCAUGCGAGCUUCGUACUACCUCUAUCUUUGGGAGCCGAAAUGACAAAUGUAUUACGACUUGCUCCUUGGUAUCCAAUGGCCAGAUGGAUGGGGAGUCAAUUUGGUUCUCUACUAAAAGGGUUACUUCCAUCUUGAAUCCUCAAUGUCAUACGAUUAUUGUGGUUGACGAGAAUUUAGACCAGAAUGUUCAGCGGGAGGAAGGAUCUAUGGAAGAUAAAAUAGGGGAGGAGGAUGUGACAUUGGUUGAAUGUUCUGAGAAUGAUGUUAACAUAAUCAAAUGGCGAGAUGACCGGAAAGAGAUCCCUUGUUGUGGGGUGUGCAUGCGAGGAGGUGUUGCUUUAGUUAUUGUACGUUCGACUAUGGAAGGUAUUGUUGAGCGAUUGGAGACUACUGGGGAAUGUGAUAGUGCCGAUGGUAAUUUUACCUGGGACGGUGUUUAACAGCUGGGAUCAGGGCCGUCAGAGAGAUAGUAAGAAUUAUCAAGUUGUUGCUUAUCUCUUUUCUCAAUGUGCUUGUUAUGGAGUUUAAUAUUCUUAGUUGGAAUUGUAAAGGGGCUAGACAUCCCCAAUUUAACCGUAUGCUACAAGAGUAUCUGAAGAUUCACAAUCCAGCGGUAGUAGUGUUGCUUGAAACUAGGGUUAGUGGUUUGAGAGCGAACAAGGUUGUUAUGAGUAUCAAUGACUGUUAGUUUAGCAGUUGACAGUUAGUAUAGUUAGUUAAACGGUUAAGAAACAGUUAUGAACUUUCUCUAUUAAAUGGGCAUGUAUCCUCUCUCCAAAUCAAUCAAGAAAGAAGUUUACUUCACGUUACUUUUAUACUUCAACAUGGUAUCAUGAGCAACAGGUUCAUAAUUUUUUUUCUCUUCUUCAUGGCUUCUGAUCCUGUACUUGGGGAUGAUACUCCUUGUCACUCUUCUAUUUUUUGGGUAGAUCCUUCGCGAGGUUCUGGAAGUGCUGUGUCACACACAAUCCAUUCCUUUUCUAAGCAUGACACUAUCAAGCUCACCGAGAGUAAUUUUCUUUUCUGGAAACAUCAAAUCUUGCUCAUUCUUGAGGCUAUGAUCUUGAAGGUUUUGUAUAAUGUACUGUUUCGGUUCCUUCCCUCAUUGUUCCUGGUGUUGAUGGUUAUUUGGUUGAUAACCCGUUGUUUCUUGCUCACAAGAAACAAGACAAAUUUCUUGCGUCUUGGCUAUUGUCUAUAGUGUCAGAUGAGAUUCUAGUUCAUCUCACGUCCGCAAAGAGUAGUUUUGACAUUUGGUCCGCUAUUGAAAAGCGAUUUGGUGUGAAGUCUAGCAUUAAGAUUUCAAGAAUGUGACAUGAUCUGUAUUCCUUCAAGAAAGCCAGUCUUUCAAUUAAAGAAUAUUUUUCAAAGGUAAAACGGCUGAGUGAUAGCCUCAUUGUUGCUGGAAGUGUUGUAUUUGAGCAAGAACAGAUCAACAUUAUCUUAGCUGGACUCUUGUCAGAAUUUGAGUCUGUUCGUGUGAUUGCUUCAGCUACACCGAUGUCUCUAGAUCUAUUGACUGAGUUACUUCUUGACUGUGAAGCUCGACAGUUGGAUAUGUUGACUGAAGUUCCUAUGCAAGCAAAUGUAACCUCUUAUUCCAAGAAUUCUCAUUCUUCCAAAUCUACUGAUGGUUCAAAUAGUUAUGGUUCAAGUUUUAGACAAUGUCCUAGGGAACAUGGUAGAGGCUGGUUUCGUGGUCGGAGUCGCAGCAAUAGCAGGGGGUGGACACGUUCCAAACCACAGUGUCAGUUGUGUGGUAAGGUUGGGCAUGUUGUUCAAACUUGCUAUCAUUGGUUUAAUGAAAACUUCUCUGGUGUGGACACUAAUGUCUCAAAAACUGUUAACUAUCAUUCUUAUGAACAAAGUUCUUCUUCCUGUUGUAACUUUCAUUCUCAAGCUCCUGCACAGGCCUCUCGAUCUCCUACUACAGGUUCUUCUUUUUAGGCUUGGUAUCCGGAUUCUGGUGCCAUGAACCAUGUCACUCCAGACGUGGACAAUCUCUCGUCCCCUUCGCCUUACACAUGUAUGGAUAGGGUCUUUAUAGGAAAUGGUGAACGAGUCUCGAUAGCUUAUGUAGGCUCCUCAUCGAUGGUCUCUAGAUCUAGAUUGUUUCAUCUUAGAAAUGUACUUCAUGUACCUACUGUUUGCGAAAAUUUAUUGUCUGUGGGUCAAUUUGCUAAGGACAAUUUGGUGUAUUUCAAAUUUCACCCCUAUCUGUGCUUUGUGAAGGACAUUCAGACAAGGAAGGUGCUCUUGGUGGGCCACAUGCAUAAAGGCCUCUAUAGGUUUGACGUGUCUAUAGCUGAUUCUUUCAAGUCACCUGCUGCACCAAGGGUCAAUUCUGUGAGUAUGUGUAAUACUUCGCGUAUCUCAGUGCCUUUGUUGUGGCAUCAACGGCUCGGGCAUCCAUGCAACGGUGUUCUCUCUAAAGUUUUACGAAGUUGUAAUAUUUCCUUCAAAAAUAAUUGUCUGCCGAGUGUUUGUUCUGCUUGCCAAUUAGGCAAAUCUCAUAAACUUUCGUUUAGCACGUUUACAACAGUGUAUUUUGUCCCAUUUGAGCUUGUUGUGUCUGACGUUUGGGGACCAACUCAUGAGAAAUCAAAUGGAUUUUCUUACUAUGUGUCCUUUGUAGAUAUGUACAGCCGAUAUACGUAGUUGUAUUUUAUCAAGGCUAAGUCUGAGGUAUUGAACUGUUUUCUUCAUUUUCAACGAAUGGUUCAAGUUCAGUUUGGGUUCUCCAUAAGUAUGGUUCAAACAGAUUGGGGGUGAAUAUCAGUCCCUAUCUGCUGAGUUGUUCAAAUGUGGCAUUCAAUAUAGACUUACGUGUCAUCAUACCUCGGAGCAAAAUGGUGUGGUUGAGAGGAGACAUCGACAAGUGGUUGACAUGGGGUUGACACUUCUAGCACAUGCACCUCUUCCUUUGAAAUUUUGGUCCUCUACUUUUUCCUAUGCUGUACAUAUAGUCAAUAAGUUACCCUCGUCUGCUUUUUAAGGUGCCAAUCCUUAUGAAAUGUUUCAUAAAAGUCCGCCUGACUACUCCUGCUUGAGCAUUUUUGGUUGUGCCUGCUUCCUUUAUUUGCAACCAUACAAUAAACACAAGCUACAAUUUAGGUCUAAGUGCUGUGUGUUUCUUGGCAUUGAGGCUAAUCAUAAAGGGUAUAGAUGUCUUGAUGACAUUGGUCGUAUAUUUGUGUCUCGACAUGUGGUUUUUGAUGAGACUCAUUUUUUAUUUCAGCAACGCCCUCUUUUCAAGACUUUGGUUAAUUGUCAUCAGCAACCUUGUCAACAACCAUACAUUCCUCUUGUUGCACCUACAGUUCCCUCGAAUACUAUGGUGACUAGUUCUGACAACUUGAACCUUGUGCCUGAUUUUACACCAAGUCACCCUAUUCCAAAUAUAUCAGCUCAGCCAUCUGACUCUUGUGAUGAACAAUGUGAGUCUUGCCUAUAGUUCAAUCUGAUUCUCCAGUCCGGGCUACUGAGAAUGUUCAUCCUAUACAAACCCGAUCUAAGUCUGGCAUCUACAGGCCUAAGGUGCUUACUUCAGUUGUGACAACUAGGGAGCCAAUCUCUAUAGAAGAAGCCUUUCAGAGUUCUGAGUAGACAACAGCUGCACAAGCUGAGUAUCGGGCUUUGAUUUCAAAUAACACCUGGGACCUUGUACCAUUACCUGAAGGUAGAAAGACGGUCGGAUACAAAUGGAUAUUCAAGGUUAAAAGGAAUGCUGAUGGCUCGGUUGCACGGUACAAGGGCCGUUUAGUAGUUAAGGGAUAUCUUCAAGAAGCUGACAUUGACUUCCACGAGACGUUUAACCCUGUUGUGAAAGCUACUAAAAUUUGAGUGGUCUUGACACUUGCCGUGUCUUUGAAAUGGUCUCUCCGUCAGAUUGAUGUUAAUAAUGCAUUCUUAAAUGGUGAUUUAAGUGAAGAAAUAUAUAUGGUACAACCACCAGGUUUUGAACAACAAUGCGGUAAUGGCCAGCAGCUGGUAUGCAGGUUGAGGAAAGCUUUGUACGGGCUCAAGCAAGCCCCUCGAGCUUGGUUCCACAAGUUAAGGGAGUUCUUACUUGGAAAUCAGUUUGAAACUUCAAUGGCAGACAAUUCCCUCUUUAUUCAUAAAGUUAGGAAUUAUUUGAUGUAUGUCCUCGUCUAUGUUGAUGACAUCGUGGUUACUGGUUCUAAUUCGAGAGCUGUAGAUCAUUUUAUUACACGUCUCAACCACCAGUUUUCUCUAAAAGAUUUGGGGAGGUUAAACUACUUUCUAGGUAUUGAAGGAACUGAUACGAGCCAAGGAGGUGACACUCAAGGGGUUGUUUUUCCUAGUGGUCCAAUUACUCGAAGCAAGGCACGACAAUUAAAAUUAAAGAUGAAUGCUUUUGUCCAAGACUUUGUUGCUACAAAUUUAAUUCAUCCUGUUCGUGACAUUGACAAAUACGAGAAUGCAAUUCACUGGACCAAUCUUGGAAUAGUGAAAGCCCAUAAAUUGGUGGAUUAAUCUUUUAUGUAUAUUAUUAUUAUUAUUUACUUAAUUCUCAUUGGUUGGGACACAUCAUUUAUGAGUUAAGUAAUUUUAUUGGUUAGGUUAUUAUUUAUUUAUUUUCUNNNNNNNNNNNNNNNNNNNNNNNNNNNNNNNNNNNNNNNNNNNNNNNNNNNNNNNNNNNNNNNNNNNNNNNNNNNNNNNNNNNNNNNNNNNNNNNNNNNNNNNNNNNNNNNNNNNNNNNNNNNNNNNNNNNNNNNNNNNNNNNNNNNNNNNNNNNNNNNNNNNNNNNNNNNNNNNNNNNNNNNNNNNNNNNNNNNNNNNNNNNNNNNNNNNNNNNNNNNNNNNNNNNNNNNNNNNNNNNNNNNNNNNNNNNNNNNNNNNNNNNNNNNNNNNNNNNNNNNNNNNNNNNNNNNNNNNNNNNNNNNNNNNNNNNNNNNNNNNNNNNNNNNNNNNNNNNNNNNNNNNNNCAAUCAUUGGCGUUUUUGGUUACAAGUUAACCAAGGAUUUCAUAGGGUAAAUCUAUCCUUUUUAUUAUUUAUUUAUUUAUUAUUAUUUAACUAAUUUUAUUUAUUCUCGUUUUAUUUCUAAUUUGUGUUUCUCUUGUGUCUAGAUCCGGGUUUCCGUAUCAGUUGGUAUCAGUUUCAGGCCAUUCGGUGUUAUUUUCGAAGCUAAAAUCAAAUCCGAAACGAGUCAAAAUACCUAAAACACUUUUCAUCGGUUUCUUCGAUUCUCUUUUUUUGUGAAGUUUGUGUUUAUUCUCCUCUUAUUCUUUAAAAAAAACAAAAAAGCCAAAAAAAAAGUGAGUAAAAAGCGCAAAAAAAAAAGCAAAAAGCAAAAAAGCGCAAAAAAAAAAGUUGCCUACCUUUCAUACGUAGGUUUCUUCUUUUCCUAUUAUUGUUAUUAUUUUUAUUUUAUUUUUCCCAAAAUUGAAUUUUUUCCCCCUUCUUUUCUUGACUCAAGUAUAAUUAAAGCUUCAAUUUUUAAAAAUCUUAAGACACCAAACGUUUCUGAUUUUUUGUUUUCCUUUAAAUUGGGUAGAGUUUUCUUAAGUUUUCUUCUUAUUAAAAGCUUUUCUUUGACUCUAGAGUUAGGGAUCGUUGCAGGUCUACGUUUUUUUUUGUUUCUCUUACGUUUUCUAACACUUUGUUUCUUCUUGUGUUAACAGAUAUUAAAGGCACGCACAAUUUCUUCAUCCAUGUAGCCUCCAUUAUAAAUUGCUUCGUCAAGUUUAUUGGCCUAUUAAAGCAAUUAGGAUCUUCAUUGUUUCUUUGAAGUUUGCACCUCCAUUAUUUGAUCUUGAUUAGUAACCCUCUCCAAACAUAUUUACAAGUUUUGAAUCAUUCAGAGAGUUAUUCUUUUGAGAGCUAACGAGUGAGGUUAUUAUUAUUUUUUCUUGUUCCUGUUUGUGUGAUUUUUUCACAGAUACCAUGCCGAUCACUAGAUCCCAAACUAGUAAAAAUGAAGAGGAUGAGCAAAAAAGAGAUAACAUUUUCCACACGAGAUGUUUGAUUGGUGGACAACCUAGUUCAUUGAUCAUCGAUAGUGGAAGUUGCACCAAUGUGGUGAGUUCUUCCCUUGUUGAGAAACUUGACCUACCUUGUGUGAAGCAUCCAAGGCCAUACCGCUUACAAUGGCUGAAUGAUAGUGGGGAGGUAAAAUUAUCUAAACAAUGCUUAGUUUCAUUUUCUAUUGGUAGAUACUCUGAUAAAGUUUUGUGUGAUGUUGUUCCAAUGCAAGCUGGGCACAUAUUACUUGGACGGCCAUGGCAGUUUGAUCGACGAGUAAAUCAUGAUGGUUUCCUUAACCAAUAUACUUUUGUGUUCCUUGGAAAGAAGUUUACUUUGGCUCCACUUCCUCCUCAAGAAGUCUACAAUGAUCAACUCAAACUUGCUAGUGAGAUGGGUAAGGGAAGUGAGGUAAAAUCAUUGAAAAAGGCUGAGAGUAAAGAGGCCCUUAGUGUUAAAAGCCAACUUAAAGGCCCAACAUUGGUGAGUGAUUGCACACACAAGUCACGAGAUGAGAAAGUGAGUUAUUCGGCUAGGUUUCGAGAUAUCAAAUUUGCUCUUUGUACAAAACAAACAUUUGUAAUUAUUAGGUUUAAGGAAAACUUUAUUUUGACUAACCUUAAUACACAUUUGCCUAGUUGUUUUGUUGAUCUUUUGCAGGAUUUUGAGGAUGUAUUUCCUUCUGAAAUGCCUAAGGGAUUACCUCCUUUACGAGGGAUUGAACAUCAAAUUGACUUUGUGCCUGGUUCGAGUAUUCCGAAUAGACCAGUCUAUCGAAGCAAUCCUGAAGAAACUAAGGAGUUGCAAAGGCAAGUUGAAGAUCUCUUAGAGAAAGGGUUAAUUCGUGAGAGUCUAAGCCCUUGUGCGGUCCCUGUACUUCUCGUCCCAAAAAAAGAUGGUUCUUGGAGAAUAUGUAUUGAUUGUCGUGCUGUCAACANNNNNNNNNNNNNNNNNNNNNNNNNNNNNNNNNNNNNNNNNNNNNNNNNNNNNNNNNNNNNNNNNNNNNNNNNNNNNNNNNNNNNNNNNNNNNNNNNNNNNNNNNNNNNNNNNNNNNNNNNNNNNNNNNNNNNNNNNNNNNNNNNNNNNNNNNNNNNNNNNNNNNNNNNNNNNNNNNNNNNNNNNNNNNNNNNNNNNNNNNNNNNNNNNNNNNNNNNNNNNNNNNNNNNNNNNNNNNNNNNNNNNNNNNNNNNNNNNNNNNNNNNNNNNNNNNNNNNNNNNNNNNNNNNNNNNNNNNNNNNNNNNNNNNNNNNNNNNNNNNNNNNNNNNNNNNNNNNNNNNNNNNNNNNNNNNNNNNAACGACUCUUUGCUAAUCUUGAAAAAUGCACCUUUUGUAUGGAUAAGCUUAUUUUUUUGGGUUUUGUGAUAAGUUCUACAGGAAUCCAUGUGGAUGAGGAGAAGGUAAAGGCAAUUCAAGAAUGGCCUAUCCCUAAAACUGUUUCUGAUGUAAGGUCUUUCAUUGGGUUAGCCGGUUUCUACCGCAGGUUUGUUCGUAACUUUUCCACAAUUGCUUCACCUUUGACUACACUUAUUAAAAAGGAUGUAUCUUUUCAUUAGACAGAUAAGCAAGAAUUAGCAUUUAAUGAACUUAAAGAUAAAUUGUGUAAUGCUCCUAUUCUUGUUUUACCUAAUUUUGAAAAGACCUUUGAGAUUGAAUGUGAUGCUUCUGGUGUAGGUAUAGGUGCCGUCCUCAUGCAAGAUAGUAAACCAAUAGCCUACUUUAGUGAGAAACUUGGUGGAGCACAUUUGAACUAUUCGACCUAUGAUAAAGAGUUGUAUGCCUUGGUAAGGGCAUUAGAAGUUUGGCAACAUUACCUUUUACCAAAGGAGUUUGUGAUUCACACUAACCAUGAAUCACUUAAGCACUUAAAGGGACAAGGUAAGUUGAACAAGCGACAUGCGAGGUGGGUUGAAUUUAUUGAAUCUUUUCCUUAUGUUAUAAGGUAUAAGAAAGGUAAAGAUAAUAUUGUGGCUGAUGCUCUAUCAAGGAGGUAUACUUUACUUAGUACUUUGCAUACUAAGUUAUUAGGUUUUGAGUAUCUCAAAGAUUUAUAUGCAACUGAUUCUGAUUUUACAAGCAUUUAUGACGCAUGUGAACAUGGUGCAUUUCACAAAUUUUAUAAGCAUGAUGGCUAUCUUUUUCGAAAUAAUAGACUAUGCUUACCAAAGUGUUCAAUGCGAGAAUUGUUGGUUCGAGAGGCUCAUAGUGGUGGUCUUAUGGGUCAUUUUGGAGUCACUAAGACUUAUGAUGUUUUACAUGAGCAUUUUUAUUGGCCUAACAUGCGAAAACUUGUUGAAAAAAUUUGCUCUACUUGCAUUACUUGUAAAUAAGCUAAAUCCACUGUGAUGCCUCAUGGUCUAUAUACUCCUCUUCCUGUUCCUAGUUCACCUUGGACUGACAUUUCAAUGGAUUUUGUAAUAGGUUUACCGAGGACAAAGCGUGGAUGAGAUAGCAUCUUUGUGGUUGUGGAUCGAUUUUCUAAAAUGGCUCAUUUCAUUCCAUGCCAUAAGACUGAUGAUGCAACCCAUGUUGCCGAUCUAUUUUUCCGUGAAGUUGUGAGAUUACAUGGAAUCCCUAGGACUAUCGUUUCCGAUAGAGAUGCAAAAUUUCUUAGUCACUUUUGGAAGGUGUUAUGGGGUAAGUUAGGUACUAAACUACUUUUCUCUACUACAUGGCACCCUCAAACUGAUGGUCAAACCGAGGUGGUAAAUCGAGUUUUGGGAUCUUUGCUUAGAGCCAUAAUAGGUAAGAAUGUUAAAUCUUGGGAAGAAUGGAUACCCUAUGUUGAGUUUGCUUAUAAUCGUUCUGUUCAUUCUUCCACAGGUUUUACUCCUUUUGAGAUUGUAUAUGGCUUUAAUCCACUUACUGUUUUAGAUUUGCUUCCUUUACCUUUGAAUGAGAUUGCUAAUUUAGAUGGUGAAAGGAAAGCUGAUUUAGUGAAAGAGAUCCAUGAGAAGGCUCGUAAAGCCAUUGAGAAAAAGAAUGAGUCUAAUGCACAUCGAGCUAAUAAAGGGCGAAAGCAAGUCUUGUUUGAACUUGGAGAUUGGGUAUGGGUGUAUAUGAGGAAGGAACAAUUUCCUUCUAAGAGAAAGAAUAAACUUGAUGCACGAGGAGAUGGACCAUUCCAAGUACUCGAGAAAAUAAAUGACAAUGCUUAUCGCAUUGAUCUUCCUGGUGAGUAUAGUGUUAGUGCUACUUUCAAUGUUUCUGANNNNNNNNNNNNNNNNNNNNNNNNNNNNNNNNNNNNNNNNNNNNNNNNNNNNNNNNNNNNNNNNNNNNNNNNNNNNNNNNNNNNNNNNNNNNNNNNNNNNCCUUUUGAAUUUGAUGCAGGUUCAGAUUCGAGGACGAAUCUUCUUGAAGAGGGGGAGAAUGAUACGAGCCAAGGAGGUGACACUCAAGGGGUUGUUUUUCCUAGUGGUCCAAUUACUCGAAGCAAGGCACGACAAUUAAAAUUAAAGAUGAAUGCUUUUGUCCAAGACUUUGUUGCUACAAAUUUAAUUCAUCCUGUUCGUGACAUUGACAAAUACGAGAAUGCAAUUCACUGGACCAAUCUUGGAAUAGUGAAAGCCCAUAAAUUGGUGGAUUAAUCUUUUAUGUAUAUUAUUAUUAUUAUUUACUUAAUUCUCAUUGGUUGGGACACAUCAUUUAUGAGUUAAGUAAUUUUAUUGGUUAGGUUAUUAUUUAUUUAUUUUCUUAGAUAAUUUUAAAGAGUUUUAUUAGGAUUCAAUUACUCUUUAAAGAGUUUUUAUUAGGAUUCAAUUACUCUUGAAAGAGUUUUAUUAGGAUUCAAUUACUCUUGUAAUUUGCCUAUAAAUAGGCUUGUUUUCUACACAUUGAGGGGAGAAUAAAAAGAAGAGUAUUUGUUUUCUUUCAAAUUUGUGUGAGGCAAAUUUUUGGGAGUAGAGUGAUUCUUCUCUUGCUAUUUAGUUUGGAGUUUGUUACUUUCGAAGGUAUUUCGGAGUUGCAAAUAUUCAAAUUUCUUUCCCGUUCAUCGGUGUUUCUAGAGGUUCUUCUUCUAGGGGUUUCGUAGGGAGCCGCUCAAUCAUUGGUGUUUUUGGUUACAAGUUAACCAAGGGUUCCAUAGGGCAAAUCUAUCCUUUUUAUUUAUUUAUUAUUUAACUAAUUUUAUUUAUUCUCGUUUUAUUUCUAAUUUGUGUUUCUCUUGUGUCUAGAUCCGGAUUUCCGUAUCAGUAACUCCCACCGCAAAUGGACUCAUGCUAAAUCAGAAGAAAUACAUACUGGAUCUUCUUAAGAAAACAUCGAUGGAAAAGUCAAAUUACUCUCCCACACCAAUAGUCUCCACUUGUUGUUUGUCCGCUCGUGAAAGAAGCAUGGUUGAAGAUGAGAGUUUCUUCAGGAGCAUCGUAGGUACUCUCCAGUACAUAGUGAUUAUCAGACCAGACAUUGCAUUUUCUGUAAACAAAGUCUGUCAGUUCAUGCAUAGACCACUCGAUACACACUUUAAAGUUGUAAAAAGGAUUUUGAGGUAUUUACAAAGCACCUUAGAUUAUGGUCUUCAUUUCCAUCGUACAUCUAAGUUUGUGCUUGAAGGUUACUCGGAUUCCAGCUGGGUAUCUGACAUCGAUGAUCGAAGAUCCACAUCGGGUUACUGUGUUUUUUAGGGAGGAAAUCUGGUUUCGUGGAGCUCUAGGAAGCAAUCUGUUGUCUCCAGCUCUACAGCCGAAGCAGAAUACAGGAGUUUGGCAAACGCCACUACGGAAAUAGUCUGGCUUCAGUCAUUGUUAACUGAGCUAUGUGUCUUUACUCAGAGGAAAUAUUUGGUCUGUGUGAUAGCUCCGCUGCAGUUACUGUUGCCGGCAACCUAGUCAUGCACUCAAAAUUCAAGCAUGUGGAACUAGACAUAUUCUUUGCAAGAGAGAAAGUAGCAGCAGGAAUAAUUCAAGUUGGACAUGUGUCGAGUCUGAAUCAGGUUGCUGAUUUGUUAACAAAACCAUUGGCUGCACUUAUGUUUAACAAGUUCAGACAGCAGCUGCAGGUGGCUCCAAAUGAAGAACAAGUCAGUCAAAGGAAAGGAAGUCAGGACAACAAGGGAAAUGUUAUGAGUAUCAAGGACUGUUAGUUUAGCAGUUGACAGUUAGUAUAGUUAGUUAAACUGUUUAGAAACGGUUAUGAACUUUCUCUAUUAAAUGGGCAUGUAUCUUCUUUCCAAAUCAAUCAAGAAAGAAGUUUAUUUCACGUUACUUCUAUACUUCAACAAAGGUGAUUAAGAAAUCCAGCUUUAAUUGGUCUCAUAGAGUGGAAGCUAAAGGUUUUUCUAGUGGGAUUUGGAUUCAUUGGGAUGAAUCAGUGCGCGUCGAGGUUCUAUGUAAUCAUAGCCAGUUUGUGCAUUUUGCAAUAGUUUCGAAUUCGUUGCAGCAACGAGUUUUAUGUACUGCAGUUUAUGGUAGUUCAAAUAACUGGAAAUAGAGAUCCCUGUGGACGGAACUGAAUGCAGUAGCACAGGGUAUAGUUAAACCAUGGGUACUUUUGGGUGAUUUUAAUGCUUUGUUGCAUACAGAUGAGAAACAGGGUGGGUUGGUGAGGCGUAUGGCAACUUGCAAACGCUUUCAAACCUUUCUAUUUGACAACAAUAUUAAGGAUUUGGGGUUCAAAGGACUUAAAUUUACAUGGUGUCAAGGUCGGGUUCACGAGCUGCUCAAUCGAGUUCUUUAUAAUGCAUCAUGGGAACGACGAUAUCAGUUUUCUUCUGUGUAUCAUCUCCAGCACAUUAAAUUUGAUCAUUGGCCUCUUCUCUUUGUGUUGAAUGACUCUAGUCGACCUAGUGGGACUAAGACGUUUAAGUUUCUUUUUUCUAGUUGGUUAUUUCACAGUGGCUUGAUACGUUGGUUAAGAUGUGUUGGGAUGACAAUUGCUCACUUGUUGAAUUGGUCCAAUAGUUUGUGGUUGAUGCGUCGGAUUAGAAUGAGAAAGUUUUUGGUAGUAUUGGUAGGCGAAAAAGGGAAUUGAUGGCUCGAUUACGAGGUUUGCAAGCAGCUAGGAUGCUUAUAGGAUGCUGGGAUCUAUGUUGCUAUUGUUUUGGAGAGUUGGAGGCGAAUGGGGACUGGAAAUUUACGAUGGCGCUGUCUGGAGCUAGGAUGGGUGAAGACGAAUGUUGAUGGGGUUGUGUCGGAAAGAACUUGUCAGGCGAUGACUGGGGGCUGUUCCAGAACUAUUAUGGGAGCUGGGAUGUCGGGUUCUCCAAGAAGAUUGGAAUCACGUCGGUGCUCCACUCGGAGCUGUGGGCGGUGUUAGAUGGAUUAAAGGUGCCUUGGGCUAAGGGAUUUUGAUAGGUGGUUAUGGAGAGUGAUAAUAUUGAGGCCUUACAAUUACUAUGCCGAGGAUCGAGAGGGGAACAUGUAUGCUUGCUUGUUCGAUAGAUUAGGGGGAUGCUUUAGUGACACUGGACUAUCAAGCUAGAGAAUGUGCCGAAAGCUUGUAAUAUUGCUGCAAAUUUUAUGGCUAAGUGGGUACAGGGUACUGGUGAUGGUUUGCACUUAGUGAAGAGACCGUCGGAGAGCUGUUGGAGGUCGUUGCUUUCUGACGUAGUCAUGGCUGUCGGAGUUGAUAUAGUUGAAUAGUAGAAUUUUAGAGUUUUCCCAAUAUUUUAGGCGGCUCGAUUACAAAUAAUUGAUUAUUAAGAUCUAAAACAUCUAUUCAACAAAAAAAUUCACGAUAAAAACACGUGUGACUUUGAAACUUUUUCAUAUACCCAUUGGUUUCUCUAUCGAAACCCUUAAUGUUGUCCUAAGGUAAGAAGCAGCACACCACCAAUCACCGUCCCAAAUCCUUUUUGUUAGUGAGUGGCAUAAAACGGUAAAUUUGAUCAUGAAUCAAGGGCCUUAUCUCAAGCCUCUCAUCUCCUUCCAUCCUCCCCAACCUGCUUCCAUUCCGUCUCAAUCGCUUCACCUUAAUUAAUUAUUUAUUAAGCCCAGAAUUUCACUUUAAAUUUUGUUUCAUUAUAAAUUAUUGUUUUUUUUAAUUCUUUAACCUUAGUUUUAAUUUCUCUUCCUGAGUUUCUCUAUAUAUUUAAUUAUAUAAUAUUCUGUUGCAUUUCUUGUUUUUAUUUUUCCCCUUUUGGGGGAGAUUUUGUGGUAAUUUGUAAUGUUAAACGAAUGGCGAAUUCGAAUCACCAGCGAACGCCAAUGUACGGUUCAGGUGCCGCGAACAUGCAACGGAACAUUGACGAAGAAGAAGACGAUGACGUUCCAGGCGGAGCCGGAGGAGGAGGGGAAGAGUCCGUGGAUAACCCUCAGAUUGGAUUUCAAGAAAACGGUGCCGUUGUUGCGGUUAUGAAUAAUGGCAUGGACGAAGCUUCUCAUGCCCACGUUUAUGGUCAAGGAUCUGAUUCAACCUCUGCUCCUGGUAAUGGUGGUGCUGAUCAGCUCACUCUAUCGUUUCAAGGGGAGGUUUAUGUCUUUGAUUCCGUUUCUCCUGACAAGGUUCGUUUUCCUUUUCAUCUGGGCCUUUUAGUUUUGAAUUUGAUUCGUAUGUUUGUUUUUUAAAUGUUGAAUUUUUUAUUAAAAUUGUUCACUUGUUGCAUCUGGUUUUAGGCUGAUUGGAUGGAUUUAAUAAUUUUUUUGUUAGUUUGGUGAAUUAUGUGGUGGCCUAUCCUGUUUUAAUGCUAAUUUAGCUGAUGACUCAUUGGUUUUUGCAUCUAUAUUCUCGUUUAUACAGUCAAUUACUGAAUUGCUUUGUUUCUAAAUAAUGUCGUGGGUUAUGCAAGAAAGAUCCUCUCUUUUCUCCUCAAUUGAAGUGGAUGCUAUUAGGGCUUAAAGUUUCAAAUAUGAAGUAAGAAAAGGGAAGUCAUGAUUUGUGGUGCUUGAUAUUUUCAGGUACAGGCGGUGUUGUUACUUCUAGGUGGAUAUGAAAUCCCUUCAGGCAUUCCUGCAAUGGGGACAGUGUCUGUUACUCAAAGGGUGCGCGUUAGAUCAAUCAUCCUAUCUAUCUUGUGAUUAGUUCUUUUAAGAGGAUUCUGUUUUUGUUCCUUUUCUUUUUUUUAACAUCUUUAAUGGCAUUCUCCUAGGGCUUAAGUGACUUUCCUGGGAGGUCAAUUCAGCCACAGAGAGCUGCUUCUUUAAACCGGUUCCGGGAGAAGAGAAAAGAGCGGUGCUUUGAGAAGAAAAUCCGCUAUACUGUGCGGAAAGAAGUGGCCCUCAGGUAUUUCAACAAUUGGUUUCACCUCUUUUUCCACAUUCUUCUUUCUUCAAGACAAGAUUGUUCUUCAAGUCGCUUGCUAACAUUCUAGGUGUGGUUUGUUAGGAUGCAACGUAAGAAGGGUCAAUUCACAUCAUCCAAGGCAAUUUCUGAAGAAGUAGCCUCAGCCUCUUCAGGAUGGAGUGGAACACCAGGUUCUGGGCAAGAUGAGAAUAUUCAAGAAGUUUUGUGAGUAGCUUCUCCCAAUGAUCAAAUGAUGUUGUUUUUAAAAGAAAUUAUCAUUGGAUUGAUAUCACCCCUCAGUUGAAGUUGUAGUUUUCACUUCAGCUAUCAUUUGUUAUGUUCCUAUAGAUUCUCUCCUUUAUUUUGCAUGUUUUUUCUGUGUAGAUGUACACACUGUGGAAUCAGCUCUAAGAAAACUCCUAUGAUGCGUCGUGGACCUGCUGGUCCAAGGACUCUUUGCAAUGCAUGUGGACUCAAGUGGGCAAAUAAGGUUUGUCUAAACCAGGAAAGAGUUGUUCAUAAGUCUAUUCCCCAUUUAAUUGCAUGUAGAUUGUGAACUCAAGAGAGAGUACUAUAAGAUGAUUGACAAUCUUCUUUGUUGAUAAUGCGUUCUUUGCAAUUCUAAUGAUAUUUAAUCACACAAAUUUAUGAUUAGUCCUUCUGAUUGUCAGAGAGGUGUAUAUUAAGAGUUUGGCAAGAUUAUAACCUUAAUAUUCAGUUCUAUACUUCCAGUUGAUUUGUUUCUGGCACCACUUAAACUUAAUUUGUUUGAUGACUCAGAAGUAAACAUAUCCUUUAAGCAAUACAUCAUGUCUUCUGCAUUCUAGUAACUUGCGGAGGAUGAUUCAUGAUUCUUAUAAUCUUCAAUAAUUGCUUGUAAUUCUUUGGUCAUUCACUUGGGAAGUUCUCAUUUGCAGGGUGUUUUGAGAGACCUUUCAAAGGUUUCUACAGUAGCAAUCCCGGAUCCAACUGUAAAGACUGCUGAGCAGGUUUUGCUAGCUCAGAAUAACAGUAUUGAUGAUUGUUAUUUAUUACCUUUUUUCAUUGUGAUAAAAUCCUGAAUGCCCCUUGAAUCUGAUUACAUUGUUACUCCUUGGGUGUUUAUCAGAGUGAUGCUGAAGCUAACGAGUCAGAGGCUGUAACUGUAACUCCAGAUGUUGUAUCUUCAUCUAAUGGGGAUAACUCCACUGUCACUGCUGAAAGAUGAUUAACAAGAUCCUUCUGCUGUGGUGAGUGCUAUGUAACUUGAUGUUUAAGGGGCACAUGUCGAACUUUGUUGUAAUAAUUGAGUUCGUUUGACAACUGUAUAUAUGGUUCAUUGCCGAUCAUUAUGUAACUGCAGAAUUGCGAAAUACAGCCUACAUGGUGUCUGUAGGAAGAUUAGAAAUGAUUUCUUCCUUCAAUAUGCGUCGAAACCAGAGCUUGUUUUGACAAAUUCCUUUCCUUUCCUUGUAAAAAAGUGGAAAUAUUAAGAUAAGCUUGAACACAAGCAGCUGGGAAAAGAGGCACAUUCAUUUCGCCACUGAAUGUCCCAAGUCUUGAGGCUGCAAUUCCUAAAGAAUGUCUGCUUAGCUACUUUCUUAUUAUUCUCAGUUCUGCCUCCUGAUUGUUCUGUUGUGUCGUGUGUUUUGUCUGUACACUUUUGUACGUUUGGCAAUACAUGCACUGGAUGUGUUGUAUAUGUGUUGGUUGUGAUUUCGUAUCGUGUUUAAACCGGUCAGGUAAAACCCCUGCUACAGUAGCUGUUAUGGGUCUUUUCUUGCCUUCCCCAUGCUGCUCUACAUAUCGGUUACCCAGAGUCCAGGCACUAGCUGAUUCAACAUUUUGGUUAACCAUUCUUGUCCAAUUUGCAACAUUUUCAACACUAACGAUAUUCAGCAUUAUAAGAACUAGACGCUCACCUAAAAUACUGCAGUUUAGGGCACUCCAUUGCAAUUUACCGAGGUUUUUAUUAUACUUAUUAGCUCCUUUUUUUGCCUACUUGUUUUUAUAAUUUUUUAAUUUGAAUAAAUGAAAUUAUUGUACUUAUUAUCUGAAAUAUAGGGUAAAUAACUGAAGGUAAUUGGAAAUGAUUGUUUGCAAUUUUUUUUAAGGUACAAUUAUAAUUUGCAAGUAUAAUUAAUACAUUUGUAUAAACAGAAUUUCAAAUUCAAUCGACAUGUAUUAGAAUCAAACUAUAUUCAUUUGAUGAAAAUUACAGUGAAAAUGCAAUAAAAUUUCUAAAUGGGAAAAUAUAAAUCAAAAUGAAAAUUCCAUUUUGUAUUAUUUACUAAUAUAGAUAACGUUAGAAAUCGUAGUAUGAGGUGAAUUCAACUACUAAAUUUUUUUUAUUUAGUAUUAAAUAAAGAUAUUUUAUUUAUUUGUAAAUUCUUUAAAUGUUUUUAUUCAUCCCCAAUAAAAAGCUUAAAUAUAUCUUCAAGGAGAACCGGAACGCUAUUGCUUUGGCUACAUUAGGAAGCAAUUCCAAGCCCCAGCUUACUCGGAUAGUGCUAGUUUUAAUGCUUUUAUCAUGUUUGUAAUGAGCCAGCUUAGGCUAUUGUUUCCAUAAUUUAAUAUAUCAUGUUCCUCUUUCUAACCAAAAAUGAAAGAAAAAUAACUUAUAAAAGAAUUAAGUCCUUUUUUUCCCAUUAUAAAAGAUCAAACCCAUUCAUCACAUCUAAAAAAUGGGAUAGAAAAUAAACUUAUCCCUCCCUUAUAAUUAGCUAUUGAAAAUUUUCACCGGACUUCAUAAAAAUAAAUCCACAACCAUAAAAAUGGGGGCAAAUUUCAGUCUUCAGAUCAUGCACAAGUUGGAUGACAGCAAAAUCUAAAACUUUUACAAUGAAACAACAGUAAUUUUCAUAGCUUUUAUGAUUAUUAUUCUUCAACUUCUGCCGAAAUUAUGGAAUCCAAAAUUGCAAUUAUCCGUUUCUUUACAGGCAAAACCAAAAAACAACCAGGCCAACGGACACAGACUCCAUGGCUAACAUUCUUGAUCCAAAUGCAUUAUCACCCAAAUAGUCGGCUGUGUUUACUGCCUGAUGUUAACAAAUAGGGGAGCGAAAAGAGAUUGCGAAAAGAAUGGUUAUAGGAACAGAAAACUAUCAUUUCUGACAAAAAAAAAGAGCAAGUUACUUCUUCCCGGAGUGAUAAACAAUGCAAAUAACCCUAUAUUAUGGCAGUAGAACAAGGAAAUAUAUGGAGUCAAAAUAAAAUGCAUAAAAGCUAGGAAAUAACACCAACUUACCGAUAUGCCAGCUUUGGUUGGAGGAGUUCUGAAGAUCUUGAGGGAAAAAAAUUAGACUAAGCAAUCAAAUGAAUAUAACGCCUCCAUAUUUGAUAAAAGAAACUUGGACCAACCUGCACAGUUUCACGUUCAAAUGGCUUACAGAUAAACUGUGGGAUAGAGGCCUGGCAUGUAAUGGCGCCCAUUUCCAUUUGAAUCUGCAUUGUCAAACAAGUGUGACUGUAGUUCGCCCGAGUGAGCUGACUUGCGAGGUUUUGGGUUUUUGGAAGAAGCUGUGUAAGAAUCAUUUGAACUACUACUUAUAGAAUACAUUGAUGAUGUUGGCAGUCCAUGAAUCUCCGGCAGCCCUGUUGGAUCAGAACCCAGACUAUAUCCCCUCUCAACUGUUUCAGCUUCCAAUGGCAAUUCAUCCAAUGUCUAUUCAAAACGAUUUAAAUAAAUAAAUAAAUGUGGCUGCAGCUGCACUUAAUGUUGUAAUUUAGUAAGAAAUUAAAAAUUAAGCAAUAGUACGCAUUAACGUGAAUGCAGACAAGGAAAAAGACAUUUGGGUCAUGUCCUCUUCACAAACAGAUUAAAAGUCUAGUGAUUGCUCUAAUAAUCAACAUAUGUAGAUAUGCAGUUAAGAGAACCCACCCUGAAUGCCAGUUGGAGAACUCGAAGUGUUUCUCGAGUACGUUUUCUCUUAGAAGCGAUCUCAUCAGGUUCUUGUAACAUUUCUUCAAACAGGUUUUCUCUGUUUUGGAUGAUAAGACAUACAGGACACUCGAAGGUAAACAAAGAGAUUAUCACAGAGAUAAAUAAUUGAAAUCAAGUCAAAUGGCAGAAAGCUUUAUAUCACCUGUAGAGCUUUUUGAUAAAGACAUUGUGAAGUUCACGUUUUGUAUGGUUUACCUAGACAUUGAUAUCAGAGAUCACUACUCAUGUAAUGCUUCAGCUUAGCAAUGCAAUAUUGCACCAUAAACUAUCAUUAGAAGACAUGGCUUAUACGGUUAUAUUUACAAAGUUACAACAGUUUCAGGUUCCAAAUAAGAAAUAAAUGAGCAAAUUUCAACCAACUAGCUAGCUCCAUGUUACAGAAGUCAAGCUGGAUACAUUCACACAAUCAUGUAUUUCAUCACUGUUCUAACAUAACUAAAAUACAUCAACCACAGACAAAAGAAAUGGUAUCCUAGUUCAAAUUACAUGAUAUAUGCUCCUCUACAGAUCAAAAUAGUUGAGGAUAGAGAUCAACAUACUUAGCACCAAAUAUUGUUUACAUCAAGCCACACAGAUGCUGAACUGAUAAGGUGAAAAUUUGAACUUAAUUUCACUAGAAAGACUUACAAUCUUCUAACUUGAAUACCAUAAUGCCUUCUUUCUUUUGGCCAGACCCAUAAUGUGUUUUUGGAUUUCAGUCAUCAGGAGCUUGAAUGUGAACAUGGAUAGAUAGCAGAAAGAGACCAAAAAAUACACAAUUAGCAAAUCUACUCAGGUUAAACUUACCAAGAAGUGCAUAAUUGCUUUGGGCACAGAGUCCUCUAUGUUCUUCCUAACAAUGUCAUAGUAUGAUCUUAAGAGCAGUUUGGUAAUAGCAAUUUCAAUAGCUUGAGUUUCUGAACGGUCUUCUGAAGGCCUCAAUACAGUUGGGGGCUGAAAAGAGUAAAAAACAUGCUUGUCAAGAUCAGAAUAACAUUCUUUUUUUAAUUUAGCACUGGAUCCUUGAUGAAUUUAUCUGAUGUGUACGCACCUCUCUGAGAUGGAUCAUGGAAAAGGAAUGUUCAGCAUCAUGAACAGGUUCACUAUAUGGCUUGUUGUUUGUUGAGCUCUCUUUCACUGAUGUGCGGUUAUCACUGCCACCAAAUAUUGAUGGAAUACCCCAAGUUGAAAUACUUGUGCUUCCUGAAAAGACCCACACUCAUUUUACUCUUAUGCUGCUUGAUAAUUAAUCAAAAUAGGGUGAGAACUAUAAACACAAAAUUCACAUUGGAAAAUCAGCCAGAUCCCUUUCAAAAGGAAAAAAGGGAGAGAGAAUCCUCAAUAUUUGGCCAUCCUACAUAACUAUCAUAAAGAACAUCAGAUAUUGCAACAACAAAUUCAAAACGACAGCCUAAAAUGCAGUACCAGUAGAUGGAAGUUUUUCACCAUCUGCAACAGGACGGACUCCCUGCACAAAAAAUGAGUAAAAGGCUUCUCAAGUUAUUUACGUAGAAAACAGACAGAUGAAGGAGAAAAAGUUAAUGGAAAAAACGAAAAAGAACAGGCAGGGAAGGAAAAGCAUAUAUUGGGCAGCAGAAACACAAAUUUUCAUGCCUGAUCAGCAACGAUUCCAUUAACUUGUCUUGCAAGAAUAGCCCGAGAUUUAUUACUUCUUUCAGAAGUAAGUGCCUUAUCAGGCUCUGAACCAUCCUGAUUAAGUCAACAAAGAAACACAGGAAAAAAUGAAAAGGAAUUGGGAUUGGUAUUGGUAUUUGAAAAAGAACAGAAAUAAUACCAGAGAAAUUACCAUAAGUAGAAACCUACCUUUGAUCUGAUAGGUAAAGGAACUCUGGAAUUCUUUAUCUGCUGAUUGGCAAGUUCUACAGCCUUGCUCCCACCAAUAAAACUUGGGUGAGAAGUAUUUAUGUAAUCCAUCUGCAAAAUUAAAUGGCAUAUAGCACAAAUCACUACAGAUCUUUGAAAAGAACAUAUGAAUGUAACCAGUAUUGCACUCAACUGUAUCAACUUCAUCUCUUGUAACAGGAUUAAGAAUAGAUACAUAAAAUAAUAUAUAAAAAUAAAAUUAGCAGAAAUACCUCCAUUUCAAUAAUAUGUCCUAUCAUUGUCUCAGAUGGUUCGAGGCCUUGUCGGAGAAAGUUCCCAAUAACUUGGUCCAUAUGUCUUCUCAGAACAGGAAAUCGCUGCAGUUCAUUCACCAUGCAGCGAUGGCUAAUCUGGAAAGAGGACAAUUCUAUUAUAAAUCUAGAUUGUGAAGCAAUAAAGAUGAGGGACUACAAUAAUAAUCUGGAAGAAUCACCUUUAUUAACUCAUCAUAUAUGAACCUUGCACAUUGAAGGCUUGGAUCUAGCAAACGUGCUAUUUGCCUUCGAACAAGCACUUCAAACGGAACCUAUACAUAAAAACUAGAAUUAUAACCAAUAUUCACUGAGAUUAACAUGAAAUAACCCCAGGGAACAAUUUGGAAAACAGCAAUGUAGAUCUGUAUAAAACAAAAAUAAUCUUAGAUUAGACAUUUGAAUUAGAAGACACUAUAACCUACUUCUGGAACAAAUAGUGCAGAUCGAGGACCAUUCGCAUUCUCAAUGGCAGUUCGAAUGCCAUCGUUGGUCAAGUCUUCACAUGGAUCAACCUCCUGUGAAACAAAUCAAUUAACAUGGAAAAUAUUUACAUAAAAACCCUCUUACAAAGACAUGUUAUGCAUCACCAAUUUAUAAAGUUGCACUGCAGGACUCCUAAUGUCUGUUUUAAAGAAAGCAGUAGCUCAUGCAGGAAGUCAAAGGUUUUAUUGUAUUGUUAAAAAAGGGAGGGAAGGUGAGAAAUUAAGAUCAUGAAACCAGAUAACCAAUUAUAUAGAUAAGGUUGCCAUUAUUUAACUUUCUUAUCCUGCCGUAGUAGAGAGACUACGCAAAAUCACUCAUGGGGUAGUGAAAUGCACAUAUCAGUAGAUUGAAUAAAAAUAUUAAUCGUAAAAGAUAGUAUUUUAUAACCAAUAUUUUGUACAAUUACGUGCAUAGUAAUUAACAACUAACUAUUGUAAGACGGUGUGAGGAAACACCCUAAAGACAAAGAGAUGUAUAAUAGAAUGCACAUCUAACUUCAAAUGGAAAGCGAAUCCAACUAACUAGGCAAAUAUCAAAGCACAAAUAUCAGUCUACAGUCUACGCACCUCUAAGCUCUUGACAAAAAUUGAUUGGAAAAUGUAAUGAAUUCUUGCUCCACCAGACAGCUCACAUGUAGACAUUUCUUCAUUUCUCCCCUCUACCAUUGAUGAGAAUGCUGGUUCCAACAAACCAUUAUGGUAUCAUUACCAAUUUAGUAGAUUGUAAAUGAUAGGUGUUUCAGAAUAUUAAUUUUACAGACAGCCAAACAAAAAAUUUACCUUCACAGUACUUCGAAAGAAUAUUCAGGAGAAGAGCUCCCUGGCCAGCCUAUAGAUUAUAAAACCAUAAUUUUGUCGUAAGAAAAUUAUUUCAGUUACGACUCAACAAGGGUCGUGGUAGACAAACAAAUAUACAUGCCUUUGAUUCUGUAAUUUCUCCAUAGCUUGCAUGCUCCUUUGCCACAGAAACCAGUGCAGAACUAAUGCGUGAUUUCAGGCCAGGAAGUAUUGCCUUUAUAUGUUGUACUAAAAUCUACAUUAGAAACAGCAUAGAAAGACUCAUCACUUAGAUAAAAGAAAUACAGCACAACUAGGUCACAAGGCUCAACUAGUAGGAUCGCAAGUCAGUCCCCAACUACUAGCACAAGGCCUUCAACAGAUGCUAUAAGCAUGAGGGUGAUUUGAUUAAGAUAAAAGGCAAAAGGAAAGAAGAAACACUCCAAACAUAACCAAGCCUACAGAAAAUUGCUCUAGAUAAGAGUAGAAUGAUGCAAGUUUACAAUCUGGUCAGAAGUAAAUGGGAGAUUUUUCUACCAAAUGCAUAGCACAGAGGAAAAUUAAUAGGAUGACAGGGUUAAGUAAACAUCAAUAGAAAGUACGAACACUAGAAAAAAGCAUUGACAUUUAGAUUUUUUUCAAUUAUACCCCAUAAAAGUUCUGGAAACUUCAACUAGCAAAUAUUUUACCUGGUUCAACUUCUUUGCCAAUUGAGGAACACCACAACGAUCAGCUAGACUAGUAUAUACCUGUGUAACAUCAAAAACGAAUAAGCCAAUUGUAGAUGGAAACUGUAUCAAACAAUGAAACUAAAGGUUGGCGCAGCCAUACUGGACGACUGCGGAAGAACUUCUCCUCUGCAACAAGGGCAUCCUUGAUACUCCGGUUGAGUAAAAUAUCCUGUUUAGAAGACAAUAUUAGAAGUGCAAUCAAGUUGUCAGCACUAGUAAAAUAAGGUACCUGAUAAUCAGUAUAUGAAGUACAAGUAAGAGCAAAAAUGAUAACUUAUUAACCAUUAAAAUUGCGUUUAGUUGCUUUGGUAAAGGGAAGAAAUAAAUGGGUUCAGGAAGUAGAAUUACCCAUAUGAAAGUUCUUGUACAUGGUCCGAGUAACCAUUAAAGAAGUCAUAUAGAAGCAAAAACAUGAUAACUUACUAACCAUUAAUAUUUCUUACAGUUACUUUUGAGGAGGGAAAGAAAUAAUUAGGUUUUUGAGGCAGUAGAGUUACCACAAGAAACAAAAUGACAGGACAUUUAAAUGGACAGGAAGAUCUCAAAAUGAAAAAUGACUAAAAAGAUUGACAUAUGUCUUAAUCCAAAGAAGAAAUAUGAAGAAAGACAAAAUUGCCUUUAGAGCAUCUUGAAUUAAUAACUAUGGCAUAAAUUUUAAGAAAAUAACUGUAAAAAUGAGAAACCUUCCACAUUAACAAUGUACAAGAAAUAAUUUAUUAAGAAAAGUUUUAUAAAAUACAGAUUGAUGAAUUAAUAUCUUUAUUUCUGUUAGGUUCCAUGGUUACCUCCUGACUUCGAUUUACAACACCUACAUAACCAAGUCGAAGAGGAACCACUUUUCCAAGCAACAGGUUACGAGCAUCAGUACCUCGGUCCAUUAUAUCCAACUAAUCAGAAACCAAAAACAGCUUAAACAUAAGUUUGUCAUAAUUAGAAAGGAGAUUUUCACGUUGACAGAUGCACCUUUGUAAUAACACCAAUGGUUCUAUAACCUGCCGAACACCAAAAAAUUAGAAAGAUUGUUCAACUAAAUAAAUAGCAACUCAAUGCUGAAGUGAGAUUUUGAUAGUAGAAAUUACCAUCAGGAUCAGCAUUUCCAGCAAUUUGAAGUGCAUCAGAGUUUGCCAAGUCUGAAUUUGCAGGAGUAACAGCAAGAAUCAGACAGCUUGGCUGUUUAAUAUACGACAUGAUCAUUGUUCUAAUUCGAGCUUCAAUGUCUGAGGGCUGGUCACCCACAGGAACCUUUGUGAUUCCAGGAAGAUCCACAAGAUUGAUAUCAAGAACAUUUGGGGAGAAAAUCUUAAGUCGAAUUUGCUUGUCUGACGCACCUUUGUUUCCUCCAGCCUCCCUAUCUGUCUCAGCCUGAAGUCAAUAGAUAUUUAUUUAAGGAUUUUACAUUAACAGAGAAAAAGGAAACACUCAACACCACAAAUUAUAUAUAUUGUUCCUUGAUUUGAUAAAACUAUUAUUAACUAGAAAACAAUAAAAAGGCUAGAGUUUUUCAGAUACCCAAAGGGUGAGAGAAAAAUUCUACUUACGAUCCUUAUCCAAGAACAGCUAGAUUAAGUGAUUCACUUUUCUACUCAUUGUAACCAUCAGUGCAAAGCCUAAAGCCAAAUAAUUCCUUCUGGCAAGCUCCCAAUUUCCCUAAUUACAAAUUUCAGUACCACCAGCUACUGCAUCUUUGUUAUUCAACAUAGAAUCUAAUAAUAUCUUUCUCGCUUCAAUAUUAUAUAUAUAGCAAUUCUAAUACUCCUUAAGCAACCAGUUUGCAAAGGAAAAUUUAAAAAUGUCAACUUAACAAAAAUACAAAUUAAAACCCCAAAUUUUUGAAUUGUAUAAUCUAAAUGAGUAACUUUUGAAUUUCUCAAUCAUAAAAGGUAAGCAAUAAAGAACCUGAAUCUCCCUGCGAAUCUCAGAAAAGUCAUAGAAGCGCUUUCCAGGCAAGUGAAGGAACUCGCCAUACUCCUCCUCAGAACCAUCAGGUUUACGCUUGGUCUGGAGGAGCUGAAGGACGAGAGGGCGGCGCGUGCAGAUAUCAGAACCGCGAGGCAAGAAGUCACGGCCAACGAGUGACUCAAGUACGCUGGACUUGCCACUACUCUGGCUUCCGACCACCGCCACCUGCGGCAACUCUAUGGUGGACUGGCUACCCAGCUGCGCGAAGAUGUCUUGUAGCUUGUUCACAAUCGGUAUAACGGAAGAUCCCAAAGGAGCCGCGGAUAAUUGAGGCGGCGUCGAUGCAGCCGCUUCUUCAGCCAUUGAAUUUUAAUGAUUGAUCGAUUGAUGAAAAGAUUUACAGGAUUUUAUAUGAAAAUGCUAUCAAGCUAGGUUUUGGAACUGACUCUUUAUUUUUCUUUUUCUUUUCUAAUGCUUUGUGUUUACUAGAGAUAAAAGAGAUCUUGAAGCUUUGAUCGUAUGAUUGAACUUGAAGCAGACUAUGUAAUUGUGGCUUGGGAAUUAUAUUAAUUAAUUUAUUACUGUGGUAUUCAUUUUAGCUAUGCGUUCUCCAAUGCUUCGGGAAAUCAAUAUGAAGUUCUAAUUUUGGUAUUUAUAUUAUAAAUAAAUAAAGGUUAAAAUGUGCUAAAAGAUCUUGUACUAUCCAUGGAUUUGGAUUUUAGCCCUUUAUUUUUAUUUUAAAGCUUUUGCUAUUCAAUCUCCAAAUUCCUAUUUCUCAGCAACUGCCCAGUUGUUUAUCUCCAUCAGUCAAAAAUAGGGUUCCUAAAUGCUACCGACCCAAAGCUUAAAAGAACAUGUUGCCAUCUUGGCCUUCCCAUUUGGCAGUCACGAUCUAACCAUCCUAAGACUUGCGUGCAGGUUAGCUCGUGCAGCUCCGAAUGUGCAGUUUUCUUUCCUAACCAAAGCGAAGUCUAAUGAUUCCAUUUUUUCCACUUUUAAACUUUGAUGUCCCGAAUAAUAUCAGAGCUUACAAUGUGGAGGAUGGUGUGCCCGCGAAUGAUGUUUUUAGUGGAAACCCAGUGGAGAGAUUGGACCUUUUCCUUAAAGCAACUCCUGCAAACUUUCAAAAGGGCUUAGAUGUUGCAGUCAUGUAAGCUGGCAGGAGGUGCUAGCUGCUUCGUCACGGAUAUGUUUUUGACAUUUUCCGCAGAUAUGGCCGAGGACAUGCAAGCUUUUCGGACAUGGUGGUGGUGACGAAAAUGGUGGCAAAUUCCAACCAAACUUUGGAAGUUAUUCCAGGGUUAUCUCCAAUGCACGUUAGACAUUCGAAAGAAACGUUCUUUUCUUACACAUUGAGUAAAAUCGGGUGUGUUUUACCUCGAUCUACCGCCAUUGUUAUGAAUUUCUGCCAAGAACUCUAUCCCACAGCACUCUUUGAUGAUCUCAAAUCCAUGUUUCCAGCUUUGCUGAAUGUUGGUUUCUUAACGCAAGAACUUCCCUUGCCUCCAUUACCACCAUCGGAUUCAGAUGCGGCAGAGUGUUUAUCAUGGUUAGACAAGCAAAGUUCCAAGUCUGUUGAGUAUAUUAGCUUUGGGACAGCGGCAACGCCAGCAGGGUUGGAGUUAAGAGCCUUAGCGGAGGCAGUUGAAGAGAGGGGCAUUCCAUAUCUUUGGUGUCUCAAGGAUGACCAUAAGCAUCAUUUACCGAAUGGGUUUAUUAAAAGGAUAAGCAAGCAAGGGAAACUCGUUUCAACAGGCGUGUUUGUGACACAUUGUGGGGCGAACUCAGUGUUUGAAAGCGUCGCAAAUGGAGUCCCAAUGAUCUGCGGACCGAUGUUUGGGGAUCACUGGAUGAAUGGACGUGUGGUGGAGGAAAUAUGGGGAAUUGGUGCUAAGAGUUGAGGGGGAUGUGUUCACUAAGAGUGGGGUACUCAAGAGCUUGAAGAUCGUUUUGGGACAUGAACACGGGAAGCAAAUGAGAGAAAGGAUUAGAACACUGAAAGAGCUUGUUUUGAAAGCAACAGAACCAAGUACAAGUGCUUCACAAGACUUCAAAACUUUAGUAGAAACAAUUUUAAUUUCUUAAUCUGAAUCCAUUUUUCUGAAAAUGUAUCUAAUAAUAAUAAUUCAUAUAAUAUUAACAUUAUAUUCCGGCUAUCCCUUAAGCAAUGAAUUAAGUAUAACAGUUUCCAUCCAAUCCAGGAUAUUUAUGAAACAUCCCUAUAGAUUAAGUUAGGUUUUCAUUUUGAAUCUAGUCUCCCACUUCUAAAUCAACCCCAGGUCGUUAAAAUGAGUUAACAAAAAAUAAAAGCAAUUAAAAGAGGUUUUCUAAGGUCUAGCCUCCACCAUUUAUGCCAGUUUCAGAAGAUAAACUAAUCAGAAGGGCGGUUCGAAUUCAAGAUGGGUUUCCAAGCUUUUAUCAAGUUUGCAUUGAUGCUCUUGCAUGUUAAUCUUUUUUUAUUAACAUGUUGAACAUGUUGAACUAUGGGUUUCCUAGCUUUUAUUAAGUUUGCAUUGAUUUGCCUUGAUACUCUUGCGUUGGUUUUUUUUUUUAUUAACAUGUUGAAUAGUUAGGAUUUUGUUGUUUCUUUUGUUUAGUUCUCUUACCUUUUGUUAAGUAUGACUUCUAUUUUCAGUCAAAUUUGAGAAAUAAACUUACGACUCCUAUUUUCAGUCAAAUUUAAGAAAUAAACUUUUAUUUAAACUCUGUUUAUUUGUUUCAGUCAAACACUGAUUAGUUUAGAUUAUUUUAUUAUUAUUUGACAUAUGAAUUUAGCCUAUAAAUAGGCUCUUUUACAACCUUAGUAAAUACACCCAUUAGAUUAGAACUCAUAACACAUUCAGAGAAUUUUGUGUUUACAUUUUGAGGGUUCUUUGUUUUUCGGGUUUUCGGGGUUUAGUUUUAUCUCCAUAUUUUGUACUCUUCAUUCUUUUGCCAUUAUAGUAAAAUUAUCUUUGCCCGUAAUUUUUUAUCCUCUUUUGAGGGAUUUUUCCAUGUUAAAUUUGUGUGUUCAUCUUCUCAAUUUCUUCCGCUAUUUUUAUUUGUUUGUUACUUAAUCGGGACGAUCCCUAACAAGUGGUAUCAAAGCUAGUUCAAUUUUCAUAGAUCAACCCAUUCAGAUAUGGCAACAACAAGAUUUGAAAUUGAGAAGUUCGAUGGUGAGACAAAUUUCAAUCUGUGGCAAGUUCAGAUGAUGGCAAUUUUAGUUCAAUCCGGUUUGAAAAAGGUUGUUACCGGGAAAAAGCCUGAGAAUCUAAAUAAAACAGAAUGGGAAGAGCUUGAUGAAAAGGCCUUGUCUGCAAUCCAGUUGUGCCUUGCGAAUACGGUAUUGCAGGAGGUAUUGAUGGAGAAGACCUCAUCCGCUUUGUGGAAAAGGUUGGAAACUCUUUAUGCGACUAAGUCUCUGGCUAACUGUUUAGUGUUGAAACAACGUUUAUUUACGUUUCGCAUGAACGAAGGUGAGCUUCUUAGAGAUCACAUCAGUCAAUUCAUUACUCUUUUAAAUGAUUUAAAGAACGUUGAGGUUCAUAUUGAUGAUGAAGAUCAAGCUAUGGUAUUAUUGUGCUCUUUACCCCCUUCAUACAAGUCUUUCAGGGAGACCCUGAUUUAUGGCAGAGACAAACUCUCGUUCGAAGAUGUAAAAGGUCAUUUGUUGAGUAGAGACAAACUCGACAAUGAGCUUCAUUUGGAUAGCAAGGCAGAUAGGCAAGCUUCCGUUUUGAUAGCAUCAAAGAAAAUAGACAAAAGGUGUUGCUAUUGUAAAAAGUUAGGUCACAUCAAAGCAGAUUGUUAUAAACUGCGAAAUAAAAUAGCUGCUAAGAGUAACGAGGAAGAUGUAACUGGUGCUAAUUUGAUCGAUAAAAGCGGUGAUGAUUUCUUGUUAGUGUCAACGAGCGAUAACUCCAAGCUCACGUCUGAGUGGAUCCUAGAUUCGGGAUGUUCUAUCCACGUGUGUCCCAAUAGAGAAUGGUUCUCUACAUACAGUUCGGUUGAAGGUGGAUUUGUGCGCAUGGUAAACGAUUCAUCUAGUAAGGUAAUUGGUAUUGGUACUGUUAAAAUUAUGAUACAUGAUGGGACGAUUAAGACACUUUCAGAUGUCAGGUAUGUACCUGAUUUACGAAAGAAUCUCAUCUCCUUGAGUUUUUUAGACUUGAAAGGAUGCAGAAUCAACAUCGAGUCAAGCGGCAUUAAAGUAUCUCGUGGAGCUCUCGUUUUGUUAAAAGGUAAAAGAACUAGCAGUCUUUAUAUUCUGGAAGGUUCUACAGUGAUCGGUGAAAUUGGACGUCCCUUGUCCGUUACAGAGUCGAAGUCAACUCGUUUGGAGUGGAGGCAACUUGGUCAUAGGAAGGAAAAAUGUAUGACCGUUUCGUUGAAGAGAGGUUCUCUUUUGGAUGCAGGUUUUAAAAGUUAGGGCACUGUGUUCGUGAAAAUCAGACCCGGGUUAGUUUUGAUUUGGCAGUGUACAAGUCGAAGACUAGAAGUCUUCCAGUUUCUAAGCACAGAUUCAACUCAGUUAAUUCCCUACAUAGUUCAAGAUAGGCUCGUGGCGGGCUUUGGCAAAGAUGGCGUUGUGGAAAUAUGAGUCAAUGUGGAGACUUGUUAAGUAUGACUCCUAUUUUCAGUCAAAUUUGAGAAAUAAACUUUUAGUUAAACUCUGUUUAUUUGUUUCAAUCAAACACUGAUUAGUUUAGAUUAUUUUAUUAUUAUUUGACAUAUGAAUUUAGCCUAUAAAUAGGCUCUUUUACAACCUUAGUAAAUACACCCAUUAGAUUAGAACUCAUAACACAUUCAGAGAAGUUUGUGUUUACGUUUUGAGGGUUCUUUGUUUUCGGGUUUUCGGGGUUUAGUUUUAUCUCCAUAUUUUGUACUCUUCAUUCUUUUGCCAUUAUAGUAAAAUUAUCUUGGCCCGUGGUUUUUUAUCCUCUUUAGAGGGGUUUUUCCAGGUUAAAUUUGUGUGUUCAUCUUCUCAAUUUCUUCCGCUAUUUUUACUUGUUUGUUACUUAAUCGGGACGAUCCUAACACCUUUACUCUUUUUGUUUUGACUUAUCAUAUUAACGGCAUCCUAGUUUAUAACUUUAAAUUACAUUUCUUUGCUUCUUAACAGACGUGCUUCAGUUCAUUCAAUUGAAACUAAUUCGAACUCUGACACCAAGAAACUGGUUACCUACCGGGUAAUCUUCUCAUUUAUUUUCCUGUUUGAACAUGAUUUCAUGGGGAUGCUUCAAUGGUAAUAUUGCUACUCAGCAAAUGCAUGAACUUCUUCCGUUUGAUUUCUCUAUUGACAAAAUGUUGGGUUUUCCUUCAAUUAGAUCUUCCUUUUAUUGAGUUAUAUAUUUGUGUUGAGUAAUAUUUUUCUCGUAUGAUAUUAUACAUGUUCCUUCUGUUACUAUUACAGCUCACAAUAGGGCCCGCUAUUUUGUCUCGGUCCUAGGGUUGAUGGCACUGGCAUCCUUGUCUCUGGUGCUGACAUUCUCUGGGAAUCUCUUGGCUUAUUAGACGCGUGUCUGUGGAGCACACGGUCCUUUUUUAUCUUAAGAUUGACUCCUCCAGCGAGCCUCGUACCCGCUAUUCACGAGCGUGGGUAUCUUGUAGGGCUCGCGAUCCCUUCUAUGGACAUAGCUCACGAUCUCAUUCUUGCAAGGCUUACGCGAGCUCUCCUUGGGAGCUAUUUUUUCCAACAUCUAGCAUUCCAACAGGGUCCCUAGCAAACUACCUCUGUAGGCGAACAUUCUUCUUCCUGGUCGGGUCUAUCCGGGUCAGAGAUACGGAUCCUAUUAGGUCAUUUGGGCUGGCGAUUACCAAAUCCUAACAAUCCAGUCCCCCCUUAGUGAGCCUAAAGGAUGUUAUAAAAUGGUGGGCCUUAGGUCCAUUUCGAACAUAACUUACAAGGUACGCCACGGGUCGUGGUGCAUAACAGUUACCUUGCCACGAGUGAAUCCAGAUAUUGGGUGCGCACAUCUAACCGUUGAGAGACGAAUCGUUUCUUCUUACUCACAUUUGGGUCGUUGGUUCAUUUUUGGCCAUCCGAACGGUUUAAGAAAACUCUCCCUAAAAGGGGAUCUUCGAGGGUUUAGGUUUCUUCACUGUUUGGUAUUUUCUGCAAAUUAGAAUUGAGGUAAUUUUCACAAAUCCUUUCUGCUUCUUAGUUUCUAUUUCUGUUUUUUACUCAAAUCAAGGUGAAGAUGAGAGAAUCCCACAACCAUAUCGUCUCGGUCCAUCCAACUCCAGUCGUUGUAACUGAGAAGCCCUACAUCUGCACCACCACGCCGGAGAAAAUGGAACGGGCUCUAGCUAUGUGGGGAAUCAAGCUUCCCCACUUUGCCUAUGAAUUUUCCAUUCCUUCAAGGUCUCACCGUGUGUGCGAGGCAACGGAUGAUAGUUUCCUUCUCCCGUUGCACGACAUAGAGGCGAGAUUCUACCUCCCCCUGCAUCUCUUCUUUUGUAACCUCCUCAAGGAUUACCGAUUCGCUCAUGGCCAACUCUUUAGUUUUUUCUAAUGGCUAGCAAUGGCGUACUCUCUCGAUAGCUGCCAACGCGGUGAAGUGACGAUGCUCUUUGUCUUUCAGCACCUGUACCAGUUGAAGGGGACUAAUGUGAGGGGUCGGCGGAGUUCUACUACUUUUCCCCUCAUCGGAAGGUGAGGACGAUCAUACGAAAUCAGUAUAAGAAUAUUUGACUGAAACGGGGGAAGUAUAUCCAAGUCCGCAGCAUCCUUGGCUAAGAUUUUGGGUUCCCUACCAGGUGGUCUUCCCCUAGUGAAGACAUGCGUGCAUUUCAAAAGAGUAUUACCACUGAUGAGGUUUUCACGUAAUUUUAGAGGUUGCGCGUUGGUCGCCUGCUGGCUCUGGAGGCGGUCCUGACUGCGAGGAAUAUCUUUAGAUCUAUCUGGAAGAUCUCAGCUCAAAUGGUUGGGGGGUUGGUGAUAACCAAGAUGUCGCACAAUCAAUUGGUGGGCGACCAACAAAAUAAUACAAUAUUCCUUUAUCUAGAAUACUAAGAGGGUGGAGGCACACCUUAUUCUGCAUUAUGGUUUGUCGCCUCUCUUAUAUGGGAUAGGUCUGUUGGGCUUGUCUCGUGUGCUGGAUAUAAUUAUAUGUGUUUUCUGAACUUUUAACCAAUACAUAUAAUUUUAACCUACCCAAUAACUAUUUUUCUAUUUCCCAAAAUAUUAUUUAUUUAAAUUUAUUUAUUUAUUUAUUCAAUUAAAUUACUUUUUCAACCCAAUUCUAAUUCCAUUAAAGUCAUAACAACUUUACCGCAUUAAAAUUUAUGAAGAAAUACAUUUAAUUUCCCAUUCAAUAAAACUAUCACAACUAUUUUAUUAAUUCUCACAUCAAAUUUUAAUAAAUUAAUUUCAAUCAAUUAAAUAACUAUUCAAAAAAUUUAAUUUAAUCUUUAAGUCAUCUUUUUGUACUUAGCGAGAAAAUGCAUUCGCUGCAGAUAGUGAUGCGACUUAUUUCUCUUAAUCGUCAUUUUCAUUCAUUUCAAAUUAUCAAUUUUACAUGCAAUUUGUUUGGGUUAUGUCGAGCUAGUAGAGAGACCGCUUUGACAUAUAUAAUAAGAGCUCAAAUAAUUUGUAAUUGAGUUUUGACUCUUUAUGUCACACACCGAAAUUGGGCCUAGAAGUUUUGAGGGUAAUUAGGGGAUUUUGGCUCCAAGUGAGUUCGAAAAUUUAGAAGUAUGGUAACCCAAAAAUAUAUUCGACUAUGGAUUUUAGAAAAUUAAAUCAACUUUUGAAAAUAAUGUAGAAAAGACCUUUGAUUUAAAAAGUGGAUUGUUUUGAAAAUUGAGUUGAAGUUAGGAGUACCACAAAGCUAAAUAUCCUAAAUUUUUAAAAAUUGCCCUAUUUUUCUCCCCACCUACCGGAGACUCACGAAAACCUCUUCUACCCAAUUGUUUUUGCCAUCCCUUGAAAUCCCCAAGAAACAUUCACUUAUUUCAAUUCUUUUGGUUCCCAUUAACUUCCAAGCAUUAAACCUCCUUAGAAUUUCAAGAAAAGCAUAAAAAAACAUCAUUGAUUUUACCAUUGUGCAACUUGUGGGUUUUCUUAGAUUUACACCAAACAUCUUAUUUUCUUCUAGUGAAGGUAAUGUUUCGUUUUCCUAUUAGUUUUUGAUGAUAUCUAGCCUUUUAAAUUGAGUUUUUAUCUAUUGAAUCCAAAGUUUUGAAUAAAUGUUGAAAUUUGGGUCGUUAAUGGUGAAAUUUGGGAUUUUGAAUGAAAUCGAUGUUUCAAAGUGCUUUUCAACUCGUUUUGAUGUGAUUGGAAGGUUUCUAAGCUCUCCUUAAAGUUUCAUUAAAAGAUUAUAAAGUUUUAUUGAGUUUUCAUGAAAGAUGGUCAUUGUAUGUCAAAAUUUUGGAACCGUGAUUCUGAGUAGUUUGGAGUCGUUUGAAGAUUGGGAAUUACUUUUAGAUAAGUAAUUAGAUGAUUGGAAUAAAUUUGAGGCAAAUGAAAUGAGUCAAUAUUAAGAUAUUUGGGUUUCAAAUUUGCAAUUCAAAAAUUUUAGUUCUAAGAGAAGAAACCUUAGAUCUGCGUUUUGAUUGUUUAGGUCUGGUUAAUUUUGGUGAAGAUUUAGAACCGUUGGAGCCUUCGACGAACAAGGCAAAAGAAAACGAAACGUUAGUUUAGGCUUUCGGCGACUAGGCAAAAGCGCAAACGGUAGUGUUUAGAAUCAUUGCUUGUAGACACGAUUCAUAGUGUUAAAUGAGAUCUUAGGAGUAGCUUAAACCACUACUCUAAGUUCCAAGUGUAAGCUUUCCUAUUCCCUUCGUUAAUUUUGCGAGAUAUGUGAUUAUGCGAUGUGGAUUAUGUAUUUUGAUGUGUUAGUGUGAUAUGAGAUAUGUGUUUGUGAUAACUAUUGUGAAUGUGUUAAUUGUAGGCAUGUUAAACAUGCCAAAUGACAGUGAUGAUGUUGUGUUAAAGAUGUAAAUAUGUAGUGAAAGUGUGCAGAAAAUGGUAAGUAUAUACAUGUUUUAUUGUAGAUAUUUUGGCCUUGUGACCUUUUGAGACCGUUAGAUAUAGUUGGUAUGCCAUAGGAUAAUGUGAGUACUCAUCAUUAUGUUAUGUUUUUGGGGAUUUGAGGCCCGGGACAGUUUUGGAGCGAUAAGGGAAUGUGAGUGCGACACCCCAAACCCGGCCUAGGAGUCAGGCCCAAAUCUGGCGUGUUACAUUGAAUUGUUUUUCGAAAACCAUGUUUUCAUUAAAAACCCUUCUUGAAAUUUCAAAACUUCUUAUCACAAGCUAUCGUGAUUUAAAAAGUUAUUCCUUUUAAAAGAAAAGUUAUUACCUUCAAAACCUUGUUGUUGCGGAAGCUUAAUUUAAAGCAAAUGAUUUGCGAAAACGUGAUAUAUAAAAAUUAAGUUGUGAAAGCGUAGUGUUUCGAAAAUAGUUAUUGUUUUGGAAAACCGCGAUCUUCUUUCAACGGAUAGAAAACAUAAUAAAUUGACAAUCCCAAUUUUAAAACCAGAAAUUAACAGAGGCCUUAUUACAACCCAAAUCAAAAUAUAAGUACUUAUAAGUAGGUAACUUAAAAGAAAAUCGAAAACAAUAACAGUUGUGUGGCCAUCUCCGAGUCCCUCGCAACACCGAUCCUCCUAAUGCUAAGGAUUACCUACACAAUUAAUAAACGGGGUGAGUUUAUGAAAACUCAGUGUGUAAUCCCCUUACUAAAAAACAGUCAGUAUACAGAAACAGAAAAAAAAUAGAAAUAGUCAGGGCCAAUGCCCUUUUAUCAGUAACGGUACUAUCCAAUUUAGAGCAUACGUUGGCCAAAACCCACUACAAUAUCAUUUGCGUCACAGCCCACAACAGAAUCAAUUGGGCCUAGCCCAUUCUCAACAUCGUUAAUAGAUGGCCUAGCCCAGAUCAGUAACAGAACAGAACAAUGUGGGCUUUAGCCCAAUACAGAACAAGGUAGGCCUUAGCCCAAUGCCAUAUCAGUACAGUACAAUCUUAGCCUUAUAUAAAAUCAGUGUGGGCCUAAGCCCAAAACAGUAUCAAUGUGAUGCAAGUAUGCAACCCACCCCAAUCCAGCCCAACACACCACUCGUACCAACCUUACACACCAUGUGGGGACAAAGUCGACCCACCUAGCCCUACACAGUAAUAUUACAGCAAAGAUGCCAGUAAUAAUUACGCAGCAAAGCUGCCAGAACAGUAUAUGUGGCAAAGCUACCAGUAACAACACUUCCUCCAUAACAGAAUCCCAACCCCAUGCAAUAUAUUGUGAAUGUCAUGCUUAACCAUUACACGUGUAUGCAAUAUGGUCAUGCAAAGUAACAGUCAUUUACACACAUAUUAAAAACAUACCAGUCAUUCGACCAUAGUCAAGUCAGUCAAAUUCAAAUGACUGGUAUGUAAAACGGUCAUUUUACCCUAUAAAGGUAUUUCGGUAAUUUUUUAAACUAAAGAUAUUUUGGUAAUUUUGCAAAUUCAGGGUACUUUAGUAAUUUCACAAAUUGAGGGGAUUUCGAUAAUUUUGCAAACUGAGGGCAAUUCGAUAAUUUUACAAGUCGAGGGUAUUUCAGUAAUUUUGUAAAUCGAAGUAUUCUAAACAGAGAUAACAGUGCGAAUUGGACUAAGGCCCAUUCUCGGCCCAAAUGAGCCCAUAUUCUAAACAGAGAUAAUGAUGCGAAUUGGCCUAAGGCCCAUUCUCGACCUAAAUGGGCUCACACCCUCGCACAUUUAGCACAGAUAUGAGUCAAAUUAGCAAAAUAGUCACAUUUCAUAUGCAAGGAGUUUUGAACUCAGGCUCCUUUGUAACUUAAUCCACACCACUAGCCACCUUACCAACUAACUCCUUAUGUAACAAAAUAAGCACAACUAAAUAUAAGCCUAUGAGCCAAAGUCUAAGUUAAUUUAAAGAAAAUCAAAAUGAAUUACAAGCGCCAAGACUUGAACCCAUGCUCCCUUGCAACUUUAAUGAUGCAUUACCACUAGACCACUCACUUCCUUGUAUCAUAUUUUAACCAAACAAAUUUAUAAGGCCUUCCAGCUAACGCCAACUCCCCUUUAAGGAAAAACUAAAAUUUUUGCUAAAGCUCUGGUUUGAACCCAGGACUUCUCCAACACUCCCAACUCUUCCCAAAUCACUUAGCCACUAGACUAAACAUGCAAUUAGUAAAAUUUCCUCACACAACUAAAAUCCAAUUGCUCCGAUACUCAAAGCCCAUUUCUCCUAGGCCCAAAAUUCGGGGCAUUACUGUGAGCUUAACUCCAUGUACCGGGAUAUGUUGGUGUGUUGAAGAGUGUUAACUAAAUGCUACGCUUUUGGGAUAUGUUCGACUCAUUGAGUCAUUGGUGUGUUGGAGAUCCAUGUAUCCAAUGUGUGGUGAUAGAGCCCACUUUUAUAUUUCAUAGCCUCAAGUGCCAAUUUAAUAUUAAAUGAAAUGUUAUGAAAUGUGAUGCAUGUCUAAUUAUGUGAUUUCAAAGUAAAAUGAGUUGACAGUUGAUGCAUGAAUAUUCUAGUAUGCCACUUUGGUUAAAUAUGUAUGAAGUUGUUCUUUAGAUGUUCUCAUUUAAUGUAUGAAAUCAUGCUUAUUUUGUUAUUUUUUCGAUCAUUCGCUGAGCUUGUUUUAGCUCAUCCACUCUUUCUAAACAUUGUAGAUAGUUAGCGUUGUAGUGUGAGCUGUGUGAAAAUCCAGGAAGUGGUCCAAGUUAGGCUUAGAUUUUGAGUAGGUGAAACUCAUAUUUUUCUUUGAACUGUGGAAAUAAGGCAAUGUGGUAGACAUUUUGGUUGAUUAUUAUUAUGUCUUAAAUGGUUGAUACGAUUUUAGACUCUUAGGAAUUGGUGGAUGUUUGAUAUUAUGUUAUUGGGUUGUCUUGGCUGGAAUUAUUGGCAUUACUAUAAACUGCAAAUAUGGACAUUUUGAUGUUGAAUACUAAAGUUUUGGUCGCAUGUUGAGGUGGCAUGUGAUUGAAUAUGUUAAAUGACUUGUUUUGCUGUAAUUUUUGUUGAUUAGUACAGAGGUAUCUAUAUUUGGGGAAUAUGUAUUGAUACCUCCAUGUUGAAACGAAUGUGCAGGAAGCCAGUAGCUUAAAUUGGUAUUGAUACCCUUAUUCGAGUAUCGAUACUUGGGGUGAAAAUAUAAAUACUUUUUGCUUUGUAUCAAUAGUUUGUUUGGUUUCAUUAUUUUGCAAAUAAAAAGAAUGCUAAAAAAGUAUCGAUUGUUCUAAUAGUAUUGAUACCUAUCUUCAAAAAUAUCAAUACCUGAGAUUGAGUAUCGAUACCUACGUGUUUUCUUUGAGAGUUUUUGUUAGAUGGUCCUCAUGCAUGAUUAACUUGUUAUUAAUGUCGAUAAACGUUUGGUAAGUCAUUUUAAAUGUUGCCUAAGGUGUUUAAGACUCAAUACUCCUUUAAAUAUUUGAGAAUGACGAUGGUUGCAUGUUUUUGAGAUUGUGUGAAUAUGUGUGAGUUUGAUGUUUGAUGUAGCAUCUUGUUACUCGGGCCAGGCGAUCAAGCCAGGUGCAGGGUGUUACAUUUUAUCUAUUAAUUACACAUUAUUUAAUCAUGGAGUCAUUCCACUAAAGUAUCAUGAUUGAAAUCUCCCAUAUUAUAUACCAUUAUGAAAGCAAUUUAAUAAGUGCUUGUCCAAUGACUUUCUCAUAAGUGUGUUAUACUCAUAGGAUAUCCUUAGUCUUUUUGGGUUAAAUUUAUUCACCCAAUAGGAUCCUAUUUUAUCUCAUGGUAACCAUUACAUCAUUCUUCAUGAAAAAUUCAAAUUAACAAAUAGUUGUAACACCCCAAAAAAUCGGGUUACUAGAAUCGGAUAAGUAGGAUCGGGUUAGCAAAUCAGAAACCGUAAUUAGGUGAGAUAAUUAAAUAAUUAUAAUUGAAUAUUUUAGGUUAAAAAAUUGAAAUUAGGUGAUCGAGAAUUAAUUUUGUUAAAAUGAAUUUUAAAAAUGAGAUCGGAUUUGAAAAUAAAUUUGAAAUUGACUUCAAUUGGAAACUAAGGACCAAUUUGUGUGGUUUCAAUUUGUGUGUUUAUAGAGCUAAGCAAGAAAUCAUAAGAUCUAUGGUUUUAGAGUUUAGGGUUUGCUCAUUUUCGACUGGACUAUAGACAUGUUUAAGUUCGUCUACUAAUACAAGUUGUCUUUCCAUACUACGAUCCGACCACAUAAUGUCGUUUAGUAUUAGUUAAACAUUUAGACAAUUAAUGAGUAACAUUUGUUUCUAUUUUACUUUGCGUGCAAAAACCAUUUGAAGGCAAAAUACAAAGUAUAUUAAUUUAAUUCAUGAAUAAUUUUAUUAAUCAAUCUAUUCGAAAAAAUUACAAGUGUAGUUAGACGAAAAUACUACACUUGGGGCACUAGAUCCAACAAGUAAUGCCGUGACAAAUUGGUUGAAUUGUGUAAUAAUUGUAUGUUUAAUUUUUUAAUUAAAUGUUUAUAUUGUUUAGACUCACACUGGGCUUUUUAAGCUCACAGCCACCCUAGUUUACUCCUUACAAAUAACCCUCAAGACUAGGCUCGGAUUUGACAUUCGGAGGUCUCAUUAUGGAUUUUCAGGCAUUAAAGUUUUUUAAUUACUCUAUUUAUUUUUGGUAUUAUUUUAACUUGGGACUAUAGUUUUUAUUUAAGUAUGGACUAUAGUAUAUGAUAUUUUUAUUGAAGAUUUUUGCAUGUAUAAGCUUUGACGGAAACUGGACGAAUUUAAAAAUCGACCCAAUAAACAAUAAAAAUUUGACUUUUUCUACAAAAAUCAAAUGCAAUAUUUUUAAUACAAAGGUUUUAAAUGGGAUUUUCCGACAUAAAACUGAGCUUUAUUUCAAAUAACACGACACUUUAAUAAAUUGAACUUAGCAAUGGAUGACCUAACAAACUGAUGUUUUUGACUUUAUGCAACCACACCAAGUUUUUUGAGAAUUUAACAAAAUAGUGAUUUUACAACCGGACGUUUGUACUUAGCCAUUUCAGUGGCCUUCAAAUUUUGGUCAUAACGCCUAGGUCAGGUUUAAGAUGUUACAUUACUUGUAAAAAUCAUUGAGGACAGUAUAGUAUAGAGAUAAUGAAUAACAUUUGUUUAUUUCUAUGAAUAAUCAAUUUGAUUAUUUUAGUAAUUUAUCUAAUAUAAUGAAAUUAUUAUACUGAGGGGGAUCCUAACAUUCUCCCACUUGUCCUAGUGGAGUAAAUGAAUCAUAUUCCGCAUCUUAUAUUGCCUGACAUGCUUUACUAAAACUUCUAGCCACUAGAACUCAGUGAAGACAAUCGUCGCGUUGUGAAGAAUAUCACCAUAUAAGGCUUUAGCUAAAUUUGAUAGGUGCUUUGAGAGACGCUCUUAUUAUGGCUAUAAAUGAACAAAGGGUUCGAUGAACAAUUUGAUUUUUGUUCGUUUAUACUCGUUUAUCAAGCUAAAUAAAUAAGAUUUUAAGGCUCGUUUGUUAAACGAACCAAACACAAACAAAGCUUGUUCAGUUCAUUUAUGUUCAUAAAAAAACUCGUUUAUGUUCGUUUAAAUCUCGUUUAUUGUUUCGUUAGUAUAUAUUAAUAAAAUUAUUAUGGUUUGUAUGUUUUUUUCAUAUAUAAAAAUAAUAAUGUUCACAAAUAUGCUUGUUUAACUUAAACAAAUGAAUAUGAACACACAAUUUUAAAUAAACGAAUAUGAUAAAAAAUUUAAAAUUCUUAACGAACACAAACUGAACACGAAUAAACUUAAAAAUAAACAAACGAACAUGAACAAAAAUACGUUUAUUCAAACUGCGGUAACUCUUAUGAAGAAUAUCACCAUCUGACAAGAAAAGAUUAUUACCAUCUCGAAGUCGCCAGUGUAAGCCUUUUAACAACAACUCUCUUCAUUGCAAAAUACUUUUCCUUGCCCAGUUGUCUGCAGGCUUUUGCUUUGCUCUAAGGAAGUAUUCAUUCUUGCAUAUUUAGGUUCCAGUGUAUUCUUUAGAAGGGAACGGUCACCUUUCAAGAUCCUCCAAGCUUGCUUUGCAAGUAGGGCUUGGUUGAAUAGCUUGCAGGAUUUGAUCCUUAGACCACCUUUUGGGAAUGGUUGACAGAUUUGAUUUCAAUUAACGAAGUGCAAGCUAUUAUUAUUUUCAGUCUGGUUCCACCAGAAGUUCCAUAUAAUUCGGUUAACUGUUGAGCAAAGCCCUUAAGUGGCUUUGAAACAUGACAGGUAGUAUAUAGGAAGGCUCGUCAAAGUGGACUUGAUGAGUGUUAGCUUGCCUCCAAGGAGUUUGCUCAAAUUUAUAUUUUCCUAUAUAUUUCAAGAAUAAUGAUCCCAUCUAAAUUAAUGCUAAAUUUACAAUAAAUGAAGUUUAACUCAGGUGGAUGGAUAUUAGCAAAAAAACAAUCCAAGUUUAGAGCAAAAUCAGCAUUUGUUUUUUUUUUUUUUAUGCUUUUUGCAUUUACAGCUAGCAAAAGUGAUUAAAAUAAAAGAUGCUCGUAUAUUUAUGAAAUCAAUAAUUAAUCCAAGUUAGCUGCCCGACGUUUAUCCUUUCCCAUUAUUUAAUUGGGAUAAAUUUUCUUCUUCUUUUGUGAGAUGAAUGUGAACACCCUUUAAACUAUUCCAACUCCACAUGAUGGAUGCAAUAUAUAUAAUUUAUAUACAUACCUGUCUAGGGAUUAAGGAUUCAUUUCGUUGCUUUCCGUAUUAUUAUUAUUUCACAUCCUCGCCUAUAAACUAUGUUUCUUUUUCUUGACUACUCUGCCCAUGAUAGCCCAAAUUAUUAUUUAAAAUAAUGUUAGUAUUAAAUUGCAAAACUUUUGUCCGAUACCUCUUUUGGACAGAUCUAACAUUGACUAUCAAGACUAGGAAAGAUGGUAACUUGAUCUCAUCAACUGUGUUGCACUGUUGGGAUUACGAAUAGUCAAAGCUGAAAUUAAUAGAUAUGAUCGAGAUUUUGGCAAAUCCCAUACUUGAAGGCAUGCAUGAAAACUUAGUACUUUGCGUUGUACUUAAAUUCCGACGUUUUUGGUUUCUACGAAGAAACAUGUCAUCGUAUCUCCCUAUUGGACAUGAGAAUCCUCAUCACAUGCGUCUGCCUGAUCAAACCAUCCUAAUAAACAAUUUACACUUCAUCCUAUAUAAUAAAAAACUUGGAGAGAUGUAUACGUAAUACCAGUCUAGGGAUUAAGUUAUUAUUUUAUAAAAUUUGAUGUUUUUAUAGAAUUGUGGGUGCAUAUAUAUAAAAACUGAUAACCAACCAGUGCUUAAUUUAAUUAAAUGUAAAAAUUGUAAGCUUGUGGCUGAUUAGUACGACUGUUUUUUCAGUACGUUUCCCAUUUGACUAAGCUCGAAAGAGGCGUGCAAAGGCAGAAACUUGUGGGCGAUGAUUGUGUCUUCCACAUGCAUCCUCUGCCCUUUGUGUAUGUCUUAUUAUAUUUGUAUGUAUCUUACUGUUAUUAAUUUCUUACCUCAGUAUUUAAUCAAAGAUGCAUGAUCAUUUAUUUUUAUUUCAUGUAAUAUAAAAUAAUUAAAAUGUUUUUUAAUAAGUUAACCUACGCUUAAUUCGCUUUGCAUUGGCAUUGCUGUUAGUAUUGGAAGAUGUAGGUUCAAGCAUACUGAAGUAUGUUUAUCCUCCUAUUUAAGGGUUGAGGGGAGAUUAAAGGUAGUUCUAAGCAUUGCAUCAAAAAUAUGUGUUUUAAUAAGAUAUUUUUUAUUUAUAAAUUUUAAUUAUAGAUAAUAAUAAAAGUGUAAUUCAAUAUUUAUCCAACUUAAUCUACCAUUUUUUUAAUUUUAAUAUAAUAUUAAAAAUAAUAGUAUAAAUUACAAUUCAAAAUAAACUUCAAUAUUUAUUCAACUUCACCUAUUUUUGUUUUAUAUUUAGUUGUAAUAUAAUAAUAAAAGCAAUAGUUUAAAUUAAAAUGGAGUAUAAUUAUAAAGUAUAAUUCCAUAUUUUAUCGUACAUUAUCUAUUUAAAUUUUUUUUAUUUAGUUUUAAUAUAAUAAUACUUCCUUAUGUUCAAGUAAGAAAUAAUUUAAACCAAUAAGAUGUUUAUUUAUAAAUUAAUAUAAGAUUUUAAAUUAAGAUUUAAUGCAAGGUGUAAUUCAAUAUUUAAACUAUUAGUAUAAUAAGAAAUUGGUUGUUUAUAAAUUUUAAUAGUUUAAAUUAUAAUGAAAAUGCAUUUCAAGAUGAAUAUAAAGUGUGCUCGCAAGCUAUUUGAGUUCGACUCGAAAAAAUUCGAAUUCAAUUUAGUAAUUAUCAAACUGAGCUCAAGUUAUCGACUAAGCCGAAUUUGAGCUUAGUAAAACUUGACUUGAACGGUUUGCGAGCCUUAUCGAGCUUUUUAUCUUCUUAUAUUAUUAAAUUAUGCCAUUGCCCUUAAUAUAUAUUUUAACCAUGAGUUUAAUUAUUGAGUCGAGUUCGAUCUUAAGUACAAAAAUUGGUAAACGAGCUUAAUCGAGCUCGAGCUUAAAAAUAGAUGUUUGAUCGAGCUCUAGCUUGGUAGUCUUCGGGUUUGGCUUGGCUCGAUUACACCUCUAAUGGGAGAACUUAUGCCAUUUACCCCAAUAAAACUUUAACUUAAACACUCAACCCAAGCAUUUUUUAUGUAUAUAUACUUUAUUACCUCCAUCGAUUGGUUAUCUAUACUUAUCUAACCUAAUUCUUAUAUUUAAGCACUUUGUUGAGUUGUGUCACCCUUAAUCAGGUCACCAACUCAAUUAUGAAAUUACAAAAAUACUUCUUCUUUUAAAUUAUAAGUAAUAUUAUUACAAUGUAACCUUUUUUUUAUA